RNAcentral lists this long non-coding RNA (100996 nucleotides) under Gossypium barbadense (sea-island cotton). RNAcentral's name for it is "long non-coding RNA (GBAR_LNC020219)". The stretch from base 87027 to 87171 matches the Rfam family "MIR7502 microRNA precursor family". The record is from RNAcentral. Lineage: Eukaryota; Viridiplantae; Streptophyta; Magnoliopsida; Malvales; Malvaceae.
AUCAUCGGACUGUAGACUACGCCCUGACGAAUUAUAACAGUCAUGACCCAUGAAGAAAUUAUAAAUAAAGCGCAAAGAGCCAUCCAGAGAGAUGUCGAGAACUUCUAUAUCAGAGGUCCGUAAGAAUGCUUUUGGGGGGUUAAAAGAGGUGUUACAAUUAAUGGAGAAGUCGCUGCUGAUGUAGCAACCAUUGCGUGUACCAAAAGGGUAUGGGAUGCUUAUGUUUCCGCAGUCGCUUUGACAUCCAGGUUUUGCUUGGGCUGCUACUGAAGUUGUUAUAAGUGUUACCAUAACUACUAACACAGCAAGCUCCUUAAACGUACAACCAAACCCCAUCACCCCUCUAGUUUUUUUUUUCCCACUCUCUGGGCUAUGUAAAUAUAGAAUAUCUUAUGGGAAGGAAUAGCAUGAACGCGUGGAGAUUCAACGCCAUUUUAAUAGACAAGUUGUAGCGGAGACAUGAUUCAUUAUUACCUCUCCAUUGCCUUUAAAAACUUUCCACUUUCUUUUUCGAUUUAGAAAGUUUUCUUCAUUUUCAUAAAAUAAGUUUAACUUGUGUUUAUGUUAAAUAAUUUCUUUCAGUACACUAUUCUAUUAAUAUUCAUCCAAUUAUAAAAAAUUAUAAAAUAAUUAUCUAAUUAUACAAUUUUAUCUUUUUAAAUCACCAGUUGGAUAACAUUUAUAUAUUGUAUUAAUUUAAUUCUGAUUCUAAAAAAAUUAACUCUCAAUAUUUACUUUUCUUUAUGACCAUUUCACUUUCACUUAAAAGAUAAAAAAAACAAAUUAGCAACUAAAUUUAAUCUCAAUCUCAAAAUCUUUCAAGCACGCAUAGAAAUCACAUACCUUAAGAGUAUUGCUUCAACAAGAAUGUCGUAUGUCCAGAUUAUUUAUUCUCUAAUGGCAAGCUCUUACUAAUAACGUGUUAUAAAAUAAUAAUACAAUGAACACAAAAAUAAUAGAUGAGAAUAUAGAGCGAUUUCUAUUGUCAUUUUAUUAUUUUUCAUCUUUAUUACAAGUAGUAUAUUCCUAUAUAGAUUCUAAUACAUAAAUAAAAAAAAUUUAAAAGAUGAUAAAAACUGGAGAGUUAAGGAAGAUGAAAUGUGAAUAAUUAAUUAUAAUGAACUUAAUAGCAUUUAUAACAUGAUAUUUUGUAUUUUCUUUUAUAAUUAAAUGACAAAGUAAACUUAAUAAUAGUUAAAUAAUUAGUAUUUUUCAUAAACAUUUUUCUUUUUAAAAAGCUACAAUUCACCCCGAGAACACAGCAAAUUUAAGUGCACUUAAAUCUGACAAGUCUUCGUCGUUAGUGUAUUUCUUUUUAUUUUUCCUUUUUUCUUUUCCUUUUUUGCUUUAUUAUCUCAUAAUAAUUAGAAUCAUCAUUUUGUACAUCAAUAAUUUGAAUGUUUAAAUAGUACAAAUGAUUGCUAAGCAAAUACAAAAUUAUUAAUUUCAUGAUUAGUUUUCUUAAUCUAUAAAUUUAUUUAAAUUAAGAAAUUGUUUUUGGAAAAUGAUUUUGAAAAAUAUGGUGAUUUUUUUUUUGAAAAUUAACUUAAAAAAUAUUUUUGAAAAGUUUGAUUUAAGAUUUCAUAUUUAUUAUUAUUGUCAAAAUCAAUUUUAAAAAAUAAAAUAUUCAUUUUAACAUUAAAUUGCGAAGUAAAAUUAUACAUUUAAGUGUUUAUUUGAUUGAGGAAUUUUAUUUUAAAAGAGGAGACAUUAAUUAUUAUAUUUUAGUAAUUUAUUGCAUAUAAAUUAUUAAAUUAUAAACUUUUAUUAAUUAAUUACAUAUAAAUGAUUGAACUACUAAUUUCCUCUGAUAUAUAAAAAAAGGAUUAACAAUAUAUGUUUAUAUUUUUUUAAUGAAUUAAAUUAAAUUUUUGUUAUUUUUUAGUGCCCAAAUCUCAUUUUAGGGGAUUGUUUAAAGUUUAAAAAUAUUUAUUGAUCGAUGUGAUGGACGCUUCUUGCUGUGAUGGUGCUGAGUUUGAGAUUGGUACGGGGGACAAUCUGAUUCCUAUAAAAGUUCGUUUCAGAGACAAAUCAGAUGAUUCAGGUGGAUCUAUGCAAGUUGAUCUACCAUCCUUACCAAGAACAUCAUGGAAAGACAUGCUAUUAGGAAAUUCCUCUCCUGUUAUGGGGAAUAGUCUAGUGGAGGAUGAAAAGAUUGAUUUGUUGGAAGGGGAUAUUAAGAAAUAAAUGAUUUUGAAAUUGUUGGGUCGUAAUAUCCACUAUUCAACUUUGUAGAACAAAAUAUUUAGCAUUUGGAAGCCAUCGUCGCCUUUUCAAUAAAUGAACAUCGAGAACGAAUAUUUUCUGGCAAGUUUUCAAAACAAGACAAUUUGUAAGAAAGUGCUUAUUGGAGGCCCCUGGAUCAUCUUUGGACAAUACCUAACAGUACAACUGUGGAUAGUGGCCUUCAAUCUCGUACAACCAUAUUCGAGCAUUGUAAUGACGUGGAUCAGACUUCCAGGUUUGCCAGGAUAUAUGUACAAGCGCAAUAUACUCAAGGAAAUUGGAGGAACUAUUGGGAAAGUUGCUAAGUUAGAUCUAAAUACUGACACUAGAAUACGAGGCCAUUUCGCUCGAUUGGCUGUGUACGUUAAUCUGGACAAACCGUUGAUUUCCCAAAUCCAAAUUAAUGGUACCCUACAAAAGGUCAAGUAUGAGUUUUUGCGCAUAGUGUGCUUUGGUUGUGGUAAGUACAAUCACUUGAAAGACGUCUGUCUGAACAGAGGUUCUAAAACCAGUGUCGAAAAUAAAAUGCAACCACUUGGACUGUCGUCAGUGGCCACAUCGGUGAUUGAUGAAGGAUCAGGGGAAGAGGGUGGUUCGUAUGGGCCCUGAAUGUUUGUAGGAAGAAAAACACGACGAAAAUCAAGGGAUAUUAAAAUGACUGGUAAUGUGAUUACGGCGAAGGAGGAAGGGUCUCAUUUUAGGGCGCUAAUCUCUCUAGAUAAUACAAGUGAAUAUUCUGUAGAUAAAGAUAAAGGCCCAGGUAAAAAAAGUAAUAAAGGAAAGGAGAUUCUUGGAAUUAACUCCCAAGAGAUGGUGGAUAAUUGUUGGUGUUAGAACAGAAAUAAAACAAGUCUGACUUCACUCUUGUGCAGCAAGUUUCGAUGCUUGUUGAGCAAACAACCAAAUUUUAGAUAAAUUUGAGGAAGAAAAGCAAUGAAAACUUGAGAAAAAAUUGAUGAACAAUCUGAUUUCAUUCAUAAAAAAUGAAUAAUGGCAUAAUGCCAAUACAUAAACCAAGCACUAAGCUUGUCAAAAACAGUAAGCAUUUACCUAAUUGUUACCUAACACCACUAAACAUUGAAACUUGAAGUAAUUAACUUGUGCAUACAAGCAAAGCUGCCUUAACAGCUCAUAUGUCUGCAAAUUACAUCAGUCAUCUACCUAACGUAGUUCUAAAUGAACUAAAUUACCUUUCAUUAACUAGAGAUUACAAAAUAAACAAGAGUUGGAUUGAUUGAGCUUGCUGAAGUAGCUUCUGCCAUCCUCGAUCUUCAUGGCCUGCAUGUUGGCUUGUGCUGCAGCAUGCUGGCUCACUUCAUCAUGCAGCAUGCUAGCCAUCUUCAUCACUCCUCCUUGGUUAGCAUGCUGCUAACUCCUAGCUUCUUCCUUAAGUGUUCAAACUUAGUUGCACUAAGAGCCUUGGUCAAAAUAUCAGCAAUUUGAUCAUCUGUCUUGCAAUGAAUUAGCUUAACUUCUAAUGCUUCCUCCAUUUCUCGAACAACAUGGAGUUUGAUGCUGAAAUGCUUUGUUCUCCCAUGGAACACUGGAUUUUUGGCAAUAGCAACAGCAGAUUGAUUGUCACAAAAAAUCUCUAUUGCUUCCUUUUGACUCACAUUCAAAUCACUCAUGAUUUUCCUUAGCCAAAUGGCUUAGUUAACAGCACUUGCUGCUACAACAUACUCUGCUUCAGCAGUUGAUUGAGCUACCAAGGUUUACUUCUUCGAGCUCCAACAGAACAUGGCUGAACCAAGACUGAAAGCAUAUCCUGAGGUGCUUUUCAUGUCAUCUGAUGAACCAGCCCAAUCACUGUCAGUGUAGCCAAUUAACUUUAGGCUUUCUUCUUUCCUAUACAUCAAGCCAUAGCUCAAUGUACCUUUGACAUACCUGAGCAUUCUCUUAGCAGCUUGAAAGUGCUUCUCAUUGCAACAAUGCAAGAACCUUGAAAGCAAACUCACAGCAUACAUGAUGUCAGGCCUAGUGGUUGUUAAAUAUAACAAGCUACCAACCAGACUUCUAUAGGUUGUUUCACUGACCCUUUCAAAAUCACCUUGGCUCGAUAGUGUCUUUCCAACAGCAACAGAAGUCUUUGUUGCUUUACUGUUUUGUAUAGAGAACUUAGUUAAUAUUUUCAAAGCAAAGCUCUUCUGACUCAGAAAUAUCCCAUUUUGUGCUUGAGACACCUCCAUUCCAAGAAAAUAGGACAUCCUUCCUAAAUCAGACAUUUCAAACAUCUCUUGCAUUUUGGUCUUGAAAUUGGCCAGCAUUGCUCGAUCUCCUCCUGUCACCAGCAGGUCAUCAACAUACAGGGACACAAUGAGCUAUGUUAGUGCCCAUUCCUUCUUAACAUACAGUGUUGGCUCACUCUUGCUUCGAUCGAAUCCCAAACCAAUCAAAUAGCCAUCGAUUCUGCUAUACCAGGCCCUUGGAGCCUGUUUCAAGCCAUAUAAGGCUUUCUUCAGCUUGUACACCAUCUGCUCCUUCCCAGCUAUUUCAAACCCCUGUGGUUGCUCAACAUAGAUGUCUUUUUCAAGAAUUCUAUUGAGAAAGGCUGACUUUACAUCAAGCUGGUGAAUUUUCCACUGCAUUUGUGCAGCUAAGGCAAUCAACAGCCUUAUGGUGUCAAGUCUGGCCACUGGUGCAAAGGUCUCCAGGUAGUCCAGGCCAUAUUUCUGACUGAACCCUUUGACAACCAGCCUUGCUUUCAACUUGUUCAAGCUUCCAUCAACAUUUUGCUUGGCUUUGUACACCCAUUUCACUCUAAUAACUUUCCUUUUGACUAGUCUAUCAACCAAUUCCCAGGUCUGAUUCUUCUCAAUCAUGUUGAUCUCCUCAGCCAUUGCUUGCUUCCAUCCUUCUUGAGCUUCAGCUUCUUCAAAGCUUCUUGGUUUAACUGUAGCAACAUGAGCCCUUUCAUAAAUCUCAGCUAAUGGUCUAGUGCCCCUGAUUGGUUCAUCAUCAAUGUUCAUUUCAUGACCACUUUGGUCUGUUUCAGCUUGAUCAGUUGCAAGUUCUUCAGAAACUGCCUCAAGUUGAUUCCUUUUCCAGUUCCAACAUACCCUCUCAUCAAACACAACAUCCCUGCUAACUGAUACUUUGUUUGUUGAAGGAUCCAAGAUCCUAUACCCCUUCUUGACAGUGCUGUAGCCACCAGAACACCAGGUCGAGCCCUUUCAGACAACUUGUCCCUUUUAAUAGCAGGUACAUGUGCAUAACAAAUGCAUCCAAAAACCUUCAGAUGAGCCAGUGAUGGCUUGAAUCCAAACCAGGCCUCAAAUAGAGUUUUCUGGUCCAAAGCCUUAGUUGGAAGCCUAUUUUGAAUGUAGGUUGUAGUGUUAACUGCUUCUGCCCAUAGAGCUUUAGGCAGAUUCUUCUGAAUCAUUAGGCACCUGGCCAUAUCCAUCAAGCUCUUGUUCUAUCUUUCACUUACACCAUUUUGCUAAGGUGUAUAAGUGUUGGUAAGCUGAUGUUUGAUGCCUGCCUUAUCACAGAAGGCUUGGAACUAAGCUAAGGUGUACUCAGUCCCAUUAUCAGACCUUAUGGUCUUCAGCUUGCAGCCUGUUUCAUUCUCAGUAGCAGUCUUGAACUUCCAGAACACAGAGGCCACUUCUGAUUUCUGUUUUAAGAAGUAAAUCUAACAAUAUCUCGAGAAAUCAUCAAUGAAUAGUAUGAAAUACCUGUUUCCACUUAGUAACUCAGUCUUCAUGGGGCCACAUACAUCAGUGUGCACCAGUUGUAGUCUUUCAGAGGUUCUCCAAGCUUGAUUUGAGGGAAAUAGAAGUCUAACCUACUUGCCUAGCUGACAUACUUCACAUACUUCCUGGUUUUGAACUAAGCUUAUGAAAUUUUCAGCCAAGCCACUCCUGCACAUGUGCUCCAUUGACUUGAAAUUGGCAUGACCAAGUCUUUGAUGCCAAAGCUUGGACUCAUCUGUUGUAGCUGCGUAGGCAGUGUCUGACCCUUUUGUCCAGUCAACCACAAAGCUUUUAUUAGCCAUAGGGACUGCCAUCAGCUUGGAUCCAUUUGGAUCACUGAUUUGGCACUAAUUGUCCUUGAACACCAUAAAAUACCCUUUCUCUAGCAAUUGUGCUAUGCUGAGUAGGUUCCUGUCAAUUUCAGGCACCAAAAGCACAUUUGAAAUUACUUUGGCACUUGUAGAAGUGCAUUUCAGCACAUCACCCUUGCCUUCAGCUUUUAUAAAGUGGCCAUUACCUAUUUUGACUUUGGUUCUGCAGCUUCUGUCUAAAGACUUAAAGAUUGCAGCAUCAGGUGUCAUGUGAUUGGUGCAUCCACUAUCUAGGAGCCAACCAGAUGAGAGCCUUUCCUAUGCAGCUGAGCAUGACACAACAAAGACUUGCUCCUCUUGGUCACUAUCUUCCUUGGCUACUUGAGCCUCAGCUUUCAUCUAUUGAAACUGGUUCUGCCUUGGUUUGCCCUUGCUUUUGCAGACCCUUUCCACAUAUCCCUUCUUCUUGCAGUGUUGACAUACAACAUCUGGUCUAAACCAGCAUUUUUCUUCUGGAUGUCCAGGACUCUUGCAAUGCCUGCAAGGUUGGUCAUUACUCCUUGCAACAUCAGGCUUAGGCCUAUUUUUCCAGGUCUUCUUGCCUUUGUAGGCAGUAUUGGUCUUUGCCUGAAAGGCACCUUCUUGAUGCUCCUCCAAUCUGCUAGCUCUUCUCUACUCUUGUGCAUAGAGAGCAUUGAUGAGUUCUAUCAAGGAAAUGCUGGUCAAAUCCCUUGAGUCUUUGAGAGAUGAGAUUUUUGCCUCAUACCUCUCUGGUAAGGUUGAAAUCACCUUCUCCACUAUCCUUGCUUCACUGAACUGCUCACCAAGGAGCCUUAUGUUGUUCACCACUGCCAUAAUCCUGUCAGAAUACUGUUUGACAAUUUCUUCUUCCUUCAUCUUUAAUUUCUCAAAGUCUCUCCUCAAGUUCAAUAGUUGUUGCUGCCUUGUCCUCUCUGUCCCUUGAAAUUCCUCUUUCAACUUGUCCCAGGCCUGCUUUGGUGAUUCACAGGCCAUAAUCCUUGUGAAAAUCACAUCAGACACUGAGUUUUGGAUGCAAGACAUGGCCUUGUGCCUAUUGGUCCUCUCAUCAGCAUGCUGCCUGAUUUGAGCCACUGUUGGAUUGGCUCUGAGUGGCUCUGGUUCAACAUCUAAGUUGACCACCUCCCAUAAAUCGAAGGCCUACAGGUAGGUCUUCAUUUUGACCACCCAUAUGUGGUAGCCUUCUCCAUUGAAGACUUGAGGUGCAGCUGGUGAAAAACUUGAUGAGGCCAUAGGUUUGUAUAACAGGUCCCUUAAGAUUAAAGCUCUAGAUACCAAUUGUUGGUGUUAGAACAGAAAUAAAAUAAGUCUGACUUCACUCUUGUGCAGCACGUCUCGAUGCUUGUUGAGCAAACAACCAAAUUUUAGAUAAAUUUAAGGAAGAAAAGUAAUGAAAACUUGAGAAAAAAUUGAUGAACAAUCUGAUUUCAUUCAUAAAAAAUGAAUAAUGGCAUAAUGCCAAUACAUAAACCAAGCACUAAGCUUGUCAAAAACAGUACGCAUUUACCUAAUUAUUACCUAACACCACUAAAUAUUGAAACUUGAAGUAAUUAACUUGUGCAUACAAGCAAAGUUGCCUUAACAGCUCAUAUGUCUGCAAAUUACAUCAGUCAUCUACCUAACAUAGUUCUAAAUUAACUAAAUUACAUUUCAUUAACUAGAGAUUACAAAAUAAACAAGAGUUGGAUUGAUUGAGCUUGUUGAAGUAGCUUUUGCCAUCCUCGAUCUUCAUGGUCUGUAUGUUGGCUUGUGCUGCAGCAUGCUGGCUCACUUCAUCAUGCAGCAUUCUAGCCAUCUUCAUCAAUAAUAUGCUUGGUAAGCGGCUUUAGAGUACUUAUCUCUUAAAGACCCUUCCAAUAAAGAACAUCAAAAACAGGUGGAGUAUUAGAUUAAUUCAGAAUCUACAAUAUAGUCGAGUCCUCAAGUCAGUACAGAAAUUCAUAAUAGAGUUACUUGUUUACCAUAAUACUCUAUUGCCAAAAACAGAACUAGGAGAGAGAUUAAACCUCUAAAGAAAUAUACCGAGGUUGAUCUGGUAGCUUAUUUUUUAAACGUGGCUAAAGAUACAGAUGCAACUCAAAAGCCAUUUAAUUAUUCUAAGGCUGUUAGCUUUGAAGACUCAGAAAAGUGGAUGCUUUCUAUGCAAAAGGAGAUCGAAUCACUCCACAAAAAUAGAAUAUGGGAUCUUGUGAAACUUCUUAAAGGCAAAAAGGUUGUUCGUUGUAAAUAAGUGUUUGAAAAGAAAGAAGAGACUCUAGGAGUUGAAGAACCUAAAUAUAAAGCAAGGCUUGUUGCAAAGGGUUACAAUCAAAUUCUAGGAGUGGACUUCACAGAUAUGUUCUCCCCAGUUGUGAAGCAUAGUUCGAUUCGAGCUUUGCUUGGUAUUGUGACCUUGCAUGGUUUGGGGCUUGAGCAGUUAGAUGUAAAAACUAUAUUUUUAAAUGGAUAACUUUAGAAGGAUAUUUACAUGCAACAACCAAAGGGUUUUACAGUCUUAGAAAAAGAGGGUUAUGUUUGCUUGUUGAAAAAGUCCCUUUACAAUUUGAAACAGUUACUAAGAUAGUGGUACAAGAGGUUUGAUUCCUUUAUUACUUCUCAUGAUUUCAAAAGAAAUAAUUUUGACAGUUUUGUUUACUUUAAGAAAAAUAGUGAUAGGUCUUUUGUGUAUCUACUCCUUUAUGUUGAUGGCAUGUUGAUAGCAGCGAAAGAUAAAUGAGAGAUAAGAAAGGUCAAAGCCCAACUAAGUGAAGAAUUUGAGAAGAAAGAUUUGGGACCAGCAAAGAAGAUACUUGGUUUGGAGAUUCUCAGAGAUAAAAAAACAAGUAAAUUAUACCUAAGUCAGAAGGGGUACAUUGAGAAAGUUUUUUAUAGGUUCAAUAUGCAGAGUGCUAAACCUGUUAGUAUCCGUUAGCAGCCCAUUUCAGACUUUCAUCGGCUUUGUCUCCACAAUCAUGUGAUGAGAUUGAGUACAUGUCACAUGUUCCAUAUUAUAGUGCACUGGGAUCUCUCAUGUAUGCUAUAGUUUGUACACGUCCAGAUUUAUCACAUGUAGUCAGUACAGUUAGCAGAUACAUGGCGAAUACCGAGAAAGAACACUAGAAAGCAGUUCAGCAGAUUUUAAUAUACUUACGAGGUACUACUGAUGUUUGCUUACAGUUUGGAAGAACUAAAGAUAGAGUCAUUGGGUAUGUUGUUGUUGAUUUUUAAUGGAGACGUUGAUAGAAGAAGAUCUGUCACAGGUUAUGUAACAUCCCAAACUGGGCUAGACGUUAUGGUCAAAUCUGGUAAUGUUACAAUAAGAGAUUUUGAAAACAGUGCAAAUUUAUUGAAGCUCGGUAACCCAUUUUGUUUAUACAUAUUUUAUUGAAAAUGUUUUAUUAACUAAUUUAUUUUUCCAAAACAUAAUUUACAGCAGAAGUCUUAAAACUGUUUUAUAUUAAAAAUACAGUCCGUAUUUUUAGAAAACCUUUAUUUUCAUAAAACCGUAUUUUUAGACACGCAUUACAAUGAAACGUUAAAAACACAUCCAAACCUAAAGUAAAAACCAACAAUCCAGAGAGUACCAAAAAUUAUAAACUCUCAAAUAAAAUCAGAAUUAUAAAUAAAAAACCAUAGAUUAUUAAAUUUAAACAGUUCAAGAAUAGGUGGUCACCGUUGUGCCUCCGUCGGACUGACCCGUCUAAAUUUGUGGAUUACUUAAACAGAAUAAAUAAAUAGAAAUGAGUUUUCGUAAACUCAGUGUGUAACCCAAUAAAAAUAGACAUGCAAAACGUAUAGAAGUCUCGUAUACAGUCAGAAACAAAUUUGGACUCAUGUCCAUUUCAUAUACGAAUAACAGAUAUAAAAAUAUAGAUCAGAUAUAUAGAAUCCUACCCUCAUCAUCUACACACCAACUACGACCAUCCCAUCACACCAUGUGGGGUUAUAAACACCCACCCAUCCCUACACAUCAUAUCGUGCCAUUACGAAACAUAUCAUAUAAAAUGCAAUCAAGCUGCCAGAAUAUAGGCAAUGUACACCGUACAAAACACUUCCUCCACAUACACAAACCCCACCCCAAUCAUAUAUACAAAAUCAAAAUUAUCAUGCUUAUAUACAUAUAUCAGAUAAAUCAAGCAUAUAUAACAUUAUCAUACUCAGAGCAAAACAUCAGGCUAUCAGAUCAUACAGUUUUAAGGUUUGGAUAGCCCUUACCGACCCUAUGAUAGGCCCACAGCCGAUCAGAAUGACCCGUGCGACCUUGGGGAAAUUUUCAAAAAUAUGCGCCCACAUACCCGUGUGGCUUGCCCGUGUGGGCCCACACACCCAGAUUAGCCUUGCCCCGUGUGGCCCACACCCCCAACUUGGUCUAGCCCGUGUGGCUUACACGACCACACCCAUAUCGUCACAUGAUCGUGUAUUGCGCACGGCCAUGCCCUUAUCAACCACACGGUCGUGUCUUGCAUACGGGCACCCACACAACCGGCCACACACCUGUGUGGCGCCAACAAUAAGUAAUUUCAGCUUUCGCGAAAACUUCAUUUUUCGCAAUUUGGGAACACACCUAGUAUGUUUCCGCAGCAAAUGUAAUCUCAAAACCACCAGAACCUAUAACUGAUUGAUAAAACACCGCAUUAGUCGCUUAAACCGAUACCAAACCAAACUAUCAUGAAACAGACAAUACUUUGAACCACAAAAACCCUUACCUUUGAAUGAACAAUGGUGAUUUCGAACCACUACAGCACCGAUUGGAAGCCCCUAGCCUCUUAAUCUUUUCCUAAACACAAAACGAACCCCAUUAUUCAACGAUUCAUUAUCCCAAAAUAGUUACCACACUUACCACACUUACCAGAAAUGCACAAAGAGCACUGACGAACUGGAAAAUCGAGAUUAUUUGAUAGGAUUUAGACAGAAUUUUAGAAACAAUGAAAAGAAGGAUUUUUUCCCCAAUCACAAAAAAAAAGUUAGAAAAGAUUAGGGAAAAUUUUGAAAAAAAAAGUAUAAAUAGAAAUAAAAAAAAUCCAUUUAAAAUCCCUCUAAUAUCCUAACUCCCCACUAAUUCACAUCCAACUGCCCUAGAAUCACAACUCCACCGAAACACUGACACAAAAUCGAGCAAAAAUAACAUCCUCGCUAACGUUAUAAUUCGAACACAGGAUCUCCAGCGCAACAAACACCCUUACCACUAGAACUAACAGGCUCAUUCUCAUAGAAAUUAACAGACAAUUUUACAUAAACCCAUUCGGCAAGGGUAAGGCUAAGAUUAGAAAAAUAACAAAUUUUGGCAAAAGUGAGAUUUGAACCCAAGACCUUACACAAACAGAGAACACUUAACCACUGAAGCAGAUACAAGAUUAUGUUAGAUAUUUAUAGAAACAGAAAUAAAUUAAUCAGGGUGUUACAGGUUAAGUCUUUACAAUUGGAGGUUGUACAAUCAGUUGAAAAGCCACUUUGCAAACUACAGUCACUUUGUCUACCACUGAAGCUGAGUACAUGGCAAUUACUGAGGCUUGUAAAGAAGCCAUUUGGUUGACAGGACUCUUUAGUGAAUUCAAUGAAGACCUUCAAAUCAGUACAGUAUUUUGUGACAGUCAAAGUGUCAUCUUCCUUACAAAAGAUCAAAUAAUUCAUGAGAGAACAAAGCACAUUGAUGUUCGGUAUAAUUUUUUUCGUGAUAUUAUUGCUCAUGGUAAUAUUGUUGUGAGCAAAAUUAGUACUCUUGAAAAUCCUGCAGAUAUGAUAACUAAGUCACUUCCCAUAACAAAGUUUGAGCAUUGCUUAGACUUGGUUGGUGCUCUUUGUUGAAGUAACCCUUAAGGGAUUUUAUGGAAGAGGUGGAGAACUUGUUCGUUAAGAGUUACGGAUGAAGAACUUAUUCAUUGAGAAUUCAUGUCAAUGUGAAGAUUGUAAGAAUUAAGUAACUCAAAUCCUUAUUAAAAUAAAAUACAGCGGUAAAAUAAAAUAAAAGUAAAAUCAUAUAGAACUACACUUCUUUUAUUUUAUUUUAGACUAAGGUUUUUAAACCUUAUUAAACUUUAUCUAUUUGAUAUUGAUUAGAAUAAGGUGUUUUAAUCUUACUACACUCCUUCUAUUAGAAUAUGGUUUUACAAACCUAUAAAUAGAUAAAGUAUACUCCUCUUGUAAUUAUUCGAAUUCGACAAGGUGAAUUAUCUUCUCAUCUGCCCGUGAUUUUUUUCUCGAAAAAGUUUCCACAUAAAAAUCUGUAUGUUCUUUAUUUUUCUUUCUCUUUUAUUUGCGAUAUAUUAUCAUUAUCGACGUUUUAUUUUUUACAAUUUAAAGAUUCAACGCCAUUUUAAUAGACAAGUUACCCCUUCAUUGCCUUUAAAAACUUUCCACAUUCUUUUUUUGAUUUAAAAUCUUUUCUUCGUUAUUCAUAAAAAAUUUAUAUUAUUCAUUGCGAUGGAUAAACAAUACUUUAUUCAGAGUAAAUUAUUUUCAUCACUCAAUUAUAAAAAUUUAUAAAAUGUCAUUCAAUUAUUUAAUUAGAUAAUAAUGAAAGCUUUUAAAAUGGCAUAUUAGCAACUUUAAUCCUAGACAUUUAUACAUCAUGUCAAUUUAGUCUUGAUUCUAAAAAAUUUAAUUCUCAAUAUUUACGUAAUGUAUAAUUUUUUCUUUGUGAUCCUUUAGUCUAUAAAGCUAAAAAUACAAAUUAUCAACUAAAUUUAAUUAAAAAUAUACAAAAAAAAUAGAAACACCAAAAAAUUCAAGAUAAUAAUUUUCAUAUUUUUUCAUUCUUUUAAAAUUAACCCUUAAUGUCACAAAGAAAAGUAAAAUUGUAAUAAAAAAAAACCCAAAUAACACAAUGUAUAAUGAUGGUUAAUUUUUUUUAGAAUCAAAAUUAAAUUGAUAUUAUUUAUAAAUAUUAAGGGUUAGCAUUGUUAUUAUGUCAAUUUUAAAACUGCUACUAUGAUAAAAAGAUAAUUAAAUUGUUGAAUGAUAUUUUUGUAUUUUUUUUAUCAUUGGAUUACAAAAAAUAAUUAGUAUUUUUCAUAAACAUUUUCCUUUUUAAAAAGCUACAAUUCAUCCCGGUAACACAAUAAAUUUAAGUGGUGUACUUGAAUAUGACAAGUCCACUGAGCUCCAACUCUUCGUCGUUAGUGUUUUUCUUUUUCUUUUUGCUUUUGCUUUAUGGCGUAUCCUCUAGACUUAUACUUCGAGUUGUUGACUCAAGUCUUCGUGAUUGCUGAGCAUAAAAACUUAUUAAUUUCAUCAUUAGUUUUUUAAUCUAUAAAUUUAUUUAAAUUAAUACAUUACUUUUGAAAGAUACCAUUAAUUUAUUUUAAAAAAAUAAACUUUUUUAAGAUUUAAAUAUUUAUUUUUAUUGUUAAAAAAUACUUUUGAGAAAUAAAAUAUUUAUUUUAAUAUGAUAUUGUGAAAUAGAAUUAUGCAUUUAAGUGUUUGUUUAAUUGAGGCAUUUUAUUUUAAAAGAGAAGAGCACAUUAAUUAUUAUAUUUUAGUAUUUUGUUGAAUAUAAAUUAUUAAAUUGUUAAAUUUUAUUAAUUAUUAAUCAUUUAUAUAUAUAAAUGAUUAAACUACUAAUUUCCUAUGAUAUACAAAAAGGAUUAACAAUUUUAAGCAGUUAAACUAAUUUCUCAAUUUUUAUAAAAUAAAAGGAUAAAUUCUUACAUGAUUUCUCAAGUUAAAGAAUGAAACUUUAAUUUAAAUCGCUAAUUGAGGAUAUGCAAGAGCAGUACUUGAAGUCAAAUUAUGUGCUUACAUUCAUUUGUUUAAUCAAAAAAAUAUUUUUUUUUAUGUUCUAAAUUUAAAUUUGAAUUUGAAUUGAAUUUUUUUUAUUAAAAAUGGGAUAAAUUAUCCUCAUAGUCACUUUCAAAUUAGGUUGUUCCUAUUUUGAUCAUCUAACUUUUUUUUUCUAUAAUUUGAUCACUGUCAUUAAAGAAAUUCAUCACUCAAACACUACUAAAUCCAUCUUUUCCUUAUUCUAUCUCUCUUUUCUUCAUCCUCUCCCUUCUGAUCCAGAAAUCCUAACCGCCUGCCUCCGUUAAAGAUGUCAUUGUUGUUUCCGUCGAACUACCAUCAGUGAGCUCAAAAGUAGAAAGACAUUUGAAAAUCAAUCCAUAUUACCAACGAGAUUAGGAGAUUGAAGCACAAAAAUUCUAAAGUUUUGGGAGUGGCCUCUCAACUUUUGAGAUUUUUUAGAAAUCUAAUCCUAUAGAUAUAAAUUAAAAGGAGGCUUUGGAUCAACAGUCUAAUGUCAAAGAGGACGUCGAACAACGAUAGUGAGAAGUGAUGUUUGUGGUUAAGAAUAAUAAAUACUUAAAUAAUAAUAGAACAAUUCUUUUUAUUUUUAUAUUUUUAAAAAUUAUAUGUAUUUUUUAAUGGGUAAAUUACACCAACAGUCACUCAACUUUGAUGUAGCUAAUAAAGCAGUCACUUUGAUUUCAAUUUAGUCACUCAACUUUCAAAAAAUAACAAAUCAAUCACUAACGUUAUCGAAAAGUAACAAAUUAGUCACCCAUUAACAUUUUCCGUUAUAGGCCUAAAGGGACAGGUGGCGUGGCUAGUUAACUAGCUGAUGUGGUCAGUUAACUUGCCACGUUAGAUGAGGCAAAGUUUCAAUUCAGUCAUUCAACUUUCCAAAAAUAACAAAACAAUCACUAACAUUAUUAAAAAGCGACAAAUCAGUCACCCAUUAACAUUAGUAUCAAAAAGUUACAAAUCAGUCACUCAUUAACAUUUUCCGUUAUAGGCCUAACAAGACAAGUGACAUGGCCAGUAAACUAGCUAGUAUGGCAAGUUAACUUGCCACGUUAGACGAGGCAAAGUUGUGUGACUUUUGUUUUUCAUCCUUUAUUUUCCAUUUUUUUCAUACAUGACCCAAUAUUUUUACUUUCUGCAUAAAUGACCCAAUAUGUUUAUACUUCUUCUUCUCCAUCCCAACAAUCUCGUCAUUGCCGCCUCCACCACAACCAUCUUUGGCGUCACCAUCGUUGACCUCUAAACCACCACCCUAUCCUUUUUUUUUCUUUUUCAACCCCCCAAUAGAGGAGCCACCACGAUUGGGAUCUGAUUGUCUUUUUCUGCUGCCCAAAAACAUUAACUUUGAAUUAACCAGAUCGAAAUGGGAUUAAGAUAAUUUUGGGUCAAAUUAUCAGUACCCACAUCCAAACCGGUGAGGAGAAAAUCCUCCAAAGCAACAUUUAAGCAAUUCAAGAAUCAAAACAACUCAGAUUUGUCGAGAUCUUCAUGGGAUAUGAUGAUAUAAACAAAAGGGGGCGUCAUUUAAGCUAAACAACACUAACUCCAUUACCAACAUUAUCAAGUUGCGUAAAACAAAAUCAGAAGCAAAACAAGGGGAACAUCCAAACAAACCAAACAAUCGAUUAAACUUAUGAUUUUCGAAAACAAAGGAAACGGUUCCUCCAAAAGGACAACCAAAUGCCGACAAGUGAAAUUCUGGGUCAGGUCAGUGAUUAGCAAGAUCCAAAAGCUAAAAUCAGACUGGGUAUUGUAGAUAAAAGAGGAUGAGAGAUGGAUCAGAGAAAGAGUGGCAGAGAUGGUCGGCAAUGAAAGUUGUGGUCGAGGUAAGGUAUGCCUAGUCCUUGGAAAAGGGUUUGAAUCGGGUCAUUGACCUAAGGGGUAAUCUAGAAAGGAUAUCAAAAAGGGUAUUUUAGGGUAAUGAGAAUGAAGAAGCCAUGGUUUUCAGCUUUCUUCCUGAGCAAGAAGAAUUUAUUUUAGGGUUUUAUUUGUUCUUAUUUUUGGGUGUCCGGUUUUUUGAAAGUUAGUAGGUCUGAUUUGUUAUUUUUUGAAAGUUGAGUGACUGAAUUGAAAGUUAAGUGACUAUUUUGUCAUUGAGAUCAAUGUUGAGUGAUUGUUGGUGAAUUUACCCUUAUAUAUAUUUUGAGUUCGAAAUAACAUGGUGGUCGGUUAAAUGCCAGGUCACUUUUAUGUUACGUAUGUAAUGAAAAAUGGUUUUCGGACUAAUUUGUUAUUUUUUGAAAGUUGAGUGACUGAAUUGAAAUCAGAAUGAUUGUUUUGUCAGCUACAUCAAAGUUGAGUGGCCAUUGGUGUAAUUUACCCUUUUUUUUAAAUUAUGUAUAUAUAUGUUUUCCUUUAUUUUUUAUAUAUUUUUUAUAUAUUUACAAUUUUUAAAGUUUAUAUUUGAAACAAAAUCUAAAAGUUAUACAAAACAAAUGCUAGUUGGCAUUUUCCAUUGGCUAAACAGCCACCAGAUUUUAUUUAAUGUCCGUUAAAAAAUUAGACCAAAAACUAUAAUCAAACAAUUCUUUAGGUAUCAAAUUGGGACAAAAAUAAAUUUAAAUACCAACGUGAGAAAAUGAGUAUGCUUCAAGAAUCAAAUUAUGAAUUAAAUUUUUUUUCAAGAAUUUUAUAUUUUUAUAAUUUAAAAAAUAAUAAUUUCAAAAUAAAUUCUCAAAUUUUAAAAAAAAAAUCCUCUAGAGCAUCAAAAUUAGCAUUACUAAGAUUAAGAUAAAUAAUCCAAAACAUGCUUCAUAAAACCAAAAAUACAAAAAGCCAAGUGAUUAUGAAUUUCUUUUGAUCAAUCCCUCACAUUUAAUCUCUAAUAAUUAACUCUCUUUUUUUCAAAUAAAUAUGAUAAGCAGAAAAUUAGGGGAAGUUUUAGAUUCAUCAAGUUCAUUGAGUCUGUCAUAAAUAGAUCAUAAAUUGGCAUCAUAAAACUCAGUGAGCAUGAUUUCAGUUAACCAAACCAUUGAGUGAUUGACCAUACGUGGAAUAAGGCAUUCACAUAGCAGUUCAUCUAAACCAACCCUUUGUAAAAGUAAUUCUUGUAAUAGAACAUAAAUAGGUUCAUCAUAUUAAGUAGAAAAAGAAAACAAUUUCGUCCUAAAUCUUAAAAAAGUGAAUCUAUUCUCAAGUAUUAAAAUUACUGAUCACCAGAGGUGGUAUUGGAGAUAAUGCAGUUGUCAAUUACUGACUCUAGCUUGAUUAAUUAAAAUUUCUUUCUAAUUAAAAUUUCUAUUAUUACAUUAAUUCGAUUUAUAGAUUUCCCUAUUAGAUUUGACUCUAAUCCGAUAGAUUUAUGUCGUCUUAUUUCUAAGAGUGCAUGCAAUUCCAUUCAACUAGGCAAGAUCUACUUUUAAACAAUGUCUAUUCCUCCUCUGAUUUAAGCACAUCAAACAUGGAUCAAUAAUUAGAAAUAUCAAACCAAGAAUUAAGCACACAUAAUUGAGAACAAGAUCCAAGUAUUUAUUGUGUAAAAUAAAAAUCAAAUGACAUAAUCCAUCAUAGGGUUUAUCUCUCUAGGUAUUUAGACAAUUAGUUCAUACUUGAAAAUAAAAACAUCUAAAACACAGUAUAACUAAAAGAAACAAAGAAAAUCAUGAUAAUCUCCUACGAAAUCAACUAGAAUCUUCAAUCUUGAUGGAAAUCUUCAGAUCGGCUUCAAUGGUAUUUUUCAAUUUAUUUUCUUAAAUAUUCUAUGACGACUCCCCCUAUCUUCUUAUUUUUGUUAUAUAUACAUCUUAGAAUGCUAGAAAAACUUAAAAAUCAUGUUUUUGCUCAGUUUAGGGUGCAAUCUCAUGUAAAUAACACAGCCUGCCACAUGGUCGUAUACCAGCCUAUGUGGCUCACACAAUUGUGUGUCAAGGCCAUGUGGAAAUGGUCAACCUGUGUGGUUCCUGUUGGUCGCUCUGAUUUUUCAAUUUUCGCUUGUUUUUUUACUCAUUUUGCUCUUAAAUGCUCUCCUAAGUAUAAAAACAUGAAUUUAAAAUAUUAUGAGCAUAAAAUUCACCAUUUGCAUCAAAUAAUUACCCAAAAAUGCAUUAGAAAUAAGGCUAAAACAUGUUACUUUUAGCACUUAUCAAGGCUAUUCUCAUUAUAUCUAUCGAUAGUUAUUUCCAACUCUUUGGAACUGAAGAGUUUAGCUUUAUCCAAACCACCUUCAUUUAAAGACAUCUUUUUUUUUGAAACAAUAAUCCACCAUUGAAAGAGGACUUCUUGAUGGGCAAGGAAUUUGAAAACUGAAGUUUUGUGAGCACUGCAUUUUUGGGAAGAAAAAAGAAUUCAAUCCACUAGAGGAAUCCAUAACACGAAAGAAACGUUGGAGUAUAUUCAUUCUGAUCUGUGGGGGUCAUCCAGAGUGCCUUCGAGAGGUGGAGCUAAUUAUAUGCUAACACUUAUUGAUGAUUUUUCUAGAAAAUUUUGGGCAUAUUUCCUGAAGCAGAAAAGCGAUGUAGUUUUUGUAUUUAAGUCUUAGAAAACUAUGAUUGAAAACCAGACAGGAAAAUACAUAAAACACCUCUAUACAAACAAUGGCUUAGAGUUCUGUUCUGAUGAGUUUAAUAAACUAUGCAAGUCAGAAGGGAUCGUGAGACACCUGACAGUUCGUUAUACUCUACAACAAAAAGACAUUGCAAAAUGAAUAAACAAAACAGUUAUUGAGAAAGUUCGAUGUAUGUUGUUGAAUGCUAACUUACCAAAGUCGUUUUGGGCAGAAGUAGCCUCUACUAGAUGUUUUUUUUAUCAACCGAUCUCCUUCUAUUGACAUUGAGAAAAGACUCUACAAGAGGUAUAGUCUGGUAAUCUUACUGAUUAUUCUGAUUUAAAGAUCUUUGGGUGCCCUGAGUAUGCUCAUGUUGAUAAUGGAAAAUUGGAACCAAGAUAUAUUAAAUGUGUUUUUCUUGGUUAUAAAGCUAGUGUAAAAGUGUAUGAGUUUUGGUGUCCUAAAAAUAGAAAUAUUGUGAUUAGCAGAGAUAUUUUUUUUUAUGAAACUUCUAUGCUGCCCGACUUAUCUCUUAAACACUCUUCCAAUAAAAAACAUCAAAAACAGGUGGAGUAUCAGAUUAAUCCAGAAUCUACAACAUAGUUGGCUCCUCAACUCAGUAUAGAAAUUCAAAAUAGAGUUACUUCUUUACCACAAUACUCUAUCGCCAAAAACAGAACUAGAAGAGAGAUUAAACCUCCAAAGAAGUAUGCUGAGUUGAUCUAGUUGCUUAUGCUUUAAAUGUGGUUGAAGAUAUAGAUGCAACCCAAAAGCCAUUUAAUUAUUCUGAGGAGGUUAGCUGUAAAGACUCAGAAAAGUGGAUGUUUUCUAUGCAAAAGACGAUUGAAUCACUCCACAAAAAUAGAACAUGGGAUCUUGUGAAACAUCCUAAAGGCAAAAAGUUGUUCAUUGUAAAUAAGUAUUGAAAAAGAAAGAAGGGUCUCUAGGAGUUGAAGAACCUAGAUAUAAAGUAAGACUUGUUGCAAAGGGUUACAGUCAAAUUCUAGGAGUGGACUUCACAGAUGUGUUCUCCCCAAUUGUGAAGCAUAGUUUGAUUCAAGCUUUGCUUGGUAUUGUGGCCAUGCAUGAUUUGGAGAUUGAGCAGUUAAAUGUAAAAACUAUAUUUUUGCAUGGAGAUCUUAAGGAGGAUAUUUACAUUUAACAACCAGAGGGUUUUACAGUCUUAGAAAAAGAGGACUAUGUUUACUUGUUGAAAAAAAUCCCUUUACAGUUUGAAACAGUCACUAAGAUAAUGGUACAAGAGGUUUGAUUCCUUUAUGACUUCUCAUGAUUUCAAAAGAAAUAAUUUUGACAGUUGUGUUUACUUUAAAAAAAACAGUGAUGGUUCUUUUGUGUAUAUACUCCUUUAUGUUGAUGACAAGUUGAUAGCAGUGAAAGAUAAAUGAGAGAUAAGAAAGGUCAAAGCCCAAAUAAGUGAAGAAUUUGAGAUGAAAUAUUUGGGAACAGCAAAGAAGAUACUUGGUAUGGAGAUUCUCAGAGAUAGAAAAGCAAGUAAAUUGUACCUAAGUCAGAAGGGGUACAUUGAGAAAGUUCUUUGCAGGUUCAAUAUGUAGAGUGCUAAACCUGUUAGUACUCCUUUAGCAACCCAUUUCAGGCUUUCAUCGGCUUGGUGUCCACAAUCAAAUGAUGAGAUUGAGUACAUGUCACAUGUUAUAUAUUCUAGUGUAGUGGGGUCUCUCAUGUAUGAUAUGCUUUGUACACAUCCAGAUUUAUCACAUGCAGUCAAUAUAGUUAGCAGAUACAUGGUGAAUCCCGAUAAAGAAUACUGAAAAGCAGUUCAGCAAAUUUUAAUAUGCUUACGAGGUACUACUGAUGUUUGCUUACAGUUUGGAAGAACUAGAGAUGGAGUCAUUGGGUAUGUUGAUGCUGAUUUUACUGGAGACCUUGAUAGAAGAAGAUUUGUCAUAGGUUAUGUAACACCCCAAACCCAAAAGUCCUAAGUACUUGAGUUGUCAAGUGAGUUUGAUCAAUGCCGAUUGAUCUAGAUGUUCCAAAGUCUGAUACUUUAGCUCGAAACUUUUCAUCUAAUAGUAUGUUACUAGACUUGAUAUCUCGGUGAUAAAUGGGGAUGGAUGCAAAUGAGUGCAAGUAAGAAAUCGCACUCGCAAAUUUCGUAACAAUACAAGUCAAAAAAAUAUAGGUUGUUAUAAGACUAAGGGAAAAUCGGCUAGCAUAAACUUUAAUUAAAAGUGGUUAAAUUGUAAAUUUCGAGUUUAGGGACUAAAUUGCAUAAAAAGGUAAACCAUUAGGGGUAAUUUUAUAAAUUUCCUAUUGAUAAGGGUUAUAAGUUGUAUUAAUUAUAUUAAGUUAUUUGAAUGGUUUAAUUGAAUGAAAAUUAUUAUUUAGAUUAAGAAACGAAUCAAUCAGAUCUAAACCGAGGAAAAACAAAUGUGUUGGGUUAGUCAUCGAUUUCAUUUUUACAACUGUAUUUUUUAGGUAAGUUCAUAUAAAAACUAAAUUAUUAUGAAAUUUUUUGUAUGUAAUAUUAAUAAAUAUUUAUGUUACAAUUAGAUUAGAUUAGUAAUUGUAUGAUAUUUUGGUAAUAUGAAUUAAAAUAGGAUGUUAAUCAAUUUGGAUGAUAUAAUGUUUUAAUUUGGAGGAGAUAUUCAAAAUGGUAUUAUGAUUAGAUGUGCUCAUGGGCCGGGCUGGGCCCAGAAAAAAAUUUCAGCCCGAGUCCUAGGCCCGGCCCGGCCCGAAAUAUGGGCCUAGAAUUUUGCCCAGGCCUGGCCCGAAAAAAAUUCAUAAGCCCGGGCCCGUUUUUUAAAUAAAUACCAAAAUUUUAUUUUAAAAAUUAAAACAAAAAUUAAAAAAGUAUUUUAAAAAUAUUUUAAAAUUAAAAAAAUUAAAAAAGUAUUUUAAAAAUAUUUUAAAAUUAAAAAAAUUUUAAAAAAAGUAUUUUAAAAGUAUUUUAAAAUUAAAAAAUAAAAAAAUAAAAAUAUUUAUUAUUUGGGCCAGGCCGGGCCCGGGCCAGGGCCAAAAAAGUGGUGCCUGAGGCCCAGCCCAUUUUUUAAUCGGGCCUCGUUUUUUACACAAGCCCAUAUUUCGGGCCUAUAUUUUUACCCAAACCCUCCCAUAUUUCGAGCGGGCCGUCGGGCCGGGCCGGGCCGCCCGGCCCAUGAGCACCUCUAAUUAUGAUGAAGGAGAUGUAUGUUUGAAAAUGAUAUAAUGAAAUGAAAAUAGAGGUUUUAGAUAUGUAAAAAUAUCUCGUUUGAACCUCGAGAAUUCUUAAGAUACAAAUGACAUAUCAUUAGGAAUUUAUAUGGUUUUGGGUGCUGGUCUUGGAUGUCCUACCGAUGGUUGAGGUCUUGCAUUUAUUACGAAUUCUUCAUAGCUCGUGUGAGCAGCAUCGUGUAGCUAACAUCUUGACCCACAGCUAGUGUGAGCAUUAUAGAGACGAUUACAAUUAUGUGUACAAGCACACUUUGUGUGAGCAUUUCCUGAUUAUUCAAUGAUAUUCUAUUUGGUUCCACAAGUAAAUAAAGCUUUAAAGGCUAUGUGAUUUCAUGAAAUGAUCCAUGAUUUUUUUAUUAAUGAUAUGGAUUAUGAUGAAAUGUGUAAUUGAAAGGAAAAGAUGGUUUAUUGUAUAUGUAUGAGUGAUGAAUUAUGAAAGUGAAAUGUUAGAUAUGUUUUAUGACAUGCUUUGAUUGGAUUUAUAUAUACAAUGUUACACUAACUAACCUUGUGAGAUGGUGCGUAUAGGAAAGUAAAGUUGGCUUACGACACAAUGAAAUUAUGCUUGGUUGUUUAACUUAAAAUGUUCGGUAAGUUUAACUUUCUUUUAUAUGAGCUUACUAUGCACUAGUUGUUUACAUAGUUAUUUUUCUCUGUCUUGUAGACUAUCAGAAAGCUCGAUCGGUUGGAAUCGCGUCAAAGCACGGUCACACUAUCCAUCCAACAUUUUGAUAGUUUUUGGUUAUUUUGGUAAAUGAUUAUAAAUGACAUAUAAUGGGGUUAUAAGGUUAUUCUAGUGAUUUGGCUUGUUUUGAGUUGUGCCAAGCUUGUUGUGAUUAAUGUUGUUGGUUAUUGGCAUGUAAAUAAUGGUGUAAAUAUAUAUGCUUGAACCCUUAUGCAUGCUUUAUUGAUAGAAGAUAUCAUAUGGUAGAAUGACAUGUUUUUGAAAUGGCUAUUUGGCAUGAUUUGUGUAGGUUUAAGUUAUGAUCUUAAGAUAUUUAAUUGAAUUAAGUUUGAUAUGUAUAUUGUGGUGCCUUCAUUGGCAUAUUGAUUAGAUCUUAAAGGAUGGUUGAUUUGGUAUGUUUUUGAAAUGGUUGUUGGUAUGUUUGAUAUAAGUUUAUUGAAUGAACUUGUAAUGUUGAAUGGUAUCAUAUUUGAUUUGUAGUUAUGGUACCUUUUUUUUGGUACAUUGGUUAGUCUUAUAGGUUGAUGGAAUUGGUGUGUUUAAAGUGUGUUUUGGUCAUUUGAAUGUUUGUGGAAAUGGUGUGCCUUGGUGUGCAAGAAUUUGGAUUGAAAUGGCUUGAUUUAAAGGCAACUUAUGUUGCGCACGACCUGGGACACGGGCUAUCACACGGUCGUGUGACCCAAUAUCGAAUGCAUACAUAGUUUGGCACACGGUCAUGUGGCCCUAUUUCAAAUACCUAUACAGGCAGACACACAGUCUAGGACACGGCCGUGUGUCCAUACUUUGAAUAUCCACAUGGUUUGGGCUAUGUCACACAACCUGGCCAUACAGCCAUGUGACCCUGUUUUCCCAAAUUUUCUAUUUUGUUUCAAAUUAAUGCCUAAUUGUUCCUGAGUUUUUUAGGGCCCCAAAGGCUUAGUUUAAGGCUUGAUAAUGUAUUUUUACUAUGGUUAUAUUAAGUUGUCGGAUGUUGAUAUUAAAUUGCAUAAUUAUUUUUAUUUUGAUGCUGAAAGUUCUGAUUUGUACGAUAAUGCUUUGUAACCCUAAUUCGACAACGGACUAGGGGUGUUACACAGUGGUUCCAAUGUGAGUUCAAGGUACCUUCUUUUUGUUUUGUUUAAGGAGUGGCUAUUAUGGAAUAUGCAAAAUAAAGGCAGCUUAAGUAAUGAUGAUAUUGGUUGGCAAAUCCUGUUUGUUAUAUUAUGUUGGCUAAUUUGGAAAUAUAGAAAUUUGCCUGUUUUUUAUAAUAGUCACAAGUGCACCCAAGCCAUUGUGGAUACAGGUUACUCUUGGGCUAGGAGUUAUGUUGAUGCAGAUGUGAAAAUGAAACAGCCAAGAUCCAUAAGGUUCUUUUCGAGUUGGUCGUCUCAAGAAAUGGGUUGGAUAAAGAUUAAUUCUGAUGGGGCGGUGUCAAUUAGUGGGAAGAGUACUUCCAUUGGAGGAGUGCUGAGGGAUUCAAAUGCAAAUUGGUUGUGUGGUUACGAUGAGUUUCGGUAAAGAAUAAUUUUGAAAGUUGAGACAAGAGUGAUGUUGGAAGGUCUUUUUAUAACUUGGGAGAAGGGGUUUGGAAAGGUUGAAGUAGAAUGUGAUAAUGCACUUUUGAUAGAGUUAAUAUUGUCCGGUGGAGGAGCCAAUAGCCUAGUGGAAUAAAGGUUAUUGCAUUAGUUGCUGCGUCGGAAAUGGGAUAUAUAUGUCCAACGUAUUCUGAUGGAUCAGGAUGGGGUUGCGGAUCACAUGGCUAAUGUACUGAUGCAUGAAAUUCUUUCCUCCGUUUGUUUGCACUUCCACCAGAUUCGGUUAGAGAAUUGUUGAUUGAGGAUCGAAUUAGAUCCUUUUAAUUUUUGAAUUGGUUACUAUAAUCACUUAAUGUUGUCUCUUUUCUACCAAAAAAAAUAAAAAAAAUAUACAUAAACUAUGAACAUACAUAUAAUUAAACAUUACUGAACCUAAAAAUUAAAACAAUAAUUAUCUUUGUCCAAAAAAUAAAAAUUAAAUAAAUGCUUUUUGUUGUUGGCUUGAUGACGAUCUUGGGCAUUGUGCUCUGCUUCAUCAUUUGUAAUUCAAGAUUUUAUCAUUUCUAGCCAUUAACAGUUCUGUACCGUCGUCGACGUCACUGAAAGAAUCCUUGUUUCCAGAUCGUUCAGCCUCAGCUCCAAACCCCUUUCUUGGGAGGGAAACUCCCAUCAAGUUUCAAAAAGGUCUUGAACCUCUCUUUCAAUUCUUUAAGCGAAUUUGUUCCUUCCAAAAUAUAUCAAAUUGAAAGGAAUAAGGUAUAUUGUGCUCUCUUCCAACAGCCUCACUCAUAACAUCUCCUCUUCUUUACAAUUUCUUUUAUUUGGCAAAAAACAUUUAAUUAUUUCACAUAUAUGUUCAAAGGUUAUAUAUAUAUUUUGAUUAUUUAUAUACUUUUUCAUAAUUUUUAUAUAUAUAUUUCAAUUUCCUUUCUAUUUUAUAUUUUUAAAUUAUGUAUAUAUUUUUCUUUAUUUUUUACAUUUUUUAUAUUUUUAAAAUUUUAUAUUUGAAAAAGAAUAAAAUUUAUAUGUUUUACAAAAAAAAACGAGGCGCUUUAUUUUAUUAGAAUAAUUUUUUAAGUACUAAAAUAGAAAAAAAUAGAUAUCAAAUUGAUAAGUGUAUAUACUUCAAGAACCAAAUCAUGAAUUAAAAUUUUUAAUAAUUUCAUAUAUUUUUUAUAAUUUCAAAAUAAAUUCUCAAUUUUUUAAAAAAAAAUCCAAAAAUCAACUUUACUAAGAUUAAGAUAAACAAUCAGAAAAUAAAGUUAAUAAUAGUUAAAUAAUUAGUAUUUUCCAUAAACAUUUUCCCUAUUAUAAUAAUAGAAAAACCACGAAUAACUAACGCAACUAAUACAACUUGAAUCUAAAUCACAUCUGUAAUAAGGCCCAAUCGGCCUGGGUCCAAACUAAACAAAAACAUGUCAGGCCCAACAAAUAAGUGGUCCAAUACAAGCCCAAUAACCGAUUUGCAAACCCUAGCCCAGCAAAAAUUAAUUUGCUGAAAUCCUAGCAGCCUCCUUGCCUCAGCGCCGCUCCCACGCGCAGCAAGUCUUCACCUUCGACAGUCCCAAGCGCCGCACGUCUCGGAGACCGACUCCCCACGCGCGCCAUGCUCUCCGCAACGAACCUGCAAACACGGAUUCAAAGAAUCCGAAAGAGGAAAAAUAGCAAAGAAUAACAAAAUAAAUAGUUUUUAUUUUGUACAUUUCGGCGAUAAAAGGGUCGAUUCAGUGUAAAAGGGGGGAAUCAAUUCAGUGUAAAGAAAUAGAAAAAUAGAGAGAAAAAUAUUGAGAUUUCUAAGUUUUUUCAAAGGUGAAUCGAGUUUAUUUUUUUAUUUUGUCUAUUUCUUUGUUUUAUUUUUUUUAUUUAUCUUUCAUUUAAAAUAAAAAAGAAAAGAAAGGAAAAAACUUACCUGGACGCCAGAGUCUUUAAGACCGGUGUCAUCUCCGUCGAAGUCGGAGCAUGGGCAUUAGGCUUGAUCGGCGGCGCAAAGAAAAGGGUUGAAGAAACCCUAGCAGAGUGAAUAAAAGGGCAGCAUUUAGUUUUUUUUUUUUAAAUGGGCUAUCAUAAUUUUAAAAGGAAAAAUUUUGAUUUAAAUAGUGUUACAAAAAACGGUGCCGUUUCACCAAGGAGGAUCCGCAUGUUCUGCCCUUAAAUGGGAUAUUUGGCUAUGGGUCCUUCCUUUUUGUGGCGCACUUCAAUUAAAUCCUUUUUUAUUUCUUUUAAUUUUAGCCUCACAUUUCGUUUCUGUCUCAAUUUAGUCCAUCACUGCACAACAUUUUAUGGGCGGGAUUAAUUUCGCUUUUAGUCCUCCAUUGUUGGGCACGUUUCCAAAUUAGUUUUUUUAAAUUUAUUUCAAAUUUGCCCCCUUUUCCGUUUUAAUUCAAUUUGGAUCAUUUUUUUUCUUCAAUUAUUUUAUUUUAUUUUAUUUUAUCAUUAUACCAUUAUUAGUAUUAUUAUAUUACUUACUAUCAUUAUUACUGCCACAUUUUCUAUACCUGUACAUAUGCGUACUUUAUAUAGGCAUGUUUAUAUAUAUAUAUAUAUAUAUAUAUAUAUAUAUAUAUUUAUUUUCUAAGCUUUUGAAAUUCGUAUAUAUUAUAUACGUACAUAUUGUUUUAUAGUUUAUAUACACUUACAUUUUAUACUUCAUUUUUUAUAUACCUUUAUAUACAUACAGAUUUUCACACACAUAUGUUUUUUUUUCAUAGUUUAUUUAUAUAUUAUAUUUAUAUAUAUAUUUUGUUCUUUUAUUGUAAAUAUAUACGCAUAUACAUACGUUUUCAUUUUUUUAUUUUUUGCUUUUAUAUACUCUAUAUUUUAUAUAUACAUAUGCUAAUACAUUUUCCUUAUUUUUGAAAGUUUGUACACAUCUGCAUGUUUUUAUACUCUUAUUUUAUUGUCAUUACAUAUAUACAUGUAUAUUUUUAGGAAUUGUUAUAGGUUUGCAGUAUAUUUCUUCACUUACCUUUUCAUGUAUUCCUAUAUUUAUGCGUGUUAAAUAUAUGUAUACACAUAUUUUUAAAUUUACUUGUAUACUGUGCUUGUGCUUAUAUAUUUUGUAAGUACAUGUACAUAUAUAUUUUAAAUUAAAAUAUUUGUAUCAUAUUGUACAUUAUUUUUUUUAACAUACACUUUUUGAAAAUAUAGUGUGGUUUUAACCAUACAUCAAAGCUAUUUUCUUGAUUCAAAGGUUUUUUUCUGAAUAAAAGCAAUAUUCGAAGUUUGGGAUUUUUGAGGGAAAUUGAGCCCUAACGUAUUGGGUUCUGAUUUUCUUUGUUAAUCUUCAAUAACUGAGGACAUUCUUUAUUCAGAAUGCAUGAGUAUAAAAAUCAUUUUUGGAAACUUAACUUGUUGUGUCCUAACGUAUUGGAUGUGGCAUGUUACUUUCUCAAAAUGAAGAUUUUCGCAUAAAAUAAAAGUGGAUAUUCAAAGUUCGGGGAUUAUGAGGAAUUGUACCCUAACGUAUUGGGACUCGAUUUCUUUACAUGACUUGAACAAUUGGUUAUCCUUUUGCAAAUUUCAUCAUUCAGACUUAUUUUAAAAUCUUUUUAACUUUCGACACUAAGACAUCAAAUAGUCAAUUUGGUACCGAUUUUGGGCGUUACGAGGGUGCUAACCCUUCCUCGUGCGUAACUGACUCCCGAACUCAUUUUCUCAAAAUUCGUAGGCCAAAAUAAUUUUUAAGGUGAGCCGAUCACACCCUAAUAAAGGAUCGGUGGCGACUCCAGUUUUAUUUUUAAAAGUCGACAACUAAAUUUUUGUUUUCAAAAAAACGGUUUCGACAACACCUAAAACGAUAAACAUUUUUAACCAUCAAGUUAUCAUAGGCUACAAAUUAACCCCGGGAACACAGCAAAUAUAUGUGGUGUGCUUGACUAGUUGCUUUAUCCUCUGGACUUAUACGUCGGGUUGUUGACUCCAAGUCUUCGUCUAAAAUUUAAUAUUUCUUUCGUAAUUGUAUAAUUUCCAUGACAAGUCUUCGUCGUUUGUGUUUUUACUCUUUCCUUUUGCUUUAUUGCUUUAUUAUCUCAUCAUAAUUAGAAUCAUCAUUCUAUACAUCAAUAAUUUGAAUGUUUAAACCGUACAAAUGAUUUCUAAGAAAAUAAAAUAUUAUUAAUUUCAUGAUUAGUUUUUUUAAUCUAUAAUUUUAAUUAAAUUAAAAUAUUAUUUUUAAAAAGUGAUUUUGAAAAAUACAAUAUUUUUAAAAAGUUUAAUAUAAGAUUUAAGUAUUUAUUUUUUAAAAAUAAAAUAUUUAUUUUAACAUGAUAUUGUGAAGUGAAAUUAUGCAUUUAAAUGUUUAUUUGAUUGAGAAGCUUUAUUUUAACAGAGAAAGACACAUUAAUUAUUAUCAUAAAAAUCUAGUAGCGAAGAGAUAUAUCAAGACUCCUAAAUUAGUAAUACCAAAAAAUAACCAAAGAUGCACUAUAAUAAUCAUCCACUAAAAGAAACAACUAAGAAACAUUCAAAUAGAAUUAUUGUUACCGCUAUCAUUAUUGGAGAACUCCAAAUAGCAGUUAUUUAUAGACAUAUUUUCGUCAGUAGCACCUAGUAGAACUUAUUUGGUAAAAAAUCAUUUAAAAUAUUAAUAAUUUUCAUUUAGAUUUAACUUUUUCAAGAUGAAAAUGCUAAAAUUUAAGAUGAAAUUACUAAUAUGAUAUACAACUAUUGAAAAUAGAUAAUAUCUCUGUUUUAUAUAAUCUUUUCCAAAAAAAUAUGUCUUUGUUCUCACUUCCAUUUUGAUGGUUGAAAUUAAGUAACUUUUGAUGUUGAUAAUAAUUUAAAAAAAAAACAUUUUAUAUUUUAAGUUAUUAUGAUUAAGUUACUUUGAAGCUUCCAUGUAACACUCCAAAUCCAGCCUAGAAGUUUAAGCCAAAUUUGGAUGAGUUAUACCAACGUAUUGAAAAUUGAUUUUUUUUUUGGAGUUUUAACAGAAAUUCAUUUUAGUCAAUUUGGGUCGUUUUGUAAUUUCGUGUUAGAAAUUGACAUAUACUGACAAGAUUAUCAAAAGAAAAGCAAGGCAAACCUACACUACACCAAAACAGGCUUUUAGCGGCACUUUUAGCGGCUUUUGGGCAGAAAAUAUUGGUAAAAAUCGGGCAUUAGCGGCGCUUAAGUGAAAUCGCCACUAAAGAUCGAGCCUUAGCGGCGUUGUUUUCUGACCUUUUCGGGGCUUUAGCGGCGUUUUUGAGAAAGCGCCGCUAAUGCUCGGGGCUUUAGCGGCGUUUUUGAGAAAGUGCCGCUAAUACUUCUUUAGCAGCAUUUUUGAAAAAGCGCCGCUAAUGCUCUAGUCUUUAGCGGAGUUUUUGAAAAAGCACCGCUAAUGCUGGGCUUUAGCGGCGUUUUUAAAAAAGCGCCACUAAAACAUUUUAUCUUAAUUGGUUUAUUUAUAUUAAUUAAAUAAAAUUCAAUUUAUUUCUAAUUGAAUAUUUAAAAUCUUCAGAAAAAAUUAAUGACACGUAGAAAUAAUUUGAAAUAAAACACACGGAAAAUUUAAAAUACUAUUAUUUAAAAUAAUUUUAAAGUUUUUUGGGUAAAUGAUUAAUGAUUGUUUUUUAAUUUAUAUAUUAAAAAAUUUCUUAUAUAAUCGUAAAAGAGAUAGUAUUAAUUUUAAAAUAUUGAAUUAAGUAUCACUAUAGUUUAGGGUUUUUGGUUUAAGGUAUAUGAUUAAUUUAAGAUUUAAGGCCGGUUUAGGAGUUACUGUUUUAAGGUUUAGGGAGUAGGGAUUUAGGGAUUAUGGUUUAAGGGUUGGGGUUUAAGGUUUAGGGGUUAGGGGUUAGACAUUGUAGGUUAAGAUUUAGGGAUUUAGGGUUUAGGGAUUCAAUGGUUGGGUUAGGGUUUUAGGUUUAGAUUAAUUAGUUUUUUAACUUAUAUUUUAAGGUUUAUGGAUGAUGGGUUUAGGGAUUAUGGUUUGUGGUUUAUGGUUUAAGGGUUGGGGUUUAAGGUUUAAAGGUUAGUGGUUAGGGGUUAAAGGUUUAGGGUUUAUAAAAUUUAUUUUGGAUAGGACCAAAUUAUAAAAAAUAAAAAUGAAAUACAAAAACUAAAAUCAUUCCACAUCGAACAUCCAGCAAAAUAGUUAUAUUUUAGCUAGGAAGAAAUAUCUCUAAUAAAAUGGAGAUUAGAUCGGAAAAAAAUAAUAUAAAAUCAUGAUUUAGGUCUCAAUCUUUAAUAGAAAUUUGAUAUGUGAGAGGUUGAUUGCUUAAUAAUUAAUUACAACCAUUUAAUCAUUUGUUUUCUUAUUAAAAUAUACAAUAUUUAUUUUGAGAAUAUUUGAUUUUUUUAAUAAAAAUCUAAUUUAUAAAAAAUAGUAAUAAUAAAUGUUUUAUAAAAUUACUUAAUUAAUUAUAAUUUUUAGCAGACAAAAUAAAAAAUUUUGAGCAGGGCAAAACGGCAAGAUUUUGUUCAAAAUAAUCAUUUUAUUUUAAAAAAACUCACUCCUUUAUAUCCCAAAAUUUCCCCCCUGAAACCCUAAUUUUUUACCUCUUCUUCGCGGUUUAUGAGUAUUAAAAAUUUAAUAGUCGCAUUUCGCUUCUUCACACUUUUCAAACUCAUUUCUUUUCCUCUCCCUCGAAACCGAAGGUUAGGAUAAUGGGUAAAAUAUUUUGUUUUUCUUUUGUUUACUAUGCUUUUGAGGUAGAGUAUGUUUAGGUCUUAACAGUUCUCUAUUUAUGUUCAUCGAAAUUAUUUGGGGUUAGCUUAAAAUCACUACAAAGUUAAAUGUCUCCAUCUCUGCAAGUCCCGCAAUAUAUAUAUUUUUGUGAAAAAUUUUGAACUUGGGAGAAAGAUAUCUAAUUCUUAUAGAUUGGUUUAUUUUUCUAUAUGAACCUUUCUUCUUCAUUGACUUCUCUUAAUCUGUUUGGGUGUCGUAUGCAAUGGAAUUUCUCUUAAUCUACCUCGAAUACAACUAAAUAAAAAUUCAUAUUUUUUCAACCAUUCUUCUGAAAAUUUAUUGUUUGUUUUGCAGUAUCUUUAAAGUGUAAUAUUUUUUUUCUGGGUUUGAUUAAAUGGAGAAAAAUAAGGAUGACGAUUAUGGAGAGGAAGAAGAUUCAGAGUAUGUAUUACUUGAUCUUGAAGCUGUUCGUGCGCAGAUUGACAUCCCUCCAAAUGCACCUUAUACUCUUUUGUAAGUUCUAAAUUUUUAUAUGUUACAAAUUUGUUAAGGUUUUUUUGCAGUUCUGUGAAAUUUAGAAUUUAUAACUGAAUGAGUAUUUAGGAAGUUUAGUCUUGAAUACAUAUGACAGAUACAAAUAUUUUAAGAAAACUAAGAAUCCGAGAAGAAAGCUUUGCCUUCGGUCUUUGUUGCUCGAUGUUCAUUUUAUAUUUGUUAAUUCAUAAAACGAAAGCUCUUAUAUUUUUACUGGUCAGCUUAUGAGGAUUAGGGAAUUUUCAUGUGUUGAUAGAGAUCUUAAUCUAGUUAUAUAUAAUACUAGCUAUCCGUGUGAUUGCUUUAAUUAUGAAGAACUUAAUCUAGAUUAUGUAUAUACUUGCUUUGUACUUGUUGGAUUUAAUAAAUAUUAGAUUCGGCAAUCUGCAUUUCAACAUUUAUGGUGUUAUAUAUUUAUAUAAAAUUUGGCAAGUUUAUAAUUUGUAUUAUAUAAAAUUUCUUAUAUUUGCGUAUUCAUUUAGUUUGCAAUAUGAUUGGUCUUAAUAAAAAUCAACUUAUAUAUGUUUUUGUUCGUAUAUUCUCAUGUAAGAAAUGCUGUGAACUUUUAACCUAUGAAUGAAAAUUUCACUUCCAUUUUACUCAUGUUCAAACAUGAUUUGCAAGCUAGAGUCCAAGAAUAUUUGUUUGAUUGAUAUAUUUUGUUCCCUCUUAUUUGUUCAUGUAAUCCAUUGGUUUUGUUGCUAACUUGUAUAGAAGGAAUCAGAUUCUGUUAAGUCAGAAGUUGAAGCAAACCAAGUUGAUGCUCUCAACACUCUUGACCAGUAUCAUCUGCUUUGGAUGAGAUUUUGUCAGUUGAAGCUGAAAAAGUAGAUGAUGGCAGGGAUGAGGGUGGUCAGCAACGAAAGGAGGUAAAGUAGUUGAGAAAGCAGUUUCCAACAUCUUGUCACAUAUGGAGCACUCCCUUCCUGUGCAACCUUUAUUAUUUUUAUUACCUUUUGGCAAUGAUUUGUUACUUAAACCAUUCAUUUAUAGGCUUGGGCUGUUAGUGGAGGUAGUGAGUGGAUUACUGAUCAGUUUUAUGAACUAGUUCCUGACAUGGCAAUUGAGUUUCCUUUUGAGUUGGAUACAUUCCAGAAGUAGGUACCUACCUCGAAAUUGAUUUAUCAUUUGAUUGAAAUAGAAUUAUUAUGGUUAGGGUAGAAAAUGAUGUUUCCAUACUUCUGAAAAUAAUUGAUCCUCUAACUUCUAAUAAAAAUGGAUUCUUUUACAUGAUUCAUAUUCUACUAAGAAUCUGUUCUUUAGUGGAUCCUGUCUGGUCAAGUGAUCCAAAGUACAUCUAAAUGUCAAUGCCAUCCUUUUGGUUUUUUUUAUUGCUCAAGCUUGUACACUGCCAAAGUGUAAUAUCUCUGUUGCACUUUUCUCCCCAUUUACGAAGCAUUGAGCAGUGCCCUUUUGCAGUUUUACCUGAUUGGAUUUAUUUUUGUUUUUUUCCAUUUUUGAGUGCUUGAUGCAUUCUGUUUAUUUGACAUUUUGAUUUGAAUAUCUCUUGAACUGAAUAAAAAUAGGUUUUCAUAAGUGCUUCAAAGAAAUCCUUCUUUCUUUGGAGUUUGUUUCUAGUAGCUCAUGUGGAUAAUAUAAUUGCCUUAAGUUCAUCCACUUAUAAAACCUUUGUAUGGGUUGCUUCUAUCUCUUUUCCCUCCCAGCUUAUGACUUGCAGUCUGUUUUGCCUACAAGAACAUCUCUUUAUCUUCUAUAACAAACUGCUCACAUUAAUAUUUUGAUAUUUUUUUGGUGAUGAUUACAGGCUAUUUAUUAUCUGGAAAAGGGAGAAUCUGUUUUUAUGGUGGCACAUACAUCUGCUGGAAAGACAGUUGUAGCGGAAUAUGCAUUUGCUUUGGCAUCAAAAUUACGUUAGUUAUUUUGGUUUUUGCUUGUAAAUCUAUAGACGUUUUGAUUUUUUGUUAGCUGGAGAUGUGACAAAUUGCUCACAUUGAUUAAGAACCUCAGGCCAUAUCUUUUUUAUUUUCAAGUUUCUGAAGUUCUAUGCCGAAUUUGGUUUAGUUUCAAGAUGUUUGAUAAGUUUUCAUGUCAUGCAGCAUUGCACUAGAGCUGUGUAUACUGCUCCAGUUAAAACAAUCAGCAACCAGAAGUAUAGAGAUUUCUGUGGGAAGUUUGAUGUUGGCCUUCUCAUAGGUGAUGUUAGUUUGAGACCAGAGGCUUCUUGUCUCAUCAUGACAACUGAAUUAUUAAGGUCAAUGCUUUAUCGAGGUGCAGAUAUUAUUCGCGAUAUUGAAUGGGUGAAGGUGUUGGGGUUGCUUUUUGUAGCAUUACUUUACAUAGUAGUUUCAUUACUUUUUCUGCUGAACGCUCUUGUUAGUUCUUUUCUCUAAAUUGUGAACAUGAUAUUUAAGAUGUUUCUUUCUAUUGUGACUAUAUGAAUGUAGAUUAUAUUUGAUGAGGUGCACUAUGUGAAUGAUGUUGAAAGAUGAGGUGCACAUUUGUUUUCUUAUUGUAAGAAUAUUUUUAACAUUGUAACUUUUAACAUUAUUGUAAGAUUAUUUUGAAUUAUACUUUAGUUAUCAAUUUAUAUCAUAUAUCUUUCGUUGAAUUUGAAGUAUCAUUUAGAUUUGCUAUUUUUGGUUGGAUUUCAUGCUACAAGAAGUGUUGUAUAUGGAUGAAAAUUGAAUGUUAGAAAUUUGUCAAAGUUAGUGGCGUUUUUCAUAAAUGCCGUUAAAGAAAGGUACUUUUAGCGGUGUUUGUGAUAAAAGCGUCGUUAAAGAAUGGUACUUUUAGUGGCGUUUAGGAGAAAAGUGUCGCUAAAAGUCAUGAUUUAUAGCUACAUUUGUGGGGAAGCAUCACUAAAAGUCAUGAUCUAUAGCGGCGCUUGUUUCUAAAAACGUCGCAAAAGUUAGCGGCAUUGUCAAUAGCAACAUUUUUUGCGGCGCUUCUAAAAGCGCUGCAAAUAGUUUUAGCGGUGCUUUUUUAGCGUCGCAAAGAUUAAAAAAUAUAUUAUCACAUUUUGCAAAAAAUAUUUGUUUUGCAAAGAUUAAUUAUUUUUAGGAAAAUGAGAAAAUUUUGAAUGAUUAAUUUUAUCACAUUUUAUUUCCUGACCUUAUCACUUAUAUGAAAUUCUCUUUUCAACUAAUAAUAAAAUUAAAAAAAAAUACAUUUGUUAACUUAAGCUCUUCAUCUCAGUUGAGAGCUUGAGACCUUAUAAUAUAUAAUACUAGAAUUUGUAUAUCCGUGUGAUGCACAGACUAAUAGUGUUUGUCAAUAUAAUUAUUUUUAAAAAAAAGUAAUAUAAAUUUAUUCUUUAACAUAAAAAAUUGAUAAUACAUAUUAGUAGUAUAUAAAAUAUAUGUUUUAUUAUGAAGUUUGGAAAUAUUAUAUUAAAAUGAUUUUAAUAAAUAGAGAUAUGAAUUGUUUAAAAAAUUGAAAAAAAAUUGAUUUUGAAAUAUUAUAUUAAAAAGAUUAUAAUAAAUAGAUAUGUAAAUGUUUUAUUAUAAAAUUUUCUACUAACAAACAAAUUAAUUUAUGAAAUACAACUAUACUUAACAAUAACAAAAAAUACUAUUAUAAAAAAUAAUAACAAUAAGAUUAAUUUUAAAAAAUGUUUAAAGUAAAUUAUCCAUUAUAAUUUAAAAAGAGAAGAAGUAAAAGAAUAAUUUAUCUAAAAUUAAAAUAAUACUUGAAAUGAGGAGUGUCACGUGUCAAAGUAUUAUAAUGUGAGCACAUUUAUUUAUUUAUUUAGAGCAUACAUAUAUAUGAUAUUUGUUUUUUACUUUAUUGUAUAAUAAUAUUAAAUCAAUAAUUUAUUUAAGUGAAAAAACAACUAAAGAAGUAAGUGAUAUCGUUAUGUUAGAUCGGAUCAUGGAUUGUAACUUUGGAAAUAUUAUUAAAAAGAUUUAGUACAAUAUUAAGAAUGUUUUUUUUUCUAUUUAAGGUAAAUUACUUAGUUGGUCAUUCAAUUUUUAAGAUACUUUCAUUUUGGUCAUCCAAAAUGAAAUAAUUGUAAUUUUGUCACUCUACUACUUUUAGGGUGCUUUCAUUUUAGUCACUCAACCAUUAAAUCUCUAACCACAGUUAAUUGUGCAUGUCACUUCUUAUUCACACUUUCAUGGUCACUCAACUUCUAGAUCACUUACAUUUUGGUCACCUAAAAAAAAUUAUUUUUUAAAGUAUUGAUUGGGGUAAAAGAAUUAAUGAUUAAAGUGAAAAAUUGGUAGAAACUAUUUUUUUUCAAUAUUAAAUUUUAAAUUUCAAAACAUAAAAAUUAAUUAAAUAAAUUAUUGAAAAUUAAUUAAAUAAAUUAAUUCAAUAUUAUAGUAAUAAAUUUGUUGACUCUAUCGAGGGAUAAAAAUAUUUCAAUAACUUAUUUAAUUGAUUUUCAUGUUUUGAACUUUAAAAUUUCAAUAUUGAAAAAAAAAAUAGAAUUUUCAACAAUAGGGUAAACAAGUACAAUUUGACAAUUUUUAAAGCUUUAUUUUAGUUUCUACCACUUUUUCACUUUAAUUCUUAAUACUUUUUUACCUCAAACAAUACUUAAGAGAAUUAGCGUUAACUACAAUUAGAUAUUUAAUAGUUAGGUGACUAAAAUGAAUGCAUAUCCUAAAAGUUUAGUGACGAAAUAGUAAGAAUUUUAUUUUGAGUGACCAAAAUAAAAACGCCUUAAAGUUAGAUGAUCAACUAAGUAGUUUACCCUUUUAUUUAAUAUUUAUAUAUUUUAUAAUUAAAUUAAAAUAAUUUUCGUUAAAAUAGUUAAAUUGAAGUAUAUUUUAUAAGGAAAGCACGACUGCUGUUUUCUUUAAUAGACACAAUCACCUAUUCAUUAAGGUGCUUUUAAUUUGGUCUUUCGGGACUCACCAGUAAAUCCAAAUAGAAUGAUUAUGUGGUGUGUUUUUUUUAAUAGCAUAAUAAUAAAUUUGUAACUUUUACAUAUUUUAUUAAUUUGAUCUAAAUUUUAAAAAUCAAGUUUUAUGGACAUUUGUAGAGUUUUUUAGGCCUACCCCGUCAAUGAUAGGUUUUGGAUCCUUUUCCUGACUCACAGGUGAGACCUCACUUAACUCAUCUCUAUCUAUCACUACUCACCUAGAAGGUUAUUAUGCCUCCCAAAUAGUCAAUACCUCAUAUUAAAAGAGGUCACCCUCGCCUAUAAAUAUUUCUUUCUAACGUUAAGGAGGUGUCUUCUUCUCAUUCUACCUUCACACUUCAACUAAAUGCAUCCUAACCUCCUUACAGCUUUUUGCACAUCACCAUAUGUGAACCAUUACCCUAGCUCCCAACCUCUUUCUCCCCUCAACAAUAAUUAUAAAUAAUUCAAAAAAAAAAUAAAAAUUCAAAAGUUAUUAAAAAUAAUAUAAUCCCAUAAAAAUUAUAAAAAUAAAAAAAUUAUAAAGAUUUCAAAAAAUUAAAAAAUAUUUUAAAAAAAAUUAUAUAAGAUAUUUAAAAGACGACAAUUUAAAAAAAGUUAAAUUAAUUUUUUUUAAGUUUUGAUCAAAAUAGACCAUCAGACGUUGGCUAUCGUUGAUCAAUGUUGAAGAUGACUAAAAUUCUAAAAAUAUAUAUAUAUAUAUUAAGUAAUAAAGUAAUAAGAUGGGAUUAUUUCCACGAAAACUAACUUCUAAGCCAAGUAUGAACUAUUCACUUUUAACUAACCCUUCUAACUAUUAUUAAAAUUAAAUUGAGAAAAUAAUAGAAGGUGAACUAAGUUAAUGACAAUGAAAACUUUGAAAUUUACUCAUUCAUACUAACAAGAAUUCCAACUUCACCUAAUUUAAUUAUUCAAUUAUCACUCAUUUAAUUUUUCAAUAUAUGUAAUUAGUAAUUCAUGAUUCAAUGAUAUUAAUUAAGCUCUUUCAGUAUCUAGAUAAGUUAUCCUAUUUUCUCCACUAGUUAUAUUCUUAUGUUAGACAUAAUGAGUUAAUUCAUUAAGCAGAAACCUAUUGGAUUGAUUAAGGUUUUACGUAUAUAUGUAUCAUAGCCACAAAUUAACUUAGUCGUCUAUGCUACUGGAAUUAAUUCAAUUAAUACAACUUUAAGUUUCUCUUCUAUGACAAGUUAAUACUAUCCAAUUAAUGCAACUUGUUAGUCAAGCAAGCAGAUAAAACAAAUUAACAUAUGAUUGAAUAAAUAAUUAAACAUGGAUAAAAUUAUCAUUCCAAAAAAAAUAAAGUUUAAUUCAUGAUGAAUUGAAAAAAAUCACACAGGUUUUCAAAGCAAUUUUCCAUCAAUAAAAAAGUGAAGGAAAUAACAUAGAGAGAAAAUAGAUGAAAAGUUUGCGGUAGUAAAAAUGUAAUUUCAUCAUUUUAAUAGCUUAUAUCUUUAAAACUUUUAUCAUUUUUUGAGGUGCCAAAGUGUACUUUUAUCAUUAUUAAUUUAAAAUUGAAAAGAGUAGUACUUUAUUUUUUUAAAAAAUAAGUUGCAUAUUUAAAAUAUAAUUCUGGAUUCAUUGUGCACUUGAAAUAAAAAAAAAUUCCUAAAAUUCAAGAGAAAUUCUAAAAUAAAAAAUAAAAUUUUAUUAAAAAAAAAGAGUUUUUUUUUUAAAUAUAUAUUUUAUUUUUCAAAUUAUAAAAAAUCUAAAUUACUAAAAACUUUUAAAUGAAUUUAGACAAAUGGUUGUCCAAGUUUAAAUGAUUCUAGACAACAGUAUGUCCAGAUUCAUUAUGCAUGUAAAAUAGAAAUAAAAAACAUAAAUUUCUUAUUUUUUUAAAAAUUUUAAAAUAAUUUUUUUAACCUGUCAACAUUCUAUUGGUUGUCAACCCAAAAUCAAAUAGUGUUGGUUAAGCAUCAAAAUAUCAACUUGAUUUAUGAUUUCCGAGUUUAGAUACUAGGUAUGUCCAAAACAAAGUUUAAAUAGUAAAUAAAUACAAAUUAUCAAGUUCAUAUAAUUCUAAAUAUAUUUAUCCAAAAAAGUUAACAAAAGCUUUAAUUUUCUUUUUAAAUAAACAAAAGCAUUAUUAUUACUUAUUUUGAAAGGCCAAAGCAAUUUUAUUUUAUUUUUUAUUACCCUUUUUGAAAUUGAACUCAUAUAUUCAAACAUCAACAAAACAAAAAACCAUCACUGAGAAAGGACUUAACUAACCCCUAGCCAAUAGGCUAAACCCCGUACACCCAUUACCUAAAGCCCUUCAUCAGAGGUUACACCAUAAGCUACUCGUGCCAAUUGGUGCUCCUUGAAUCCAAGAGAGCGAAAGGUGCUGAAAAUCAGUUUCCAAUUGCCGACAAUCAGCAAUCACUAAACCGAAUAAAGCCAGGAUAAAAGCCUCCCGAGCAAACUAUAGCCUCAGCCAUGCCAGCCCCAUAAGCACUGGUCAAAUGGAAAAAAGGAAAUUUUAUUGAGUAAAGGAGUAAAACAUUAAAUAUUAUACAGGAAAUUGAAAAGGAAUACAAACAGUAACUUAACAAACAUGAUAGAAUAUGAUACAGAAUUUAACAAAACAGUAAAUAUUAUACCUAAAACGGGAAUUGAGUACAAGCAGUAACUUAACAAACAUGAAAAGUACUCAACAACUUCAAUGCUUUCUUCUAUUCCAAGUAGUGAAACUAGGAAAAUACUUGCAAUCCUGCUACAGACCCGAGUCAGAGGAAAUCUUGAUUGUCUGAUUAAGCAUCUCAUUCACAACAAAGGCUUUAUAUUAUUGGAAGGCCAAAGAUUUUCAAAUCGAAGCUGAGAAAUAAAAGAUAACUGAAGGAAGAAAGAAAAAAAAGAGUAGAUAUAAAGCAUAUAUACAUACCUUACUUAUGGGAAUAUGACCCAAAUUGUAGCACCUUACUCAGCCAUUGCAAAUUACAUGACCCAACGAUUCUCCCAAUUUUACGGUCGAGAAAGGACUUGACAAUGGAAGGGAUUGACGAGAAAGCGCUUGAGCAACUUGUUGCAUGGUUGGCCGAUGUUGGGGAUUGCCAUUCAAGCAUGCAAAUGCUAUCUUUAUAGUAGAGACUACGCCCUCUGCAGCUUCAAUUUCUGGUGGUGAGAGACGUUGAUCUAUCACAUCCUUAAGUAAAACAUGUUGGUCAUUUGACAUAAAUGGCAAUGUCGAUGCCGAUGCAGAUGAUGACAAAUAUGAAAGAAGGUCGCCGGGAUGCCUCCCCAUGAGAACUUCUAUCAUUAGCACCCCAAAACUGUAGACAUCACUUUUCUUAUCUAUUCGCAUUGUAUACGCCAACUCUACAUUAAAAGAAAUACUAAUCAGAACUAUAUUUAUAACAUGAUGAAAGGCUUUUCUAGCCAAAAAAAAAUAUGAUAUUAAUUUAUACCUGGAGCUAUAUACCCGUAGGUGCCCGCAAGUGAAGUCCAAUUGGAGGAGUCGGCUUUAAAAUCCUAGCAGUGCCGAAAUCGGAGACACGAGCUUCAUAGUCCAAAUCCAAGAGAACGUUGUUGCUGGAAAUGUCUCGAUGAGCUAUAGGUUGUGAAUGGUCAUGGUGCAUAUAAGUCAAAGCAUUAGCCAAUCCUUUAACAACAUUUAGCCUCUUCUUCCAAUCCAAUUCCUUUGCUUGUUCAUUGUUGCUUAAGACCAUUCUCAAGCUUCCCCUUUCCAUGAACUCAUAAACCAGAAAAGAAUGCUGUGGGUGUGAACAAAAACCAUACAUCUGUACAAUGUUAUGAUGCCUUAGUUCUAAUAAAGCAAUAAUCUCGCUUUCAAAGUCUUUUAAGUUGUUAAUGAGUAUGCCGUCUUCAGACUGGUGAAGUUUCUUCACAGAAACCACUUGACCAGUUGGCAAUGCAGCUUUAUAAACACUUCCGUAUCCUCCUGAACCAAUGCAAUAGUCAGAGCUGAAAUCUUCAGUAGCUUCAAUGAUGCUGCCAUGGAGUAUUCUUCCAUUAAAUCCCAAUAUAGUGAAAAUAUCACCAUCUUGUUCCUCCAUUGGCUCGGAUUUUUUUGUUGGUGUUUUCUUGCAAAAAGUAAGGAAACUUGCAACCAAUAUAAACAACAAAAUCAAUAGACCACCAAACAGUGGAAGCACAAAUAAAAUGAUCAGUUUGGUGCUUUUUGUAUGACCAUGGUUGUCUCGAGAAGGAAGAACGCAAGGUAUUAGUCCAGUGGCGUUACCAUAUAUAUAGGCCUUUAUUGUUCCUUAAGGCAUUAAAUGAUGCCUCGUGAAAUGCCUUAAGGUCUGGAAUAGGGCCUUCUAAUUGAUUGUAAGAUAUAUUCACAAAUCUUAACCCAUGUAAAUCAUUGAAAGCUUUUGGGAUGGAACCAUUGAGCAUAUUGCGAGAAAGGUUCAAUAUUUCCAAGGACUGUAACUUUCCGAACUGUUGUGGGAUAUUUCCAAAAAUGAAUUCUGACUCAAAUCUAGACUUUGAAGAGCAUUGAUGUAUCCUAUUGAAGAUGGAAUGCUCUCUCCGAGAUUGUUCUUGCUCAAAUUCAAAUUGAUUAACUUCGAGCAAUUUCCAAGAUAAUUAGGAAUAGGCCCUCUUAAAUGAAGCCAAGUUAAGUCGUUCUAGAUUUGAUAGAAGUCCAAUCUCUGAUGGAAUUUUGCCUGAAAAUUGAUUACCACUUAGCAAAAGACGGGUCAUCAUUUUCAAUGCUCCCAGUUCCAUGGGAAUCUCAUCGACUAGAUGAUUCGAAGAAAGAUCAAGUUCUUGUAACUGGGUUGCAUGUCCCAAUUCGAAUGGAAUCUUUCCAGAAAUAUUGUUAUUGUUGGAGACACGUAGGCUUGUUAGAUUAUGACAUUGCCCCCAAUUUGGAGAAAGUUCGCCAUAAAAAUUGUUGUCGCUUAAUGAAGCAUAAUUCAAAUGUGGAUAUAUACCAAAAGCUUCUGAUAUAUUUCCUGUCUUCCAUCCAGCCUAACUCUGAUUAAGCUUUUGCAGCUUCUCAAACUUGAUGGGAUCGGACCUGACAAAUUGUUGCUGAUCACUGCAAGUCGAGUGAGUACUCCACCGAGGCAUAAAUUUUCUGGUAAUGGACCAGUGAGAUGGUUGUUUGAUAAUUGGAGAUUAGUAAGAUUACUGUAUAUUGGAGGAAUGGGGCCUGACAAACUAUUUUCACGAAGGGAAAGUACUGAUAAGCUGCUCAAGUUUCCUAUGGAAGUAGGGAUUUGUCCAGAGAAUGUGUUAUUAGACAGAUACAAUUGACUAAGAGAUUUAAGCAUCCCUACCUCUUUAGGUAUCAAUCCAAAAAACAUAUUGUCAAAAAGGCUAAGAGUAGUUAAGUUGGUCAAGUUUCCUAUGGAAGUAGGGAUUUGUCCAGAGAAUGUGUUACUGGACAGAUCCAAUUUACUGAGAGAUUUAAGCAUCCCUACCUCUUUAGGGAUGACGCCACUGAGAUUAUUAUCAUACAAAAAAAGAUGAACCAAGUUGCUUAAGUUUCCUAUCGAAGUAGGGAUUUGUCCACAGAAUGUGUUAUUGGACAGAUCCAAUUCACUAAGAGAUUUAAGCAUCCCUACCUCUUUAGGUAUCAAUCCAGAAAACAUAUUUUGAGAAAGGGUAAGAGUAGUUAAGCUGGUCAUGCUCCCUAUAUCUCGAGGUAUUGAACCAGAAAUGGCAUUUUCCUCCAGCCUAACACUGAAUAGGUCAGUCAAGUUUCCUAUGGAAGCAGGGAUGGCCCCAGUGAGAUGAUUUGUUAAAAAUUGCAGUGUGGAAAGCGAUUUAAGCAAUCCUAUCUCACUGGGGAUAGAACCAGUGAGGUAAUUAUCAUACAAAUAAAGAUAAACCAAGUUACAUAAGUUUCCUAUAGAUGUCGGUACAAGACCAGUUAAGCUAUUUCCUGAAAAGUCCAACAAAAGAAGUGACCUCAACAAUCCAACUUCUUUAGGUAUAGAACCAAUGAGUCGGUUGCGAUUAAGGUCAAGCCUGUACAAAUUAUGCAAUCUUCCUAUAGAGGCAGGGAUUGGACCACUUAGAUGGUUAAGAUAGAAAAAGAUAUUAGAAACUGUACUCAGAUUUCCAAUUUCUUGUGGAAUGGGACCACUAAUCUUAUUUCUUACUAAGGAGAUCAGUUGAAGACUUUUCUGUUGUUCCAAUAGGGUCGGAAGCGUGUAAAUUAUUGUACUAAAAAAUCACACAAAGUUCAAUUCCCAGGGAAGAGAGGUGGAUCACAUGGAUCUCUUAAAUACCAAGUCUUUCCUUAGUCAGAAUAUCCCUUCUAUAGUAAUUUAAUAGCACAAUUAAAUACUACUAUUAUACCCUCAAAUAUUGAAAGAAAAAUAGGACAAGAAAGAACACAAGAGUUUUAACGAGGUUCGGUAAAUUAUACCUACGUCCUCGGGCACUAACACCAGAUGAUAACUUUACUAUCUUCAAAAUAUUACAAACAAAUAGAAUUCCUUGAGAAUUCUCAAAUGGGAGAAGAGAGAAAACUAAGAGAGAAAGAUUGGUUGGGAUGAUUUGAAAUGAGAAAUGAGAAGGCCUAUUUAUAGUUGAGGUUUAAGGACCAAACAAUAAAUAGCCCAUUAUCUCAAGGACCAAAAAAAAUUAUCCCAUGCCACUUUUUCAAAGUCAACUUUAGGGUGCUAAACUUGCACCACUUUGUAUUGUUUGCCAUUAAUGUUGUCUCCCAUUAAUGUUAACAAUCUCCACCUUGAAGAUUUGAUUAGGAUAAUCACAUCUUCACACACUUCCUUCAACUCCCCAAAUUCGAUAAAGCUAUCUUUUGUAGUGCCUACAAAUGCACUCUCGAGCGCCAUACACCUGAAGGUGCUCAAAUUCUCAGGAUGUUAAUCAAGUUCAAACAAUGAUUAAACUUGAUUAUUGUUACCACCUUGGUCAUCAUAUCUGCGGGAUUAUCUGCUGUCGGAAUUUUCUGAAGUAGAAUUUUUCCUUUUUCAAAGACUUCCCGCACAAAGUGAUAUCUUACGUCGAUAUGCUUGGUUCUUGAAUGAUAGACUUGAUUUUUCGCUAAAUGAAUAGCGCUCUGACUGUCACAAUAUAAACUUAUGUGACUUUGAACAACUCCUAAGUCUUUCAACAAUCCAUUAAGCCAAAUAGCCUCCUUAACAGCUUCUGUAACUGCCAUAUAUUCUGCCUCUGUAGUAGACACAGCUACUGUAGACUGUAAGGUAGACUUCCAACUCACUGGGGCUUUCGCAAGAGUAAACAGAUACCCCGUAGUUGAACGACGUUUAUCUAAAUCACCAGCAAAGUCGGAAUCAACAUAUCCAACUACAAACUGACCAAGUGCUUCAUCCUGUUCAAAAAUUAAACCAACAUCUACGGUUUUUCGAAGAUACCGUAGAAUCCAUUUCACAGCUUGCCAAUGUCCUUUUCCAGGAUCAUGCAUAUACCUGCUCACAACUCCAACAGCUUGUGAAAUGUCAGGCCUCGUACACACCAUCGCAUACAUCAAACUCCCAACUGCAUUAGCAUAUGGGACUUUCGCCAUAUAUUCUCUUUCUUCUUCAGUUUUCGGAGAUAAUUGAGCACUAAGUUUCAAAUGAGAAGCAAGUGGGGUACUUACAUGUUUUGUGUUUUCAUUUACACCAAAACAUUGUAAUACCUUUUUCAGAUAUUGCUUCUGAUUUAAACAGAGCUUGCCUCUCGGUCUAUCUCUACUUAUCUCCAUGCCGAGAAUCUUCUUGGCCUCACCUAGAUCUUUCAUCUCGAACUCUUGAUUCAACUGAGCCUUCAGCUUAUCUAUCUCAUUUUGGCUCUUCGAAGCGAUUAACAUAUCAUCAACAUACAAGAGUAGAUAAAUGAAAGAUCCGUCAUGCAGCUUCUGCAAAUAUACACAAUUGUCAUAUUUGCUUCUUGUGUACUUCUGCCUUCUCAUAAAGCUAUCAAAUCGCUUGUACCACUGCCUCGGGGAUUGCUUCAAUCUAUAUAGCGAUUUGUUAAGCUUACAAACCCAAUUUCUACCACCAGCAUCUGUGUAUCCUUCUGGCUGAGUCAUAUAGAUCUCCUCUUCUAACUCACCAUGCAAGAAAGCCGUCUUAACAUCAAGUUGAGCUAGCUCCAAAUUCAACUGUGCUACCAAGGCCAACAAAAUUCUAAUGGAGGAAUGCUUCACAACAGGGGAAAAUACAUCAUUGUAGUCAAUUCCCUCCUUCUGAGCGUAGCCUUUAGCUACCAAUCUUGCCUUGUAGCGAAUAUCCUUCUUGCUAGGAGAUCCAUCUUUCUUUGCGAAUACCCACUUGCAUCCGAUUGCCUUUUUACCUUUCGGUAAUUGCGCCAACUCCCAAGUAUUGUUCUUCCGGAGAGACUGCAUUUCUUCAUCCAUGGCGCUUUUCCAUUUAUCACUUUCUAAGCUUUGCAUUGCUUCUUGAUAAGUGAUAGGAAUAUCAUCAACAACGGGAAGGGCGUAGGCCACCAUAUCAGUAAAUCGAGCAGGUUUACGAAUUUCUCUCCGUGGCCUUGCAACUGCAACUGGUUCUGGUGUACUUAGUGGUUCUUGGGUCAGAACCUCUUCAACCUCUAAUUCCUCCAUUGUGACUGGAGAAUUAGACUUAUUAACUGGGCAAAUCCCCAUCUGCUCAAACUCCACCUGUUUUGGAGUACACUCCACCUGCUAUGGAGUAUUGCUCGUCUGAAUAUCUUUAUCUGCUACCUUUUUCAAUGUGGCAGAUUCAUCAAAGGUAACAUCUCUGCUACAGAUCAUUUUCUUUGUGCUUAAACACCAAAGACGAAAUCCCUUCACUCCAGAAGUGACUCCCAUAAAGAGAGCUUUCUUUGCCCUCGGAUCUAACUUUGACUCCUUCACAUGGUAAUAUGCAGUGGAUCCAAACACAUGUAAGGAAUCAUAAUCUGUAGCCGGUUUUCCAGACCAUACCUCCAUAGGAGUUUUUCUUUCUAAUGCAGAUGAUGGCAAACGAUUAACAAGAUGGCCAGCGUAUGUCACAGCCUCAGCCCAAAAUUGCUUGCCCAACCCAGCAUUGGACAACAUACAUCGAACUUUCUCCAGCAAUGUUCGAUUCAUACGCUCUGCCAAUCCAUUCUGCUGUGGUGUAUCCCUAACUGUGAAGUGUCGAACAAUACCAUACUCUUGGCACACAUCGAAGAACGGAUCACUUUUAUAUUCCCCUCCAUUGUCCGUCCUAAGCCGCUUGAUUUUCUUGCCAGUCUGGUUUUCGAUCAUAGUUUUCCAUUUAAGAAAAACUCUAAGCACUUCAUCCUUAGUUCUCAUGGUAUACACCCAAACUCUUCUAGAAAAGUCAUCAAAAAAAGUAACAAAGUAGUGUUUUCCUCCCAAUGAAGGUGUCUUGGAAGGCCCCCACACAUCUGAGUGAACAUAUUCCAAAAUACCUUUUGUAUUAUGGAUAGCAGUACCGAAUUUCACUCUCUUUUGCUUUCCCAGAACACAAUGCUCGCAAAAUUUUAAUUUGCAAGCCUUUGCACCUUUCAACAAUCCUUUCUUUGCCAGAAUUUGCAAGGAUUUUUCGCUGGCAUGUCCCAACUUCAUAUGCCACAACUGUAUUGAGUCCAAUUCUUUGUUGCCGGAAGCUGCAGCGACUGCUCCAAUAACUGUACUACCUUGGUAGUAAUACAAGUUAUUUUUCCUGAUGCCCUUCAAUAUCACAAGUGCGCCAGAUGUCACUUUCAAAACCCCAUCUCUCAUAGUAACAACUGAACCAUUGGAUUCCAGGGCUCCCAAUGAGAUGAGAUUUUUCUUCAAACUGGGCACGUACCGAACAUCAGUCAGAACUCUAGUUGAUCCAUCUUUAUUCUUUAAUUGGAUUGAACCUAUCCCAACAGUUUUACAGGCAUUGUCAUUGCCCAUAUAAACAACUCCUCCAUUUAGUUCUACUAAAUCAGAGAACCACUCCCGGUUAGGGGACAUAUGAUAGGUAUAACCCGAAUCCAAUAUCCACUCAUCUGAAUGGAACGACGAUGAUGAUGCAACCAGUGAUAGUUCAGAGUCACUGGUAUCAUGCUUUGCAACACAAGCAUCUACAGCAGCUUUUCCCUUAUUCUUCAGCUUUGGACAAUUUUUCUUCCAGUGGCCUUUCUCAUGACAAAAAGCAUAUUCAUCUUUCCCGAGUCUGGACUUUGACUUUGAUCUCCCCUUUUGAGUUUUCUUCCGAGUGUAUGAACGACCUCGGACUACUAAAGCUUCUGUAUCUCUGAUUGAGUUUUUCUGUUUGUCCUUCUUUCUCUGUUCAUAACUGUAUAAGGCCGCACAGACUUCGCUCAGAGAUAUAUCACUCCUGCCAUGAAGUAGAGUAGUUUCUAGGAACUCAAACUCCUCAGGAAGUGACCCCAACAGCAUCAAAGCCAAAUCUUCAUCUUUGAAUGUCUUAUCCAUAUUCAGCAAAUCAGUGACUAACUGAUUAAAUUUGGUGAUGUGAUCAUUCAUUGUGGUACUUGGGACGUAUGUGAAGCGAAACAGUCUUUUCUUCAAGUGGAGCUUAUUUUGACUGUUUUUCUUCAAAAAUUUUUCUUCAAGUGCCACCCACAACUUAUUUGCAGAAGUCUCCUUUGAAAAAGCAUACCUCUGCUCUCGAGAAAGGCAUGAUCGAAUUGUGCCACAUGCCAACCGAUUGAUCGCCUUCCAAUCUUUCUCCUGUACAUCAUCUGGUUUCUCUUCAUCAAUGGCAAUGUCUAGACCCUGCUGAAAAAGAGCAUCUAGAACCUCACUUUGCCACAUACCAAAAUGGCCCGUGCCAUCAAAGAUCUCCACGGCCAGUCUUGCAUUUGCAAUUGUCGGUCUUGUCCAUAUGGACGAUGUUGAAGCUCCUACACCGACCAUUUUCUCCAUAAUCUUUCAAUAUACCUAAGGAAAUCUUUUCUGAUGUGGAAGAUCAGUUCAAACUGCAACCACAGAGCAUACUACGAUUAACCUUCGGCUCUGAUACUACUUGUAGUUCCAAUAGGGUCGGAAGCGUGUAAAUUAUUGUACUAAAAAAUCACACAAAGUUCAAUUCCCAAGGAAGAGAGGUGGAUCACAUGGAUCUCUUAAAUACCAAGUCUUUCCUUAGUCAGAAUAUCCCUUCUAUAGUAAUUUAAUAGCACAAUUAAAUACUACUAUUAUACCCUCAAAUAUUGAAAGAAAAAUAGGACAAGAAAGAACACAAGAGUUUUAACGAGGUUCGGUAAAUUAUACCUACGUCCUCGGGCACUAACACCAGAUGAUAACUUUACUAUCUUCAAAAUAUUACAAACAAAUAGAAUUCCUUGAGAAUUCUCAAAUGGGAGAAGAGAGAAAACUAAGAGAGAAAGAUUGGUUGGGAUGAUUUGAAAUGAGAAAUGAGAAGGCCUAUUUAUAGUUGAGGUUUAAGGACCAAACAAUAAAUAGCCCAUUAUCUCAAUGACCAAAAAAAAUUAUCCCAUGCCACUUUUUCAAAGUCAACUUUAGGGUACUAAACUUGCACCACUUUGUAUUGUUUGCCAUUAAUGUUGUCUCCCAUUAAUGUUAACAUUUUCAAUAAGCAAAUUUCAGAUGGGAUAUGUCCUGAGAAGUAAUUGUAUGACAAGUCAAGGAAGAUGAGUUUGGAAAGGUAUCCAAUGUGCGAAGGAAUGGGCCCAUACAGUGAGUUGUUGUGGAGGUUAAGCUCAAUCAAGUUAGGGAAGGAAUGGAAGUUGAGAUUAUGAAGUGUACCUUUCAAUCUCAAACCAUACCCUGUGAGGCUUAGAUUGGUGAUGCUUCCGACCUUAUCGCAAGUGAUUCCAACCCAAUUGCAGUGGCUACUUCCGACCCACAAAGAAGAGAGCAAAGUUUGUGUGGUGUUGUCGAGGCUAGCUUUCCAUUUUAAAAGAGUAUCAGCUUCCAUGGAAAAUAGCAAAAUAGCAAAAUAUAUAUUUAGUAUUUUUUUUCAAACACAAAAUAUUAAUUCUAAGAUCAUUUGAAUUUAUCAUUGUGAGCAAAGCUUUGAUCUUUUAGUUUAUUUAUUUGUCAUCCUACCAUCAUCAAAUCUUGAUUGUAGCUAAAAUGUCACUAUAUUUAGUAAAUUCAUUUGAAUUUAUAAUUGUGAGCAAAGCUUUGAUCUUUUAGUUUAUUUAUUUGUCAUCCUAUCAUCAUUAAAUAUUGAUUGUAGUUAAAAUGUCACUAUAUUCAGUAAAUUUAAUUUUUUUUUUGAACUAUAAGAGUAGGGCAAGCCUUAACAGCAACGCGAUUAACGCGACUCAAAUCCAAUUACACUCAGGAUGGUGAAUAUUCUAACCAUCAAACUAACACACAAAAUAUUAAUUAAUUUUAAAAGCUACGUAUGCAGCUACUCUAUAUUUACUUUCCCAAAUGAUGUUCUAUUUAAUGUUUAAAUUCAUUGUUCCAUCUCACGUCAGUUAAGAAAUAUAGAAAGGUGGUUUUUACCAUAAUAUAAAUCUAAACAAAUAUGUAUAUUUUUAUGAAGGAUACGUAAUCUAACAUUUAAAAAAAAAACGUCGCAAAAGUUGAAAAUUAAUAAAUAUUUAUUAAAUAUAACCUAAAAUGAUUGCACACAGAUAUUUAUAUUAAAAUGCAACUUAAUAGAAAAAGUAAACUAUGUGAAGUGAUAAUAUUGAAAUCUUAAAUGUAAGUCCAUUUCUAAUAGACUUAAUUAAUCUCUUAUAACCAUCAGCUGCCAUCAUUGACUAUUGAAUUUCAAAUUUUCUAGCUCUGAUUUUGUUGUUUCACUUAAAAAAGAGAAAAAAUAAUUGAUGGUUUUUUUUUUUAAGAUUUAAUUAUAAAAUUUGCCCCCAAAAUACAAUAUGGCAUGUUUUUGUUGUACAUAGUACAUGGAUAAAAUGAGAUGAAAUUAAUAAUUUAGGUGACACUUUCAAUUAAAAAUUUAAAUAUAAUUUAAAGGUUAAUUUUGUAUUCAAACCUUUGUAAUUAUUGUUACUUAAUCAAGAAAAUUAGGAAAUCCGAGGACUUCAAACACAUUGAGGAUAGGUUUUAUGGAACAUUAAGAUCACAUAAUUAAUUUUAUUUUUGUUCAGUAAGAUCACAUAAUUGAAUUUAACUGAAGUGUUACGGAAUUUGGAUUACUAACAGAUUAGAGGGCAAUUUUCUCUAAUGUUUCUUUUCAUUUUUCAAGCAGUUACUAAAAUUUUCAGUUAAUACAGUGAAAAUUUCAUUUUGUUCUCUCAAAAUAUUUAUAAUCCAAAAAAAAGACAGAAGGAGCAAAUUUCCAUUAAAACACUCAUCAGCGACCUAUAUGAAGAACUGUAUCUGUACUCGACAAGGAAUUCACGGAAAGACCCGUCCCAACUGAUGAAGAAAACGAAACUAUACAAUCUGAGGCUACGUUACUUGCUAAAGAUACGUUAAUAGCAGUGCUGUGAGGAGAUAAUGGUAUGGUUUGAAGGAUAGAAGAUGGAUUAUUUUGGUAUAUCAGGCAAACUGGCAGUGCCUUCCAGAUAGCUCACCGCUUCUUUAAUGGUGGGUCUCAAAUCUGGUUUGGGGUUGGAACAAAGCAGGCCAAGUUUCAGAACCUUCUCAAUCUCCUCCACCACGUAAUUGCCUUGUAAUCUUGGGUCGAUAACAUCAACAAUGGCAUCUCUUUUCCAGCACCUAUUGACUAAAUCAACUAGAAAAAUGUCUCGGGGUGGUGCAUUUGGUUCAAAUGGCUUCCUCCCGCAAGCAACUUCAAGAAGAAAAGCCCCGAAAGCAAACACAUCGGCAGCUUUAGUAGCCCUUCCCAUUCGGAUGAGUUCCGGAUCAAUAUAUCCUAGUGUUCCUACGAGGCGAGUCGUUUGUGGAUCGCCGUCACGGUCGUACAAUCUGGCAAGACCGAAAUCUCCGAGCCGUCCAUUUAGAUUGGAAUCUAAGAGAACGUUGCUGGCUUUGACGUCUCUAUGGAGCACAACUUGUUCCCAUUCUUCAUGGAGAUAAAGAAGAGCCGAUGCCACCCCUUUGAUGAUUUGGAACCUUUGAAACCAAGUAAGGGUGGGUUUAUCAUCGUCGAAGAGGAACUUGUCAAGGCUGCCAUUUUCCAUAAGAUCAUAUACCAAAAUGAGUUCUUUCUUACGCCUGCAAUACCCAAGAAGCCGCACCAAGUUCUUAUGCCUUAGCUUUCCCAUGCUAACAAUCUCUGAAACAAACUCCUUCAUCCCCUGAUUUGUUUCAUGGGAUACUUUCUUUACUGCAAUUUGUUCAUUGGAAUAAGGGAGUGUACCUUUAUAAACUUUCCCGAAACCUCCCGAUCCAAGAAGUUGCUUGUCUUUGAAACCUUUGGUCGCUUUGUACAGUGUCUUGUAAGAGAACCUUUGAGGUCCAUAUUCCUUUUCCCAGUCUUCAUGUACUUCCUUGUAUUUCUUCAUCCUGUAAACAUAUGCUGCUCCAAUGAUUAUUAACAGCAAAGCAACAGCUGCAAUGAUCGAAAUCAAUCGAACUAUAUUUCUUUGUCCACCAUUUUUGGGAAGCUUUGGAAGCUUGGAUAUGUCAAGGCCUUGUGCUUCUCCGCUUCUAUUGAAGCUCCAGCCCAGAAUAUAAUGGCUACUACUAGUGCUUUGAAUUGAACCAGUUGCAGCAGAGAAACUAACAUACAUGACAUCCUUUAGAAUACCCGAGAGAUCGAUUGAUGUCGACAAGAGAGGCUGGUCCGGUUUUGGGGUUUUAUCUGGCGCCAAGGUUAUGUUGAGCAGUUCUUCUUCACCAUUGUAGUCUAUCCAAACCUGUAUUGGAUGUCCAUUGUUGAGGUCCAAAUUCCUAUUCUUCCUUUCUUCAUUAGAAAAAUAUCCUGCCCGAACGGAUUUGUUUGAUUUCACGCCAUUCAGAUCAAUUCCUACAUGAUUGUCAUCUAUAUCGCCCAUGUCAAGACUGAGGAUGGUAUCAAACUCCACAGCGAAGAAAUGGUUGAAGGAAUUGCCAUUGUUUGACUCAUUAACGAGUCCCAGAAAUUCGACUGCCUCAGCAUGGCUAAAAUCCGUGGAUUCUGAUAUGACAAAGGCAAGUCCAUGGCCACUAGAUUCUUUGGAUCCAGGACCGAUGGCGAUUACGAAAUUCGUGGAGAAGGAAAGAGAUCCAACUGAACUUGAAGACGAAGAAACAUUGAAGUUUAUAGGAGAUGGGUAGAAAGCAUGGCCUUUCAGCCGUUUUAUAUUAUUGGUGAGCUGCAAUAGACCAUUGGAGCUGAUGUUGGCACUCCCAUCAAGUUGUAGUUUCGCAUCACGGAAGCCAUGGUUAUAAAUGAAUUCUUCAGCUUCUUGAGCCUCUGCCAUGGAAAUCACAGCCACCAGGCACGAAAACAGCCAAAAAUGGACUGAUGUAAAAGCAGGAGCCAUUGUUAAAAGACUGAAAAGCUUCCUGGGUGUUACUGUUUAAGAGAAGAACCUGCAUAACAUGUACUGUUUAAUAAACAAAAUUAUCGAAAUCAUGCAUGUCACACCAAAGGGAAAAUUUAGGUUAUAUUCACCUAAACAUUGGGUCAAACUAGUUUCAUUUAUGCUUUAAUUGCCCGCUACAUGCGUUUUUUUCUUUCAAAAAAUUUUAAAAAUAUAUAUUUGAAGUUUAAACUACCAAACAAUUUCUAAAGGGAAAAAAGCCCAACAAAUGGCAAAUCUUAUUGCGCAAUUUUCGAAAUUACAAAAAUAUAAAAAUAUUUAAAUUCAAAAAAUUAUUAAAAAAGUUCAUAAAAGUCUUAAAAAAUUAGCAUGAAGUUGUGGAUUGUUAUUUGAGCCAUCAUGUUUAAAAAAAAAAUAACGUUGUAAUAAAUGUUUUCGUUAAAAGAAUAACAAUUUAACUCUUUUAGAAAUAUUAAUGGUUAAAUUCAAUUUUUUUAAAGGUUAAGAGUUAAAUUUAGAUAAAAAAAUAAUGGCCAAAUUGACAAAAACAAUAAGCAUUAAGAACUAAAUUUAAUAUUAUAAUUUUUUUUUGUAAAUAAAGCUUAUUAAUUUUGAAAUUGGAGAGUUUGAAAAAAGCAAAUCCAUCUAAUAACGUUUAUUUUUUUAAUUUACACGUGAUAAAAAAACUAUAUUUUCUAAUUAAUUUUUCGUUUUUUAGAAUAUUCGUACUAUUUUAUACAUAUUUAAAUAGAAUAUAAGCAUAUUUUUAAAAUGUAUAAAAACAUAACUACACCAAUAUAAAACACCCACCAGAUUCCAUAUUGUUAUUAUUAAAGUUAUAUGUCAUGCAAUUAAUUAUAUUCUCCCCUAGGCCUCCAAUGGAUUUUUAUGUCACUGUCAAAGCAUCUUCCUAAUUCAGCCACCACAUAGUUUACAUUAGUAUAGAUAGAUGAUGUCAUCAAUUGGUCCAUUUUUUCCAAAGUAAAUCAGCAUUUAUUCAAAAUAAUUAUCUUCUAAAUCACUAAUUGAUUUUUUUUUUUCGAAAGAGAAGCAUAUGUUGAAGAGCCAAGGGCGGCUUGUCUUCACUUCUUUGGCUUCUGAGGUAUAAAUAUGGAGCAUUAGACAGUAACUAAUCCAUUUAUAUUUUCCUUUUCAAAAAUGUCUUCUUCUUUCUCAUAUAUUAUUAUCUUCUUCUUUGUCAUUAGACAGUAACUUUUAUUUUUUAUAUCAAUAAAUUUAAAUUAAUAUAAUAUAUUUUAUAUUUAACUCUGUCUUUUUUUUAGUAUAAUGUCUAAAAUUAUCCAUAGUCCCUAUCCAAUCCAUAAAUAGGAGAAUAAUGCGCUUCAGCAUACAUCUUUCUAUAUUGAUAAUAAUAGCCAUAUUAAUCGAAUUAAGACUCAAUUGACAAUAUUUUUUAAAAUUAUUAUAUAUAAUAUAAGUUAAUAACGUAUUUUUGGCAUGGAUUUAUAGAGGAGAAAUAAUAAUUAAUUUGAUGUGAAAAAAGGAAAUAGAGAAGACACAAGUGUAGGUGUUUGAUAGAGAAGGUGGUUCAGUCAUUAAAUAAUUAUUUUUGUAUUUAGGAAAUAAAAACAUUGACCUAUGUUUGAACACAAUAGCCAUCAGGAUAUUGACAAAUUCAGGCAUUCUUUACAGAUUCUCAACCACCUUAAUUAUAUUAAUAUAGGAAAUCCUCGAAUCCUUAUCUCAUUAACUUGCAACCUUCGAGAAUUUGUCAGAACAUGCAUGCCAUCAUUGCCUUGUUUACACAGCUCAACAAAUACUUGCAGGUAGAUGUUUUGCAACCUUGAUUGGGGCAUGCAAGUGGAUAUUCACAAUUUUAGCCACUUCCUUACCAUAAUAUAUUUAUAAAAUUUCUACAAAUAAUUUUCAAUCCUUAUUUAGCUAGUAACUUAUUGAGAAAUAGUCUGUUGUACAAUCUUGGUUGGUACAUGCAAAUCGGAAUGUUAACAAUUGAAUUUUAGUUUUGAAAUUUGAAAAAUAAAAAGAUUAUGUUCUUAAAAAAUAAAAAUAUAAAGAUUAAAUUUUAAAUUUGUAAAGAGUUAGGGACCAAUAAUAUAUUUGACAUUUUUUAUGUAAUACUUGAAACAACAAUCUCAAAUUUGUCAAAUUUAGCCAACAUUAUUGUUUAGCAGUUGAGAUUCUGUAAAAAGGUAGAAAAUGUUGGUCUCCUUUGAGUGAGGAAUUCUUUUUUCUUCUUAUUAUGAACAAAGUUUCAGAAAAGGAGGCCUCACCAUUAUUGAGUAAGGUAUAUUAAGUCUAUUUUUGAAGAAGGUUAAUAUCUAAUUAAUAGGUCACAACUUGAGUAUAAAAUAAUUAAUGAUAAAAUAUCUAUGGUUAAUGUUGUAUUAUAUUAAAUGACUUUGUAUCAUAAGUGGGUCACUAAGAAUACCUUCAAUUUUAUAGUCGACAAGGUUAGGAAGAAGUUGGAUAGUUAGAAUACUAGUAUGCUUUCAAUGGAUAGAUGAGUCACUUUACUCAGGCGAUUCUAUUGUCGAUACCCAAUUAUUUUAUGCAAACUGUGAAGAUUCCUCAUGGUAUUUGUGCAAAAAUUGAGAAAACUGUCAGGGGUUUUAUCUAGGGGAGUACUGAUUCUAGAAAGAAGAUGUCUUUGGUUAAUUGGGGAGAUUGCUGCCAACCCUUGUCUACUGGGGGUCUUGGAUUACGAUGUCUUAAAGAACAUAACGAUUCUUUUAUGCUUAAGCUGAGUUUCAAUCUUCUUACUAAUAAGGAAACAUUAUGGGUUAGAGUCAUUCGAGCAAAAUAUAAGAUUACUAAGUAAUUUCAAAAGACAUCUAUUAUAGUAAAUGUUCUUCCGUCUGGAGAUCGUUUUCAAAGGUCUGACCUCUGCUAUGCCAAAGUCUACUUUGGUCUGUUGGUGAUGAGAAUCUUGUGAAAUUUUGGACUAAUAAUUGGAUAGUGGAUGUGAGCCCUCUUUUCAAUUUUUGUUGGUUCCCAUCUUUUAUUGCUGCUUCUAUCACUUUGAAAGAGGUUGUUUCUACAGAUGGAAAUUGGCAUUGGGAUUAUUUACAUUACUUUUUGGAUAAUGACACUCUUUCUUAUAUUGCUGGAAUCCCGACUCUAAAUUCUCUGGUUGGUAAAGAUGCUAUUAUAUCGAAAUGGUUUCCAAAUGGUAUUUAUACAUUCAAAUCCGCUUAUAGUAUACUCUUGGAAAAUUCUCUUAACCCUUCAGAUGAAAAAUGAAAGCUUGUCUGAGCUUUUGAUGGUCCUCAUUGGGUUCGUCAUUUUCUUUGGUUGGUACUCAAAGAAUGCCUAUUGACUAACGUGGAAUAUUGUAAAUGAGGAGUCUCGACGGACCCUUCUUGUGAGAUUUGUGGGAGAGCCGAUGUAACCAUGCCAUAAACACCAACUAACCAUUAAACAUAAAUUUACCUAUACAUGCCAUUAUAACCUUGACCAAAACAUCAAAAUCUACUGAUAUAAUCGCUAGAUAGUGUGAUAGGUCUCUGACGAGCUUCCAAACUGAUCAAGCUUCUGAUAAUCUAUAAAACAUAGGAAAGAAAACUACGUAAUGCUUAGUAAGUUUGUAAAUCAUGAACAUAACUUACCAUUUCAAUGCAAAACCUUAAAAAUUAAACAUGAAUCAAUCCAACAUAAGCUUGGCACAAGCCUAAGCAUCAUCAACAACACAAGUUAGUGCUUUAAUACAUAACUUAACAAAAUCACCACAUGGUAAGGUAUAAUACAUGAAUAUAGCACAAUUGAACUCAUACUUUCCAUAAUCUUGAAUAUACAUACAUUGAUUUCUAACAUUUCAUACCUUUCUAUAAGUUCAUAAUAUAGUCGAUUGGGACACUUGUCGUUCCUUCCCUUUACAUGCAUGUUGAGCCACUUAGAAUAAUAUCGGAUACGUGAGAAGCUCACACAAAGUGUGCUAAACAUAUGGUCGAAACCAUUCCUUUCUUUUUCCUUUACAUCAUUGCUCACUCAAGCUAUAAAUAGGUCUGCUCACACAAGCUGACAGUUGGAAUGUAGCUACAUGAUGCCGCUCACACAAGCUGACGAGUAUCUGCAACAAAUGCCAGAACUCAACCACCGGUAGGACAUUUAGGACCAGCACCUGAAACAUGGUAACCCUAAUGACAUGUCAUUUGUAUCCUAUAUAUUCUUAAGGUUCAAACGGAGCUCAGUCGAAUAGUCUGAGUCUUUUCUUUUUCAGACCUCUUCGGGCAAUCUCUGAUAAAAUGUUCAUAUGAACCACAUUUAAAACAUGCCUCGUCUUUCAUCUUGCACUCACCAACGUGUCGACGUUCAUAUUGUUGACAUUCAGGUUUGUUACUUUUCACACUGCCUACGCUCGCUACAGACGUAGCCUGAGGUUUUGAAGUUGCAUAUUGUUUUCCUUGAUCUCUACCAGAGUAACCCAUUGAAGCUGACGUACGAUUAUGAUAUUCUUUUGAUUUCUUUAACAACGAUUGAUAUGAUUUUCCCGCUAAUCUCUUACCUAAAUCACAAGCCUCAUAAGCAACUUUUCUUUUAGCUUUGCUCAACUCUUCAGCUUUGUGUGCUCGGUUGACUAGAACAACAAAUUCUUUCAAUUCUAGAAUCCCGACUAACAACUUAAUAUCUUCAUUUAACUCGUCUUCAAACGGUUUACACAUAGCAAUCUCGGUCAGUACAUAUUCUCGGACAUAUUUGCUCAAUCUAACAAAUUCCCUCUCAUACUCAAAUACUGUUAUCCAUCCCUGUUUAAGCUCGAGAAAUUCUUUGCCUUUCCUGUCAAGGAACCUCUGGCUCACAUACUUCUUUUGAAAUUCAGUUUGAAAAAAUUCCCAAUUUACUCGAUCUCUUAGCACAACUAAAAUCAAGGUGUUCCACUACUGAUAGGCUGGGUCUUUCAAUAAAGAAACGACACAUUUCACACACUCUGCCGGUGUACAAGAUAACUCAUCGAAAACUCUGAUCGUAUUUUCUAACCAAAACUCAGCUCUCUCCGGAUCAUCUUCAGACGUAGCUCUAAACUCUUCUGUCCCAUAUUUAUGGAUUUUAUCAACCGGAGGCUUACUCAAUCAUACUGGAUCCAAACCCUGAGAAACUAUAGGGGCCGGUUGGGGAAUAGGUGGGGGUAGAGUUCGUUGAGCCAUCGGGUUUAUUUGUACGAACUCGGUAAACCACUCAUUAAUCAUUUAGAAUAAGGCUUAAUUAGCCUCUCUUCGCUGGCCUUCAGAUACGAGCCUACUACCACCUGACGCUGCUCCGUGAAUGAACGCUUGCGUGUUACUUUCAGCCUCAUCAAAAUCGGCUCUGUUGGAUGACAUUAUCUAUAUGAAAGCAUAAUUCAAAUCGAGUCAGGAGUUAUCAAUCUAUCACAGGUUAUAUAAUGGCAUGUAUUUGUAAACUCAUACACACUACGUUCAAUCUAAGAAUCGACUAAACCGUAGCUUAGAUACCACUAAAUGUAACACCCCUAACCCGUAUCUGUUACUAGAAUAGGGUUACGGAGCAUUACCGUAAAACCAUAACAUAAAAACAUGCAUUUCUAAACCUUUCAUUAAACAUAGCAUAAUCAAUUCAUAUUCAUGCAUAUCAUCCCUUAUUCGAGCCCUUGGGGCCUUAGAAACGCUUUAGAAAUGAUUUGGGAUUAAAUCAAAAACAUUUGAAACAUUGAGAAAAAAGUUAGAAAAAUUCAAACUGUAGGAGUCACAUGGCUGGGUUAGAAAAAUUCAAACUGUAGGAGUCACAUGGCUGGGACACACGCCCGUGUCUCAGGUCGUGUCUCAGCCUGUGUCCGUGCCUGUGUAACUCUCUGAGUUAGGUCAUAUGGCCAAGCCACACGCCCGUGUGCCAGGCCGUGUGCUAGGCCAUGUAACUACCUGACUUGCAACCAUUAAAACCUAUAAGGGACACAUGGUCGUGUUGCAUGGCUAUGUGUCAUACACAGUUGAGACACGCCCGUGUCUUAGGCCGUGUGGUUAAGAAAUUGGCCAAAAUCAAACCAUUUCUUUCACCCAUUCAAACAUGUACAUACAAGCCCUUUUACACAUAUAACCAAGACUGCCCAAAACAUACACAAAUGACCAAAUCCUUAUACCAACAAUCCAUUCAACCAAUAUGCCAUAUAGGCACCUCAAUCACAAACAAGCACAUAUACCUAAUUUUAUACAUAUUUGGCCAUAACUCAUCCAUACAUAUCUAGCUCAAUUCCAUUGCAAAUUAUACCAUAAUUUACCACAUUGAAGUUACACCAUCAAUACCAAAUUGGUCAUUCAAAACAUGCAUCAACUUAGCCAUAAUAACAACAAUCCACUAGGUACCAAAAGUACCACAAAUUCAAAACAACUUAUACAUGCCAUAAACAUCAACUAACCAUUAAACAUAAAUAUUUCACCUAUACAUGCCAUUAUAACCUUGACCAAAACAUCAAAAUCUACUGAUAUAAUUACUAGAUUGUGUGAUAGGUCUCUGAUGAGCUUCCAAACCGAUCGAGCUUCUGAUAAUCUAUAAAACAUAGGAAAGAAAACUACGUAAUGCUUAGUAAGUUCGUAAAUCAUGAACAUAACUUACCAUUUCAAUGCAAAACCUUAAAAAUUAAACAUGAAUCAAUCCAACAUAAGCUUGGCACAAGCCUAAGCAUCAUCAACAACACAAGUUAGUGCUUUAAUACAUAACUUAACAAAAUCAUCACAUGGUAAGGUAUAUAAUACAUGAAUAUAGCACAAUUGAACUCAUACUUUCCAUAAUAUUGAAUAUACAUAAAUUGAUUUCUAACAUUUUAUACAUUUCCAUAAGUUUAUAAUAUAGUCGAUCGGAACACUUAUCGUUCCUUCCCUUUACAUGCCCGUUGAACCACUUAAAAUAAUAUCGGAUACGCGAGAAGCUUACACAAAGUGUGCUAAACAUAUGGUCGAAACCAUUCCUUUCAUUUUCCUUUACAUCAUUGCUCACUUGAGCCAUAAAUGGGUCUGCUCACACAAGUUGAUGGUUGGAAUGUAGCGACACGAAGCCGAUCACACAAGCUAACAAGUAUUCGCAACAAAUACCAGAACUUAGCCAUUGGUAGGACAUUCAGGACCAGCACCCGAAACAUGGUAACUGUAAUGACAAGUCAUUUGUAAUCUAUAUAUUUUUAAGGUUCAAAUGGGGCUCGAUAGUCGUCGUACGUCAUUGGAUUUCCAUCGUUUCAUGAUAUGAUAAAUAGCGCUAUAGCAUAUAUACCAAAAUAACAUUAAAACGUUAUGUAAAUAUAUGAACUUACCUCGAUCACAAAAAUGUCAAAAUAUGAUUACUAAUUUGAGAUUUUAGCUUUUCCUCGAUCUAGAUUCGUACGAGGUUUGUUUUGAUCUAAAUAAGCAAAUUCAAUCUAUUUAAUACACAUAAUAUUCAACUUAGUCCAAAAUUUAUACUUUUGCAAAUUUACAUUCCCCCUAAUAUUUUAACUUUUUUACAAUUUAGUCCUUAAUCUCGUAAAUAGAAUUUAUGCAAUUUCAUCCACAUAUCAUGCUAGCCGAUUUACCUAAAGACUCAUAUCAACCCAAAAAAUCAUCAUUUCAUAAAUUUAUCAUGGUAUUUUAAUAUUUUUAUAAAUAAGUCCCUAGUCGAUAAAUUCAUAAAAAAUCACUUUACAAAAGUCGUUUAUUAAACAACAAGGACUCAUAAAUUUUAUUAAACUUCAAAAACCAAGCAAACAUGUUCAUGGAAAAACCCUAAUCUUUUUAAGCUAAAAUGACUUCAAAAACAUAAAAAUUAUUAAAAACGAGACAAAAACCACUUACAUGCAAGUGAAUGUAGCUUGACCGAACCCUAGCUAUGGUUUUCCUUGAAAAUUUCAGUUGAGGAUGAAGAUACGAAGGUGAUAGCUUAUUUGUUUCUUUUGUCUUUAUUAUAAUAACCUUUAAUUACUUAAUUACAUUUUUAACCUUUAAAAAUAUCCUUGAUUUCAAUAAAACCAAACCCAUAAAUGUCCACUACCACAUAAAUGGUCUAAUUACCACCUAAGUGGAUAAAGAUUACAAGUUUUUUUACAUAAUGAAAAUUUUAGCUUAUAUUAUUUAACUAUUUUGUCACUUUGACCCUAAUUUUUUGUUUCCCUUUAAUCUUUUAAAUUUGGUCAAAUUGUUGUUUCCUGGACAAAAUAAUUGACCGUUAAAAAUUUAACCAUAUUUACUAUAUAGUUCUUACUGCAGUUCAUGUGUGUUUCAUAAUUGCUGCCAUAACUACAAACACAGUAAGCUCCUACUGAAGUUAAAACUUUCCACAUUUGCUUUGGAAUCCUGGUUUUGGUUUAGCUGCUAUUGAAAUUGCCAUAAUUGUUAAAGUAAUUGGGGAUCAAAGAAAGUAAGCCAGUUGUGCUAUAUUGUAACAGUCAAGCUGCAAUUCAAAUUGCAGCAAACCCUGUUUAUCAUGAAAGAACCAAGCACAUUGAAAUCCAUUGUCACAUUGUGAGAGAAAGUAUCUAGAAAGGUUUAGUGAAAACUAAACACAUUUCAACAAAGGAACAGCUUGCAGACAUUCUCACCAAAGGACUAGUAGUAUAACAACAUCGACACUUAAUAUCUGUUGGUGUUAUGAACAAAGAACAUACAAGUUGGCUAAGACUUGAGCAUCAAGGCUCGAUUCUUGCUGAAGAAACAACAGAUUUCCAAGAUAGAAAAUUGAAAAGAAAAGCAAAGAACAAUAGAGAGUAUUACAACAAAAACUGAUUGAAUUCAUUCAAAUUAAACAAUGGCAUAAUGCCAAUACAUAAAUCAAGCACUAAGCUUGUCAAAAACAGUAAGUGGUCACCUAAUCAAUACCUACUACCACUAAUACAUUGAAACUUGAAAAGCAAAACUUGUAAGCAUAGACAAAGCUGAGUUUACAGCUCAUUCACUAUCUAAUUACAUCAAUCAUAAACCUAACUUAGUUCAAAAUAAACUAGAAUACAUUUCCUUAAACUAAAGUUACACAAUGAACAAAAAAUAGCAGCUGCACUUGCUCCAAUAGCUUCUCCAUGGCUCGGCCUGCAUGUCUUGCUUCUUUUCUGCUCUUGGUGCUACAUGCUGACCAUACUUCAACACUCCUCCUUAGUUAGCACGUUGCAAACUCCCAAACUCCUUCUUAAAUGCUUGAACUUUGUCACACUAAAAGGCUUGGUUAAAAUGUCAGCAAGUUGAUCUUCUGAAUUGCAAUGAAACUGUUUCACUUCCUGUGCUUGCUCUAUUUCUCUAACAACAUGGAGUUUAAUGCUGAAAUACUUUGUUCUUCCAUGGAAUACUAUAUUCUUUGCAAUUGCAACAACAGACUGGUUGUCAUAAAAAAUCUCUGUUGCUUCCUUUUGAUGCACACUUAAAUCAACUAUUAUUUUCCUUAGCCAAAUGGCUUGGUUUACAACACUUGCUGCUGCAACAUAUUCUGCUUCAGUAGUAGAUUGAGCAACUAUUGUUUGCUUUUUCGAGCUCUAACAAAACAUAGCUGAACCAAAAUUGAAAGCAUACCCUGAGGUGCUUUUCAUGUCAUCCAUCGAACUAGCUCAGUCAUUGUUAGUAUAACCAAUCAACUUGAAGCUUUUAGCUUUGCUAUACAUCAAGCCAUGGCUCAAUGUACCCUUGACAUACUUGAGCACCUUUUUUGCAGCUUGAAAGUGCUUCUCGUUGCUAUAAUGCAAGAACCUUGAGAGCAAACUUACAACAAACAUAAUGUUUGGCCUAGUGGCUGUCAGGUACAACAAACAACCAAUUAAGCUCCUGUAGGUUGUUUCACAAACCUUCUCAAAAUCACCAUGGCUCGAUAGCUUUUCUCUAACAACAACUAAAAUAUUAGUUGCUUUACUAUUUUGCAUUGAGAACUUGGUCAGAAUCUUAGAGGCAAAAGCUCUCUGACUUAGGAAUAUCCCAUUGUGCAUCUGUGUCACUUCCAUACCAAGAAAAUAGGUCAUUCUUCCUAGAUCAGACAUCUCAAACAUCUGGUGCAUUUUGGUUUUAAAACCGAUCAGCAUUGUUUGGUCUCCUCCUGUCACUAAUAGGUCAUCAACAUACAGAGAUACAAUGAGUUGAGUCUAUGCACCUUCUUUGUUGACAUACAAAGUUGGCUCGCUCUUGCUUCUUUCAAAUUUUAAACCGACCAGGUAGCUAUCGAUCCUGCUAUACCAGGCCCUUGGAGCCUGUUUCAAGCCAUACAAGGCUUUCUUCAGCUUAUAAACCAAGUGUUCUUUACCAGCUAUUUCAAAGCCUUGAGGUUGUUCAACAUAGAUCUCCUCUUCAAGAAAUCCAUUGAGAAAGGUAGACUUCACAUCGAGCUGGUGGAUUUUCCACUGCAUUUGUAUUGCUAAGGCAAUCAGUAACCUAAUGGUGUCGAGCCUAGCCACUGGUGCAAAGGUCUCCAAGUAAUCUAGACCAUACUUCUGGCUAAACCCCUUAACAACCAGUCUUGCUUUUAACUUAUUCAAGCUCUUAUCAGCAUUGUGCUUGGCUCGAUAGACCCAUUUUACCCCAAUAACCUUCUUGUUUACUAGUCUUUCAAUAGCUUCCAAGUCUGAUUCUUCUCAAUCAUGCUGAUUUCAUCAGCCAUUACUUGUUUCCAGCCUAAGUGUACUUUAGCCUCUUAAAGCAGCUUGGUUCUGCUAUAACUACAUGAGCUCUUUCAUAAAUCUUCAGCCAAUAGUCUACUGCCCCUAACUGGUUCAUCAUCAAUGUCUAUUUUAAGACCAUUUUGAUCUAGCUCGGUUUGAUCUACCAACAGGUCUUCAAGAACUAUCUUUGGUUCAUUCUUCUCCUAGUUCCAACAUACUUUCUCAUCGAACACCACAUCUCUGCUUACAGACACUUUAUUUAUUGAAGGAUCUAAGAUCCUAUAGCCCUUUUUUACUGAGCUGUAGCCCACCAAAAUACCAGGUUAAACUUUUUUGCCAAUUUUUUCCUCUUCACUACUGGGACAUGAGUAUAGCAUAUGCUACUAAAGACCCUCAGGUGAGCCAAUGAAAGCUUGAAGCCGAACCAGGCUUCGAAUGGAGUCUUAUGAGCCAAUGCCUUAGUUGAAAGCCUGUUCUGGAUGUACACAGCAGUGUUGACUGCCUCAGCCCACAUGGUUUUGGGCAAAUUCUUCUCAAAUAGUAGGCACCUGGACAUAUCCAUCAAGCUCCUGUUCUUCCUCUCACUUACACCAUUAUGUUGAGGAGUGUAGGUGUUGGUGAGCUGGUGUUUGAUGACUGCUUCAUCACAAAAUGCUUGGAACUGAGCUGAGGUGUACUCAGUCCCAUUAUCAGACCUUAGGGUCUUUAACUUGCAGCCAGGUUCAGCCUCUGCAGCAAUCUUGAAUUUGGAAAACAUUGAGGCCACUUCUAAUUUCUGUUUUAAGAAGUAAAUCCAACAAAACAUUGAGAAAUCAUCAAUAAACAGAAUGAAGUACCUACUUCCAUUCAGUGACUUGGUCUUCAUGGGGCCACACACAUUAGUGUGCACGAGCUGCAGGCUUUUUGAGGCUCUCUAAGCCUGAUUUGAAGGAAAUGAGAGCCUAGCUUACUUUCCUAGCUGGCAUACCUCACAAACCUCCUGUUUUUCAACUAAACCAAUGAAGUUUUCAGCCAAAUCUUCUCUAGAUAGUUGGUCCAUUAAUCUGUAGUUGGCAUGACCAAGCCUUUAAUGCCAAAGCUUGGAUUCAUCUGUUGUGGCUGUAUAGGUAGUGUCUAAGCCAUUUGUCUAGUCAACAACAAAGCUCUUCUUAGCCAUAUUAACUGCCAUGAUCUUGGAUCCGCUUGGAUCACUGAUUUGGCACUCAUUGCCUUUGAACACUAUAAAAUACCUUUUCUCUAGUAGCUGAGCUAUGCUGAACAGGUUUCUAUCAAUUUCAGGUACCAACAACACAUUUGAGAUGAACUUGUUACCUGUAGGAGUGCAUAUCAAUACAUCUCUUUUACCUUCUUCCUUCAUAAAAUGGCUAUUAGCAAUCUUAACCUUGGUUUUACAAGUUCUGUUAAUAAUUUUAAAGAUGGAAGCACAUGGUGACAUAUGGUUGGUGCAGCCACUAUCUAUGAGCCACCCUCUUGUUGUAUUUCCUUUAAAAGAUGAGCAUAAGACUGUAAAAACUUGUUCUUCAUAGUCACUGCCCUCUUCUGCUAUUCGAGCCUCAGCCUUUGGUUGUUGUGGUUGGUGCUACCUUGGUUUGCCUUUGCUUUUACAAACCUUUUCAACAUGGCCCAUCCUUUUGCAGCAUUGGCACUGCACAUCUGGUCUAUGCCAGCAGUUGGCUUUUGGAUGACCAAGUCUUUUGCAAUGCCUACAAGGUUGGUCCCUUUUUCUUGCAGGAUCUGACUUUGGCUUGUCUCUCUAAGUCUUUUUGCCUUUGUAGGCAGAGGUGUUCGAAGCAGGUUUGGUCUUUUCUUGAAAGACACCUAAGCAUAGAGAUCAUUGAUCAACUCUGUCAAUAUGAUUAUUGUCAGGUCCCUUGAGUCUUCGAGGGAUGAAAUUUUUUCCUCAUACCUCUCAAGCAAGGUUGAAAUCACCUUCUCCACUAUCCUUGCUUCACUGAACUGCUCACCAAGGAGCCUUAUGCUGUUUACCACAGCCAUUAUUCUGUCUGAGUACUGUUUGACAAUUUCUUCUUCCUUCAUUUUCAAAUUCUUGAAGUCCCUUCUGAGGUUCAACAACUAUUGCUGCCUUAUUCACUCUGUUUCUUGAAACUACUCUUUUAAUUUGUCCCAUGCCUGUUUUGGUGUCUCACAGGCCAUAAUCCUUGUAAAAAUCACAUCUUGCACUGAGUUUUGGAUGCAAAAUAUAGCCUUGUGCCUUUUGGUCCUUUCAUCAGUAUGCUGCCUGAUCUGAGCCACUAUUGGAUUGGCUCUUAGUGGCUCUGGUUCAACAUCUGAGUUGACCACCUCCCACAGAUCAAAUGCCUAUAGGUAGGUAUUCAUUUUUACCACCUAUAUGUGAAAGCGUUCUAUAUUGAAGACUGGAGGUAUAGAUGGUGAGAAGCUUGAUGAGGCCAUUAUUUUAAGUAACAGGUCCCUUAAGAUUAAGGCUCUAGAUACCAAUUUUUGGUGUUAUGAACAAAGAACAAACAAGUUGGCUGAGACUUGAGUAGCAAGGCUCGAUUCUUGCUGAAGAAAUAACAGAUUUUCAAGAUAGAAAAUUGAAAAGAAAAGAAAAGAACAAUAGAGAGUAUUACAACAAAAACUGAUUGAAUUCAUUCAAAUUGAACAAUGGCAUAAUGCCAAUACAUAAAUCAAGCACUAAGCUUGUCAAAAACAGUAAGUGGUCACCUAAUCAAUACCUACUACCACUAAUACAUUGAAACUUGAAAAGCAAAACUUGUAAGCAUAGACAAAGCUGAGUUUACAACUCAUUCACCAUCUAAUUACAUCAAUCAUAAACCUAACUUAGUUCAAAAUGAACUAGAAUACAUUUCCUUAAACUAAAGUUACAAAAUGAACAAAAAAUAGCAGCUGCACUUGCUCCAACAGCUUCUGCAUGGCUCGACCAGCAUAUCUUUUUUCUUUUCUGCUCUUGGUGCUACAUGCUAACCAUACUUCAACAAUAUCCAAGUUGGGAGUGAUAGACAUAUAUCACCCUUCAACUUGAGAGGGAGUGUUGAAGUUGGUAAUAAGUUGCUAUAGUAGCUCUUAGUGUUUAGGGAUUAGUUCUUUGUAAUUAACAAUUAAAAUACGUACUAAGUAUGCUAGUUAGUUACUACCUACCCAUUAUAUAACAAUCAAGCUGUAGCAACAAGAAUGUCAAACUUGAAGCAUUUUAUUUUCUCUCAUCUUUUCAAUCAAUAUCUUAACAGAGUCAGGCUUUAGAAUCCUAGCAGAGCCAAAAUCAGAGGCAUGAGCUUCAUAGUCCAAAUCUAAGAGAACAUUGCUACUAGAAAUAUCUCAAUGAACUAUAGGCUGUGAAUGGCCAUGAUGCAUAUAAUACAAAGCAUUAGCCAAUCCUUUAACAACAUUUAGCCUCUUCUUCUAGUCCAAUUCCUUAGCCUGUUCAUUGUUGCUUAGCACCAUUCUCAAACUUCCCCUUUCCACGAGCUCAUAAACCAAAAAAGAAUGCUUUGGAUGUGAACAAAAAUCAUACAUUUGCACAAUCUUUCGGUGCCUUAUUUCUAAUAAAGUGAUAAUCUCACUUUCAAACUCUUUCAAGUUGUUGAUGAGAAUGUUGUCUUUAGACCGUUGAAGUUUCUUCACAGCAACCACCUGACCAGUUGUUAAUGCAACUUUAUAGACACUUCCAUAUCUUCCUGAACCAAUGCAAUAAUUGGAGCUAAAAUCUUUAGUGGCUUCAAUAGUGUUGUCAUGGAGUACUCUUCCAUUAAAUCCCAAAACAGUAAAAAUAUAUCCUUGUUGUUCCUCCCUUGGCUCUGAUUCUUUAGUUUGAGUCCUUUUGCAGAAAGUAAAAAAACUUCCAACCAGUAGAAGUAGAUCGCCAAAAAGUGGAAGCAUAAUUGAAAUGAUGACUUUGGUCCUUUCUCUAUGACCAUGGUUGGCCAGAAAAGAAGGAACACAAGCCAUUAGUCCAGUGGCAUUACGGCAUACGCCUUUAUUGUUUCUAAAGGCAUCAAACGAAGUCUCAUGAAAAGCCUUAAGAUUUGGAAUAGAACCUUCAAAUUGAUUGAAAGAUAUGUUCACAAAUCUCAAACCACGCAAAUUAUUAUAAGUUUCCGGAAUGGAACUGUUGAGCAUAUUGUGAGAAAGGUUCAAUACUUCCAAGGACUAUAAUUUUCCAAAUUGUUGUGGGAUACCUCCAAUAAGUGAGUUCUAACUCAAAUCUAGGCUUUGAAGAGCAUUAAUGUAGCUUAUUGAAGAUGGAAUGCUUGAGGUUGUUCUUGCUCAAAUUCAAGUUGAGUAACUUGAGGCAAUUUCCAAGAUCAUCAGGAAUAGGCUCACUAAAAUUGUUUGAUGCCAAGUCAAGUUGUUCUAGUUUUUAAAGAAUAUAUAUGUCUUAGAAUGUCCGAAAAACCUAAAAAUCAUGUUUUUGCGCAGUUUAGGGUGCAAUCCCAUGUAAACGACACGGAUUGUCACAUGGUCGUGGGUGUUAGCCCGUGUGGAAAUGGUCAACUCGUGUGGCUCCUGUAGAUCGCUCCAAUUUUUUGAUUUUUACUCAUUUUACUCCCAAAUGCUCUCCUAAGUAUAAAAACAUGAAUUUAAAAGAUUAUAAGCAUAAAAUUCACCAUUUACAUCAAAUAAUCACCCAAAAAUAUAUUAAGAAUGAGGUUAAAACAUAUUACUUUUAACUCUUAUCAAUGUUAUUCUCAUUAUAUUGAUCGGUAAUUAUUUCCAACUCUUUGGAACUGAAGAGUUUAUAUUUAUCCAGACCACAUUUAAAAACAUCUUUUUUUUGAAACAAGAAUCCACCAUUUCUUUCGAAGAGUUUUUAUUUGAGUUUAAUAUACUUUCUUCUCUGCAGUAUGUUAUAAAGCGACCAUACCCGACAAUUAGAAACAAGAGCCCUAUACUCAAGCCAAUACCCACAUGAGAUCCAAAUAAAUACGUAACUUAAAUGAUUAACUCCUAAAAUCGUUUAUGUUACCAUUUAAACUACUAUUUUAAAAGAAAAUUUAGUUGGACAUGUCUCUUGUUAUAUGAUGUUGUGUAUCUUAUAAAAAAAUAGUCUUUAAAGAUGUUAUAAUGGUCUGUUUGAGAAUUUGGAUUUGAAAAUUUGAACUUAAAUUUGAAGUAUUAUGUAAAUGAUAAGAAUGAAAUGCAUAUUAUGGAUAAAUUAAUUCAGAUUUAAUCUAAUUUAUAUUAGAAAAGAUAUAAACAAAGAUUUAUCAAAUCCAAAUUUUUUUUAAAGAUUUCGAUGAAUUAUAUAACCUAGAGUUGUCAUAUCGAUUGCGCAAAUAAUUAUCAUCCAGGGAGAUAUUGAGAACUUUUAAAAGGGUGUUGCUUAAGAAUGCUUUGGUGGUGUUAAAGGGGUAUUACAACGAAUGAAAAAGUGGCUGCUAAUGUACCAAAAGGGUAUGGGAUGCUUAUGUUUCCGCAGUUGCUUUCACAUCCAGGUUUUGCUCGGGCUGCUACUGAAGUUGUUAUACAGCAAGCUCCUUAAACAUGCAACCAAACCCCAUCACCCCUCUCUCGGCUUAUGUAAAUCUAUAGAAUAACUUAUAGGAAUAGCAUGCAUGUACCAAGAUUCAAUGCCAUUUUAAUAGACAAGUUAUGGAAUACUAUAGCCGAUACAUGAUUCUUUAUCGCUUUGCUGACUCGUUCAUUUUCCUUUAAAAACUUUUCAUAUUUUAUUUCUUUUCGAUUUAAAAACUUUUCUUCCAUUAUCUAAAUGAAGCUUACAGCAAUUUAUAUUCACCCUUCGAUGGAUAAACAAUGCAUACUACAAUUUACUCCAGUAACUUGUUUUUCACUGCAGAUUUAAGUGGUGUACUUGACUAUGAAUAGUCAACUCAGCUCCAAGUCUUCGUCGUUUUAGUCUGAAAUUUAUUAUUUCCUUCCUUCUUCUUUUUUUUUUUAUAAUAAAUAGGGAUAAGGUUUGAUGGGUGGUGAGAAUAUUAAGUCUCGCCAUCAAUCAAUUAUUUUUUUCAAUAAAUUAUAUUAAAUAUUGAUAAAUUUAAUAUGUUAAAAAGCCUUUUAGAAAAUGCAAAAAAAAAAAAUUAAGCAAAGUACUGUAUUAAAUUUAUAUUCAAUUAAAUUCUUAUCGUUAAUUAAAAUAAUAAGUUAAAUCUUCAUUAACGGAAUCUGUAAUUAAUCAUGUUGAUUGUUAAAAUAAAUUGACGGAUCAAUCAAAGGGUACCACACGACAACAUUAAAUAUUAAAAAUCAUAAAAUAUAAAAAAUUAAAUAUUUAAAAUUAUUAAAAUGGACACAAAUUUAAAAAUUAUAAAAACUUAUACAUAUUAUAAAAAUAUAAAAACCUAACAAAUCAUAAAAGUUUUAUAAAAUUAAUAAAAAAUAUUUACAAUUUUAUGAAAAUCAUAAAAUAUUAAAAAUAUAUAAAUUAGUAAAAAAUAUAAAAACUUAUAAAUAUUAUAAAAAUAUAAAAAUUAAAAUUUUAUAAAAACAUAUAAAAAUUCAUAAAAAAUAUAAAUAAUAUAAAAAUUCUAAUAAAUUGUAAAAAAUAAAAAUUAUAAAAACUUGUCGAAAUCAUUUUUUUGAAAAACAAAAAUUUAGUUGUCGACUUUAAAACCAAAAAUUAGAGUCGCCACCGAUCCUUUAUUAAGGUGUGAUCGGCUCACCUUAAAAACGAUUUUGGUCUACGAAAUUUGAGAAAAUAGGUUCGGGAGUCAGUUACACAUGGGGAAGGGUUAGCACCCUCGUAACGCCCAAAAAUCAGUACCAAAUUAAUUAUUUAAUGUCUUAGUAACGAGGGUUAAAAAUAUUUUUUUUAAAAAAAACUCAAAUGAUGAAAUCUAAAAAGAAUAAUCAAUUGCUUAAGUCAGACGAAGAAAUCGAGACCCAAUACGUUAGGGUACAAUUUCUCAAAAUCCCCAAGCUUUGAAUAUCGCUUUUAUUUUAUAAGAAAAUCUUCAUUUCGAGAAAGUAAUAUGUCAUGCCCAAUACAUUAGGACACAACAAAUUAUGUACAUGUAUAUAAAAAUUAUGAAGAUAAAAUAAUAAUAAAAAUAUAAAUAAAAUAUGUACAUGUAUAUCUUCUACAAAAGUUUAAAACAUAUAUGCACAUAUUUAUUAUAAAAAUGUAUGAACGUACGUGGAAAUAAUAAUUAUAAUAUUAAUAAUAAUAGUAAAUAAGAAGAAGAAGAAGAAGACAAAAAAUAAAUUUUCUUUUAAAAAAAAACCAAUUGCCAAAAAGGACUGAAUAGUCAAUAAAACUAAAACAACAGGAAAUAAAUGAAAUUUUAGCAAAAUGAUGGGUCAAAUUGUGACUUGCGAAUUACACGGGGGGCCAAAUUAGAAAUAAUCCACCUCCCCAAAAUGCUGCGCAGCGACGAGGACCAAUUUGCAAUAAAAUAAAAUGUGUAGCAAAAUUUAAAAGAAAUUAGAAAUUUAAUUUAAGUGCGCUGCAAAAAUAAGGGGACCGAUUGCGCAAAUUUCCCCUCUCAGACUAAAACGCACGGAUCUAGCGCUAUUCGGGUCGGGUCAUCGGGUUCUUGCCUAUACGGUGUCGUUUUGAAGCCACUGAAGCAGGCCUUAAACGGCGUCGUUUCAUGGUCAUUAAUAAAACAAAAUUUUUUUUCUAAAAACUUCAUUUUUUCCUUUUGAUUCAAAACAGCAGAGUAACCCUCUGCUAGGGUUUUGUUCUUUUCUCUGCCACCGCCAUUCAAGCCUCCCCACGGUCUUCGUCGAUGCCCCAGUCUCCAAUCACGAUGGAGAGGGCACCAACUCAGCGAUUCCGGCGAAAAGGUAAGUUUUCCCUCUCUUUUUUUAUAUUUUAAGUUAAAAAUUAAAAGAAUAAAAAUAAAACUAAAUGAAUAAAUAAAUAAAACAAACACCCACAAAAUAAACUAAAAAAAAUCAAAAAAUAAUCACCUCCGUUAUUCAAAUAUUUUUUAAUCUAUUUUUCCUCUUUUUCUUUGUAUUUUCAGUAUUUUCUCCUAUUUUUGCAUAUCCCCUUUUUACAAAAAGAAACAGCCUUUUUAUAGCUUGAAAAACAACUUAUUUUCACUAUUUUUUUCUCUUUUGGACUCUUUUAGUCCACUUUGCAGUAACGUGGGGAUAUGGUGCAAGACGUGGCGCGCAUGGAGGAGGCCGGCUUUGAGACGUGCGGCGACUGGGGUCUGUUGGAGGCCAUAUGCCGUUAGGGUUUCCCGAUCCUUUCUCUGGUAUUGGUUUCGGGCUUGGGUUAGUUGGGUUUUAGGUUUAGGUUUAUUGGGCUGAUGUAAUUUGGGCCGUUUAGAUAAAUGUAAAUGGACUCUAUAAUUGUUUGGACUUUAUUUAUUCUUUUAUUUGGUUUAUGCAUACGGGCCCGGGCAAAUUGGGCCUAUUACAGCUGCCCCUCUUUGCUCGUUGUCGUGUAACGAGAACAGAGCAAAGACUAAGAAAGUCCAAUUUUACCCGGUCUCGCCAAAUCUUGACUUCUUUGGGCUCUUAUUUUCUUCAAGUAGUCCUCAUUCCAGUCCAUUGUGUUUUGUUGCUUCAAUCCAUUCUAUUGCACUUCAGAGAGAUUUGGCUUGUAGCUUCAAUCUUUUUCGUAGCAACUUCAUGGGGACGAGAUUGGUGGUUUUAGUCUGCUCCACUGUAACUUCAGGGAGAUAAGACUAGAUGCGAUCUGCUCUACUGCAACUUCAGAGAGAUAAGAUCUGUGGUUUUAAUCCGUUCCAUUGCAACUUCAGGGAGAUAGGAUUGGUUUCUUCAAUCUGCUCCAUUGUAACUUCAGGGAGAUAAGAUUGGUUUCUUCUGUCUACUCCACUGCAACUUCAGGGAGAUAAGACUAGAUGCGAUAUGCUUUACUGUAGCUUCAGAGGGAUAAGAUCUGUGGUUUUAAUCCACUCUACUACAACUUCAGAGAGAUAAGAUUGGUUUCUUCUGUCUACUCCACUAUAACUUUAGGGAGAUAAGACUGGAUGUGAUCUGCUCUACUCCAACUUUAGAGAGAUAAGAUCUUGUGGUUUUAAUCAGCUCCACUGCAACUUCAGUGAGAUAUGAUUUGUUUCUUCAAUAUGCUCCACUGUAACUUUAGGGAGAUAAGGUUGGUUUCUUCUGUCUACUCCACUGCAACUUCAGGGAGAUAAGACUGGAUGCGAUCUGCUCUACUGCAACUUCAGAGAGAUAAGAUCUUGUGGUUUUAAUCCGCUCCACUGUAACUUUAGGGAGAUAGGAUUGGUUUCUUCAAUCUGCUCCACUGCAACUUCAGGGAGAUAAGACUUUAUGAUUUCACCGAUCUGCUCUCUAGGGGAACAUGACCUGUAUGAUUCAUUUCAGAAAACCUAAUUAUGCUUAAUGAUUAGGAUGUCGUGGUCAAAAUGAAUCAAAUGCUCUUAGCCAGAUGUGUAUGAAUGAUAUUUGAAUGCAAUGUCAUGAAAAUGAUUCUUUAGUGUUGAAAUUGUUAUUUCUCAUUUAUUCAUUAAGGCUUCCUUUGUGACAACAAUGCUUCGACAAAACUCGAAAAAUUCUUAAUCUAGACUUUUCUUUCCUAAAUAUCUCCAACCUUUUAACUCGGUGAAUUCUAAAGAAUAGUCAUGUUUCAGGUUCCUGUAUUAUCUAGAGUAAUAUGAAAUUUCUAGAGUAAUAUGAAAAACUUCCUUUGUGAAAGUAUUAUUAGUCCAUUAAUCAUUAUUCUAAUGCAGCAUACUUGCGAAAAAAUCAUAAAUAUGGAUAAAAUAGAAUAGAUUUGAGAGCAUAGCUCGCAAUAAAUUGUCAAUGAUGGCAAGCUAAAAAGAGGAAUUGAUUGGGAACACUUAUAUUGAAAAGAAUGAAGUAUUCUAAAAACAACACAUUCAAUAUAAAUAAUAUGAAUAGGUGCCCCAGAUAUCGUAGCUUGAGCUUCUCUGAACAAAUUUCCUGAAGACCAUUCUGAGUUUGACAUGUGUUUAGAAGAUCUACAGUACUUUGUCGGUGCCCCAGAUGUCGCGUACCCUUUCUUGCUGACUCAGGCAUAGUAAGAUCACUCCAUGCCCCAAUCAAAAUUUGAGCAGCCCUUUUCGUGUUUUCAACUCAAAUCCCCUUUGGUCUCAAGGCGCUCUUUGCGGGGUUUCCCAUUGGUUCCUUCUCUAUUUUUCUCUUUUUUUUGAACUCAAAGCGCCCUUUGUGGGUUUUCACAUUCGUUCCUUCUCCUUCUUAAGUAAAGUAUUUCUUGACUGAAUCUGAGUUUACUGGAUUAGGCAAGUUUUUCCCAUCCAUCUCAGUCAGAAUCAAUACUCCCCCAGAAAAGGCCUUUUUUACAACAUAAGGCCCUUCCCAACUUGGCAUCCACUUCCCUCUAAAAUCCUUUUGUAGAAGAAGAAUUUUUCUCAACAUCAGGUCCCCAUCGUGAAAUUCUCUGGGACGGACCUUUUUGUUGUAGGCUCGCAUCAUUCUUUUUUGGUACAUUUGACCAUGCUGAAUAGCCUUUAGCCUUUUUCACUCUAUUAAGUUCAACUGAUCAUAUCGAGAUUGAACCAUUCUGCUUCAUCCAACUUUAGCUCAACCAACAUUUAGAGAGAAGGGAUUUCAACUUCAAUGGGUAAACCUGCCUCCAUACCGUAAACCAAGGAGAAAGGCGUUGCCCCGGUAGAAGUCCUGAUUGAGGCUCGAUAAGCAAGGAGGGCAAAUGGUAAUUUCUCAUGCUAGUCCUUAUAAGUCUCAGUCAUUUUCCCCAUAAUUUUCUUAAUAUUUUUAUUGGCUGCCUCCACUACACCAUUCAUUUUUGGGCGAUACUGUGACGAAUUGUGAUGUCUGAUCAUGAAUUGACUGCAGACCUCCGCUAUUGAGCUGUUGUUCAAAUUUAAUGCAUUGUCUGAUAUGAUUCUUUCAGGCAUUCCAUAUCGACAUAUGAUCUCUCCUUUCAAGAACUUGCUGAUUGCUGACUUUGUGACAUUAGCAUACGAAGCAGCUUCUACCCAUUUAGAAAAGUAGUCAAUGACUACAAAGAUGAAGCGAUGCCCGUUAGAAGCCUUCGGCGAUAUUGUCCCGAUGACAUCUAUCCCCUACAUGGAGAAAGGCCAUGGAGAAGUCAUAACGUGAAGAGGCAAAUGAGGUGCAUGCAUUUUAUCACCAUAAAUUUGACAUUUAUGGCAUUUCUUGGCAUAAUUGAUGCAAUUCCCCUCUAUGGUGGACCAAUAGUACCCGCAUCUCAUAAUCUGUCUAGCCAUUGUGAACCCACUAGUAUGCAUUCCACAAAUAGCCUCAUGGACCUCCCCCAAGAUUUUUUUAGCUUCCACGGCGUCCACACAUCUUAAUAGAAUCUGAUCAUUUCCUCUCUUAUAUAAGAUCUCCCUAUCUAAAACGUAAUCAAUGGCUAGUCUUCUUAGAGUCCUCUUAUCAUUCUCAGUUGCCUGAUUAGGAUACUCUCGAUUCUUUACAUAUGUAAUAUAUCUUGAUACCAGGGACUAUCAUCCAUUUCUCCUUCUUCGAUAUUAUAGCAAUGAGCCGAGCCUUCAUAGAUGCUCAUCUGGAUAGGCUUUAUGUCCUCUUGUCUGUUCACUUUGAUCAUUGAGGCUAGAGUAGCUAAUGCGUCAGCUAUACGAUUCUCAUCUCAUGGGAGAUAGUAGAAAGUAAUGUCUUCAAACUCUUUAAUCAAUUCAAGGACCAACUUUCGAUAACUGAUUAAUUUGGGAUCUCUCGUUUCCCAUUCUCUCUUGAGUUGGUAUAUCACCAAUGCCGAAUCUCUGUAGACCUCCAGCACUUUGAUUUCACACUCUAUAGCUGCACGAAUGCCCAUGAUGCACGCUUCGUAUUCUGCCAUGUUAUUUGUACAAUCAAAAUCCAAUUUGCAAGUAAAAGGAUAGUGAUCUCCGUUUGGGGACACUAAGACUGCCCAAAUUCCAUUGCCCAUAGCGUUUGAAGCUCCAUCAAAAUUUAGCUUCCAAUUGUGACCCUCCUGGGAAUUUUCUUCAGCAGCUGCUACAUACAUCAGGUCCUCAUUUGGGAAAUCAAAACUCAAUGGCUCGUAAUCCUCCAAAGCCUUGCUAGCCAGAAAGUCAGCUAUUGCACUCCCUUUCAUGGCCUUUUGACUCACAUAGACUAUAUCGAAUUCAGAAAGUAAGAUCUGCCAUCUGGCCAUCCUCCCAUUCAAAGCAGUCAACUUCAUCAUAUGUUUUAAGGGGUCUAAUUUUGAAAUUAGCCAAGUCGUAUGGUAGAACAUGUACUGCCUCAAUCUUCGGGUUGUCCAAAUCAGGGCACAACACAACUUUUCAACAGGCGACUAUCUCAUUUCACAGUCAGUAAAUUUCUUACUGAGAUAAUAUAUCGCCCUUUCUUUCCUCCCCGUUCCAUCAUGUUGACCGAGCACACACCCCAUGGAAUUAUCAAACACUGUUAGAUACAAUAUCAGCGGCCUAUCUGGGCUAGGUGGUGACAGCACUGGAGUAUUAGACAAGUAUUGUUUUAUCCUGUUAAAGGCUUCCUCGCAUUCUUCAUCCCAUGUACCAGGAUUAUGUUUCUUCAGAAGACGAAAUAUGGGGUCACAUUUCUCGGUUAAUUGUGAAAUGAACCUAGCAAUAUAAUUCAGUCUUCCUAAGAAACCUCAAACUUCUUUCUGCGUGUGAGGUGGAGGUAAAUCUCGUAUUGCCUUGACUUUGUCUGGGUCAAUUUUGAUUCCCUUUUCACUGACUAUGAAGCCUAGCAACUUUCCUGACCUGGCCCCAAAAGUGCAUUUCGCUGGAUUGAGCUUAAGCAGGAACUUUCUUAAUUUUAAGAACAAUUUUCUUAGGACCUGUACAUGUUCCUCCUCCGUUCUAGAUUUUGUGAUCAUAUUAUCAACAUAAACCUCGAUUUCCUUGUGCAUCAUGUCAUGGAACAAGGCUACCAUAGCUCUUUGGUAUGUCACUCUCACAUUCUUUAACCCGAACGGCAUUACUUUAUAGCAAAAUGUUCCUCAUAACGUGAUGAACGCAGUCUUUCUCAUGUCUUCGGGAUGCAUUUUAAUCUGAUUGUAUCUAGAAAAACCAUCCAUGAAAGAGAACAAUGAAUAGCCUACCGUAUUAUCUACCAAUGUGUCAAUGUGAGGCAAUGGGAAAUUGUCUUUUGGACUAGCCUUAUUUAGAUCCCUAUAAUCUACACACAUUCGUACUUUCCCAUCUUUUUUAGGAAUUGGUACGAUGUUAGCCACCCAUUCAAAAUAUUUGACCUCUUGUAGAAAAUCGGCAUCAAACUGCUUUUUGACCUCCUCUUUUUUUUUUAACAUGACAUCAGGCCUCAUCCUCCUGAGCUUCUGCGGCACUGGCUUGCAAUCCUCUCUUAUAGGAAUGCGAUGUACUACAAUGUCAGUACUUAACCCGGGCAUAUCUUGAUAUGACCAUGCAAAGACAUUUUUGAAUUCUUGGAGUAAUCCAAUGAGGUCUUGUCUUGUCUUUGCAGAGAUAUUAGAUCCGAUCUUCACCUCUUUUCCUUCCUCCAAGCUCACAAUUUCUAUUGUUUCCUUGUGAGGUAAGAUUUACUUCUUCGUCUGUUCUACCAUCUUCAACAAGUCAGGGGAUAAACCACAGUCUUCGUCAUCUUCGGAAUCAUGCAAUCCCUCUAAACACAUGUCUCGUUCAAAAGAAGAUUCUGAACUUUUAAGAGCGACACUCAUAUAAUAUGAAAAACAAUAUGGAUUCAGGAAUAUUGUGCAAUAUGGUCAUGAAUGAGAUGCAAGAAUAAUUUGAAAGAAAAUUCAAACUAACUGCUCAUAUGGAAAGAAAGAAAGAAAAUUUGCUCGAAAAUGAUUGCAAAGAUGUACUUUAUUAAAAUAACGAUGUUUGGACAUGAGCCUAUUUCACAAAGGAAUUCUUAUCGCUUAUAGGCUAAAAGCAAUAAGGGUGUUCUGAACAUUACUCUGAGGAAGUCCUAAAAACUAUAGGUAUCUCUUCUGCAGUCCAAUUGUUUAGCACACUUCUUGAUUCAGAGGGGUGGAUAUCGAACAAAGUUCCUCCCUCAGUCGCUUUUUCACAAAUGGCAUGAAUACUUCCCAACUCCUCAUUAAUACUUCCCCCUCUUGGAACUUCUUAAUAAAUAAAUCCUCCCGAUACAAAAGUUUUGGAUAGGUGAGGAAAGGUCAUAGGUUCCCACUUAACUUCAUCUCCUGUCAAACGAGCCCUUCUUCUUUCUUGCUUCUUUUCUUGCUCCAUCUUCAUUUGUUCAAUAUCUAGCUUGUAACCUAAGCCAAAACGGUCAUGCUUGUCCUUCAACACUGGGGCUUCAACUCUACCCUGAAGAUGCCUCCCUAAUCCUUUUCUUGGCAAGGCUCCAUUUCCAACUGUCAAUUGUAGACCCAUCUUUGUGGUUUUUGAUAUCCUCGGCAUCGAAUCUUGCUUCCCUCGGUAAUAAAUAUGGCGUUCAUGAAAUCUAAAGACUGGAAAGAACAUUCAACUGCAUCAUCACUCGUCUCCACAUACGGUGUAUCAUGGGCUACAGCUGCAAUAAUAUCUUCUUCAGUGCUUAACAUCACUAGCCGACCCUCUGACACUAGCUUCAACUUUUGAUGUAAUGAUGACGGUACCACCCCUGCUGAAUGUAUCCAUGGCCUUCCUAAUAAGCAAUUAUAGGAAGGCUUGAUAUCCAUUACUAGGAAGUCCACCUCAUAAGUAAUUGGGCCGAUCAAAAAAGGUAUCUCGAUUCUCCCCAUGACUCUCCUUUGUGUGCCAUCAAAUGCCCUUACUAUAUUUUGGCAUACCUUCAUGUGUGAACUAUCUACAGGUAGCCUAUUAAGUGUAGAUAGGGGUAAUACAUUCAAUGCUAAUCCAUUAUCUAUCAGAACUCCUGACAAUGUGUACCCUUUGCAUCUGGUAGUAAUGUGCAAAGCUCUAGUAGACCCCAUACCCCCAAGUGGUAUUUCGUCAUCGUUGAGAAAGAUGAAGUUAUCAGUACUUAUAUUGCCGACCAGUCGAUCUAAUUUGUUGACAGAGAUAUCGUUGGCCACAUAUAUUUCAUUUAGUACUUUCAACAGUACAUUUCGAUACCCCUCUGAGCUCAACAGUAAAGCUAGCACAGAUAUGCAAGCUAGUUGUUUAUGUAAUUGUUCUACAACACUGUACUCGCUAUGCUUCAAAAAUUUUAGGAAUUCCCUAGCUUCCUCUUCUUUUAUUAGCUCAUUGACCAACAGUUCAGGUUCGGCUGCGUUUUCCUUCUUUUCGGUCAAAGCUUCUCAUUUUGCUGGCUCUAUUCGGGCAUUUACCAGACUGUAACACUUUCUACUACAAGUAUAGGAACCCAGCUCUCAAUUCUCUUUUAAAAUACUGGUUACAUCCUCCUUCCCUGAAAUUGUCACAUUGCAAUCAUAAUUCCAAGGAACUUUCUUGUUAUUCUUAUAAGCAAAAAUGGACGGUUUUUAAAUGAUGACCUUUGGUGUUAUCCUUACUCCAGCCUCACUAUUCUUAGGUCACGAAAUGAUGACCAUAGGGUAGUUAGCUUUUGGAACUUCAAAUGUUGACUCUUAUGCGCAUAUAUGUCCCUCCUACUUAAUUUCUUCACAGAAUUCUAUCUCUUUAUUAUCCAUCAUACAUUGAACCAUGGUUCUGAACUCCGCACACUCUUGGACUUCAUGCCCCAUUUCAUGAUGGAACUCACAGUAGUUCCCUCUCCUCUCGUAACUUCCUUCCGAAAUAACUAAUCCCCUUUUCACUAUCUCCUUCCAAACCCAACUCAAAGGAGUUUUUACGUCUGCAAUGUCUGCCUUAAUCCUUCUAUUUUCUCUCAUCAUAUUUACCCCACUAUUAGUAUGAUUUGGUAAUGGAUUUUCUACACUGGUCGAGCCAUCAAACUUGACAAUGCCUAUAUUGAUGAGCCUUUCGACCAACUUCUUAAAGGCAGUAUAGUUCUCUAUAGAAUGCCCUGUAAUUCCCACAUGAUAGUCGCAUUGUGCAUUCGUAUCGUACCAUUUAGGGUACGGGGGUUGUAAGGGUUUUAAAUAGUAAGGGGAAACAACGUGUGCAUCAAACAAACUUUGAUAUAGCUCCCUAUACGACAUCGGAAUUGGCAUGAAUUGGGGCCUCUCAGUGUUCUGUCUCGUACCAGCUUUCUAUUUUUAUGAACCUUGCUGGUUAGUAGCCACCUUUCCUGGCUGGUUCACUGUUACUGACUUCGAGUAACCCUUAUUAUGUAUACUCUCAUUUUUCACCUCGUUUUCUUUCUUCUUCGAAGCCGAUCUUCUGUUGCUCUCUCUUACAUCGAUCUUCCCACUCUUUAUGGCAUUUUCGAUCAUCUCACCAUUCAUGACUAUGUCAGGAAAGUUUUUUAUGGCACUCCCUAACAUAUGUGUAAUGAACGGUGCCUUCAGUUGUUAAUGAACAACAUGGUCACUUCUUUUUCUAAAAGCGGUGGCUGAACUUGGACUGUGACUUCCCUCCACCUUUGUGCAUACUGCCUAAAACUUUCGUUCAGCUUCUUUUCCAUAUUUUGAAGGGUGAUUCUAUCAGGAGCCAUGUCUGUUACAUAACUAUACUGUUUUAUGAAUGCUCGUGCCAAAUCUCUCCAUGAACCAAUCAUGGUACGGCUUAAUUGAUUGUACCAUUUAGAUGCUGCCCUUGUAAGGCUAUCUUGGAAACAAUGUAUCAAUAGCUGGUCAUUGUCAACAUAUUCAGCCAUUCACCUAUAGAAUACGGUGAUAUGAGCUUCUGGGCAACUUGUCCCAUCAUACUUUUCGAAUUCUGGCAUCUUAAACUUAUGAGGGAGUACCAAAUCUGGGACUAAACUCAACUCUUUAGCAUCAAUCCCACGAUAUUUUUUAGUAAUUUCCAUCGCUUUAAACUUCUUUUCAAGCCGUUUGUACCUUUCUUCUAACUAUUUUGGCAAUUCUUCCUUCAUUAUUUCUUUUUCAGCCACUUCAUCAAAGUCAGGAAUGACAGAGUUAGUAGGGUUGUUUCUAGGGUUAGAGCCCGAUCCAGCCUGGAAGUUUGAAUCACCAACUUGAAACUGCUGAGGCCUGAUUGUGACAGAAGAUUUGUGCGGGUAUGCUUCAGCUUGGGUUCGCACAUGUGGAGGAGUAAAUCCUGGAGGAUAGAGAGGUUCAUCAUUGUUACCCUCUUCGAUAUUAACCGUAGGGCUCUUUCCCUUAUCUUUUCCCUCAGCCAAUAGUCGCAUUAACUGAGUCAUCAUGCUCCCUUGGUAUUCUAUUAUUUUGUCCAUCAUAUUCUGGUGGAUCCUUUCGAACUGCUCUUGCACUUGCUGCUGAAGUUGAUCUUGCACUUCUUUUUGGAAUUGUUCGAGCUUUUCCAAUCUCUGAUAUAUGUUUUUAGUCUUCGCUUGAGUGUCGUAACGGUGUUUGGUUGGCUGGUUGGUUUUCAAGUUAACUGAGCAAUGAUUUUAAUUAAUUAGGAUCUUUUAAUAAUCUUUGAUGCAUAUGAUGCAAUGCAUGAAAUGGAUGCAAGAAAGACAUUAAUUCUGAUUCAAUCCCACUUAGAAAACUUUACUAGAGAAAAAGAAAUUUCUUUACAUAAGUUGGCUACAAAUAAGGCUUUGCCCUAAGACUUAGAACUCUAAUCUCCCUAAGUAACGAGGCUAACUCUUGCCUCCUAUCUGAUUCCAAUUCAUAUUUCACACUCAGUAUAUCGGCUUGUAUUGUCAAAGUCUGCAAGUGCUCAGCUACCUCUCGAAUCUAAACCACAGCUUCUCCCAUAAUGUGAUCACUUUUUGUAACCUGAUCUUGGAAAUAGUGAGGCUGUUCAUUUUAAUGAUCUUCAUUUGCUCCCAAAUACUCGAUCUUGGCUUCACAACUUUGUAAUGCCCUUUCUAAUUCUUCUACCAUUCCUUUCAUUUGCUCGAUCCUGCCUAAGCUUGCUUUCAGCUCCACCACAGAAUUGCAAUCUCGAUAUUGAUGAACAGUUUUCUCAAGUUCAGCCACUCUAGCUUUUAGUUCAUCCAUUUCAUUUUGGCUUUUUGACAAAGUCUUCUCAAGGGACCUAUUUUGCAUCUGGGCCUCCCAAAAUUUCUUUUCCCAUCUACCAGCCUUGAUCUUUUCUUCCUGAAUUUCCUGACUCCACUGCUUUGAAGUUUUCCCCAACCCAGCAGUUCUCACUGACAGACGUAGUUUCUUAUAAUCUAUCUUCAAGCUAUCUAGAUAUUCCUCAGCUUUGCAUUUUCCUUUUCUUAGUUCUUCGGUUUCCAACUUCUGAACAUCCAUGUCUAAUCUCAGAUUCAUCUUCUCUUCUUCCACUUGUUCUAUCUUCUUUUCGAGCUCUGAAUUUCUUCAUUCAAAAUUUUGCCAUAUAAUUUCUAGCUCAGAGAGGACAACUUGUACAUGCUUUCCUACUGGUUGAUUGUCUCCCUGACUUGGCACAGGUAUAUUAUCAUUAAUCCUCCUGCUCCUCCACUCGAUAUAUUCAGGAGUCGUCAGCGGACCUACUUCCAAUCUCUUCAUUCGUUGAGUCUGGCGCUAGGAAAUAGUCAUUUCUCGAAUCUUCUUCUUGUAACCAUCGCCUCUAUACGAGAAUUCACAUUGAGCUAAUCCUUGGGUUGCAGGUACGAACUGCCUUGACCUAUACUGUCUUAGUACCAGUAACGGUGCAUAGCCAAUGGCUCCCCAAAUCCCAAGUAAAGGGACCCAGUCGAAAUCUCCACACCUAUACAAGAUCUCAUCUGGCAGCAUCUAAGGAGCUCUCCAUUCGAUAUCUUCCUCCUGAAGAUUUUGAAGAAUUGUCAUCCAUUUUUCCUCUGAAAUAUCAUUUUGCCUUGCUAUGGCCACUACUUCUUUCAAGGGCGAAUAAUUCUCAGAAAAAACCCGAUAGGAAACCUUAUCAACUUUCCAAAAGUGACUGUGAAACCAUGCUAAGAGGAGCUGCGCACAUCCAAUGAAUCUAUCCUCACCCUCUCUUCGGCAUUCAUUCAGUGAUCUAAAAGUUUCUGCUAAAAUUGUCGGGAUUGGUGUAACCCUCUUAUCAAGUCAGCCGAAAAGAUCAGUAACUGAUUCAUCAACAUGUCCCAAGGCUUUGGGAAAGACAACUAAGCCGUAGAUACUCAAGGCAAAGAUAUCAACUUUCUUCUUCGUAUCUGGGUGUACUAGAAUUAGAUCUUUCAAGUUCUUCCAAAGAAUGCAUUUGCUAUCCCCCUUCUGCUUAAUUCGUGCUGCAACCUAUUGUUCGCUCAUCCCAGUAAUACUAACCAAUCUCUUCAAAAGGGUUAGAACAUUGGCAGCUCUCGAGUAAGCUUUAUCUACUUAAAUUUUCGAGCAAUGAAGUAAGGCCAUAUAUUCCUCCACUGUAGGCACUAAGUCAACUCAUCCAAAGGUGAAACAACUAUAAGCGGGAUUCCAAAACUGGCGAGGGCACGAAAUCUUCAUAGUUAGAAUAAAAGAGCUGCUUGACCUCAUCAUUCCACUGGUCCCAGAUUUCCUUCAAUUCUUGUAGACUAUUCUGAGUUACACUAAUAUGAGUAAAGUCCCAUAACUGACAUAUAUCCUUCGGCCAAGCUAUCACCCUUCUCUUACUGUGUUGCCUCAGACCAGGUUUGGAUAGCUGCAUUAUUCUCCACCUUAUGAAGAAAUCCCUUUCCAUGAUAAGCUUUCUAUCUAGUAACUGAAUAUGAACUAAUGCCUUUAGGAUGAAAUGCCAUGCAGUUAUAAUGCCAUGUAAUCUAAGCAAAAUCAACCCAAGUUAGUAUCACGCAUAAAGAAAUAAUUCAAUACGAACAUGAAAUAAUAAAAGCACAUAUUUAGGAGUCCACUAGGGUUUGGUAUAGUUCUACCUAAAGCAAGUUCCUAAAGCUCACUAUAUGAGGUUUAGUUUCUAGAGCAAAAGUACCCGAACUAAGAGAUUCCUCGAUCCUCACCCAUUAUAGGCUCAUAUGGAUCGAGUUCAAUUCAGGGGAAUACAUUUCCCUAUGGCUGCACAGAGAUGAAAAUCUCACGAAGACAUAGGUACGGAUGUAUCCCGAAAAUGGUCCACUACCCUGCACGGAGGUGAAAACCUCACGAAGGAUUAGCUUCUCGCUCCCACUUAAAGGGGGGAAAAUUGACCAACUUAUGAAAUGCAAAAUGCAAAUAAACUAAUAGAUUAGCCAAGCAUAUGAUGAUGAAGACAGAUGAAUGCAAAAGGGGAAAUCAUGAAUUUUAAAACGAAAUUAAAGUUUUUGACCAAAAGACAAAAAUUAAUCAAUUUACGGCUCCAAAAGACAAAAAUUAAUCAAUUUAUGGCUCGGCUCUCUAACAAUCCCCAGCGGAGUCGCCAAGCUGUCGAAACCAUUUUUUUGAAAAACAAAAAUUUAGUUGUCGACUUUAAAACCAAAAAUUGGAGUCACCACCGAUUCUUUAUUAAGGUGUGAUCGGCUCACCUUAAAAAUGAUUUUGGUCUACGAAAUUUGAGAAAACAGGUUCGGGAGUCAGUUACGCACGAGGAAGGGUUAGCACCCUCGUAACGCCCAAAAAUCGAUACCAAAUUGAUUAUUUAAUGUCUUAGUAACGAGGGUUAAAAAGAUUUUUUUUAAAAAACUCAAAUGAUGAAAUCUAAAAAGGAUAAUCAAUUACUUAAGUCAGACGAAGAAAUCGAUACCCAAUACGUUAGGGUACAAUUUCUCAAAAUCCCCAAGCUUUGAAUAUCGCUUUUAUUUUAUAAGAAAAUCUUCAUUUCGAGAAAGUAAUAUGUCAUGCCCAAUACAUUAGGACACAACAAAUUGAAUUCCCGAAAAUGAUUUUUAUACUUAUGCAUUUUGAAUAAAGAGCAUUUUCGAUUAUUUAGGAUUAACAAAGAAAAUCAAAACCCAAUACGUUAGGGCUCAAUUUCCUCGAAAAUCUCAAAUAUCGAAUAUUACAUUAUUUUAAAAGCCUUUGAAUAAAAAAAGGAUUUUAAUAUUUCGAAGAACCCAAAAUAUAUUUUUCUAAAAAGGUAUGCUAAAAAGUUAAUGUACAAUAUGAAACAAAUAAUUUAAUUUUAAUUAUACAUGUAUAUGUAUUUACAAAAUGUGUAUAUAUGUGAGUAUGAUACAUAGAUAAAUUUUGAAAAUAUGUAUAUGCAUAUAUUAAAACAUAUAUAUAUAAGUAUGCAUAUAAAAGGGGGGGAAUGAAAUAUAUAAAACAACAAAAAUAAUUUCUAAGAAAAUAUGUAUGUAUGUACAUGUAUGUGAAAAUUAUGAAAAUAAGAUAAGAAAUAUAAAAGUACGUAUAUGUGUAUAUAUUUACGAAGUAAAAAAAUGUAUAAGUAUAUAUAAAUAUAUUGGUAAAUCAUGAAAAUAUGUAUACGUAUAUAUUUAAAUACUUAUGUAUGUACAACAUGUAUAUAAAAUAAUGAAACAUAUAAAAUAAUAAAGAAAAUAUUUAUAAUUAUUUAAAAAUAUAAAAAAGUGUACGUAUAUAUUAUAGAAAAUGCAUGUAUAUUUUGAAUCAUAAGAUAUGGGAAAUAAAUAUGUUACAAAAUGUAUAUGUAUACAAAAUAUAAAUGUAUAUGCAUAUACAUGUAUAUAAAAAUUAUGAAGAUAAAAUAAUAAUAAAAAUAUAAAUAAAAUAUGUACAUGUAUAUCUUCUACAAAAGUUUAAAACAUAUAUGCACAUAUAUAUUAUAAAAAUGUAUGAACGUACGUGGAAAUAAUAAUUAUAAUACUAAUAAUAAUAGUAAAUAAUAAUAAUAAUAAUAAAUUUUCUUUAAAAAAAACCAAUUGCCAAAAAGGACUGAAUAGUCAAUAAAACUAAAACAAUAGGAAAUAAAUGAAAUUUUAGCAAAAUGGUGAGUCAAAUUGUGACAUGCGGAUUACACGGGGGGAAAAAUCAGAAAUAAUCCACCUCCCCAAAACGCUGCGCAGCGACGGGGACCAAUUUGCAAUAAAAUAAAAUGUGUAGCAAAAUUUAAAAGAAAUCAGAAAUUUAAUUUAAGUGCGCUGCAAAAAUAACGGGAUCAAUUGCACAAAUUUCCCCUCCCAGACUAAAACCCGUGGAUCUAGCGCUAUUCGGGUCGGGUCAUUGGGUUCUGGCCUAUACGGCGUCGUUUUGAGGCCACUGAAGCAGGCCUCAAACGGCGUCGUUUCAUGGUCAAUAAUAAAACAAAUUUUUUUUUCUAAAAACUUCAUUUUUUCCUUUUGAUUCAAAACAGCAGAGUAACCCUCUGCUAGGGUUUUAUUCUUUUCUCUGCCAUCACCGUUCAAGCCUCCCCACGGUCUUCGUUGAUGCCCCAAUCUCCAAUCACGACGGAGAGGGCACCAACUCGGCGAUUCCGGCGAAAAGGUAAGUUUUCCCUCUCCCUUUUUAUAUUUUAAGUUAAAAAUUAAAAGAAUAAAAAUAAAACUAAAUGAAUAAAUAAAUAAAACAAACACCCACAAAAUAAACUAAAAAAAUAAAAAAAAUAAUCACCUCCGUUAUUCAAAUAUUUUUGAAUCUGUUUUUCCUCUUUUUCUUUGUAUUUUCAGUAUUUUCUCCUAUUUUUGUAUAUCCCCUUUUUACAAAAAGAAACAGCCUUUUUAUAGCCCGAAAAACAACCUAUUUUCACUAUUUUUUCUCUUUUGGACUCUUUUAGUCCACUUUGCAGGUGAACGUGGGGAUACAACGCAAGGCGUGGCGCGCGUGGAGGAGGCCGGCUCUGAGACGUGCAGCGACUGGGGUCUGCUGGAGGCCAUAUGCUGUUAGGGUUUCCCGUUCCUUUCUUUGCUAUUGGUUUUGGGCUUGGGUUAGUUGGGUUUUAGGUUUAGGUUUAUUGGCCUGAUGUAAUUUGGGCCGUUUAGAUAAAUGUAAAUGGACUCUAUAAUUGUUUGGACUUUAUUUAUUCUUUUAUUUGGUUUAUGCAUAUGGGCCCGGGCAAAUUGGGCCUAUUACAAAACUCAUUUAAAUCUCUAAAACCAUAAUUAAAAUUAUUAAAAUGGAUACAAAUUUAAAAAUUAUAAAAACUUAUAAAUAUUACAAAAAUAUAAAAAAUCAUAAAAUCAUAAAAUUUUUAUAAAAUUAAUAAAAAAUAUUUACAAUUUUAUGAAAAUCAUAAAAUAUUAAAAAUAUAAAUUAGUAAAAAAUAUAAAAACUUAUAAAUAUUAUAAAAAUAUAAUAAUUAAAAUUUUAUAAAAACAUAUAAAAAUUCAUAAAAAAAAUUAUAAAUAAUAUAAAAUUUCUAAUAAAUUAUAAAAAAAAUAAAAAUUAUAAAAACUCAUUUAAAUCUCUAAAACCAUAAUUACACAUUACACCACAGCAAACCAACUGUUGGACAAUAGGAAUAAUCAUAAGAUCAUUGGAGUUAUUUUCAUGUUGAAUAAAAUGUUCUUAUAAUAUUCUAUAAAUAAAAUGAUAAUUGUUGGACCCUCUCCUUUUCAUUGAUAAAUUAAUUAUUAUUUUUAAAAUUUUUAUCUCCAAUAUUUGUUCAGUGCAAUACAAUAGCUUGAACAUUAAAAAGUUAAAAAAAUUAUUUGUUAAAUAUCAUAUGAUAAAAAGUAUUUUUGGUACAAUUAGAUACUAUCAAAUCAAUAUUUCAUUAUCCAACUAUUAACAUAUGUUGGUAUGCAAUAUUAUGAACAAAAGUUUUUAGAACUGAACCAAUGAUCGAACCGGUCAAGCCACUAGUUCAUCAGUUCGACCAGUUUAAUUAAAGAAAACAUUAAAAAACAAAUAAUUAAAUAAACUAAAAAAAUUAGUUCAACUGCCCAAUUCUUUGGUCAACUAGUUUAACAGCUUUCUUCGAACCAAUAUCUUUGCCAAUUUUGAUCUAACCAAUCUGAUCAACCAAUCUGGUCCAAUUUAAUUUUUUAACGAUUUUUUUUAUAAUUUUAUAUGUUUAUAUUAAUUUUAAUAUUUUUGAAUAUGUUUAUGAUUUUUUUAUAAGUUUAUAAGAAAUUUUUAUGUUUUUAUAAAAUUUUAAAUAUUUUAAAUAUGUUUUAGUUAUUUUAUAUUUUUUAUAAUUUAUUAGAGUUUAUUAAGUUCUUAUUUUAUAAUAUUUAUAAUUUUUUAUCUUAUAUAAAUUUAUUUAUAUUUAUAUUUAAUAAUUUUUAUAAUUUGUAUAGUCUUUUCUGAUUAUUUUUUUAAAUAUUUUGUAUGAGAAAAUAUUAAAUUAAACAAAAAGUUAUCACGUAUCACCAUCUAAUUGGCAUACCAAUUUAUUUUAACGAUCAACAUGGUCAAUCAUGAGUUCCGUUAACGGUGGUGAUUAAUUAAUUAUUUUUAAUUAAUGGUAAAAACUCAAUUGGGUGCGAAUUUAAUAGAAGGAUUAAUUAAUUUGUUUACAUUUUGUUAAGGGUUUUUUACUUAUAAACUUUUAUUUGAUUAUAAUUAAAAUUAAUUAAAUUUUUUAUUUUCUCAAUUUCUUCAUGUAUAUCAAUAAAACAAAAAUUUUCUAAAAUUGAUUUUAAAAUUAUAUUUUUUUUCCAAAUUUAUUAACUUUCAGUCAUCAAAUAUUAUCCCAUAAACAAUCACUUUAUACCUCGAAUGUUUAAAUAUUACAUAAAAUUGCUGAGCAAAUAAAAAAGUAGUAGUUUCAUGAUUAGUUAUUAAUCUAUAAUUUUCAACUUCACUAUGAGAUGAACUUUUCCCUUAUAAAUUCCAAAUUAAAGUAUAUGAAAACAUAGUCUUUAUUCCCACUUCCAUUUUGGGAACCUCUCAACAUACAUGGAAAAAUAAGAGUGUGAAUGGUAUUAAGAGAGAAGCCAUCUUUGUUGUCUUAUAUACAAAACAAGCCAUGGUUUUGAUUCUCUUUUGAUGUUGAUUGUAAUAAAAUUAAAAAACAUUGAAUCUUUUAAGUCAUUAUGUUACUCCGAAGCUUCCACAUAAUGUGGAAUAAAAUGCAACUGGUUUUAUACUUUUCCACGCUGUCGAAACCAUUAUUCUUCACGGCAUGAGGGUACGUUAUUAGAGAGUAUCCGUCCUUAUGUCUCCUUUCCCCAGCAAACACGCCUUUCAUUCUACUACUAUUUUUUAUUAUUUAUAUUUUAGUAAAAGUAUUAUAGAGACUCUUUAGAAGGCGGCAAGUUGUAUUUUGACUCCUCUAUUAUUAUAUAUUAGAUUAAUUUUAUAUGUUUAUAUGUUUAACUCUCAGUCAUCAAAUAUUAUCCCAUAAACAAUCACUUUAUACCUCGAAUGUUUAAAUAUUACAUAAAAUUGCUGAGGGAAUAAAAAAGUAGGAGUUUCAUGAUUAGUUAUUAAUAUAUAAUUUUCAACUUCACUAUGAGAUGAACUUUUUCCUUAUAAAUUCCAAAUUAAAGUAUAUGAAAACAUAGUCUUUAUUCCCACUCCCAUUUUGGGAACCUCUCAACAUACAUGGAAAAAUAAGAGUGUGAAAGGUAUUAAGAGAGAAGCCAUCUUUGUUGUCUUAUAUACAAAACAAGCCAUGGUUUUGAUUCUCUUUUGAUGUUGAUUGUAAUAAAAUUUAAAAACAUUGAAUCUUUUAAGUCAUUAUGUUACUCCGAAGCUUCCACAUAAUGUGGAAUAAAACUUUUCCACGCCAUUAUGAAUCCACCAUUCUUCACGGCAUGAGGGUUAUUAGACAGUACCCAUCCUUACGUCUCCUUUCCCCAACAAACACGCCUUUCAUUCUACUACCAAUUUUUAUUACUUAUAUUUUGGUAGACUCUUUAUAAGGAGGAAAGUUGUAUUUUGACUCCUCUAUUCUUAUAUAUUAGAUUAAAUAGUAAAUUGAUCUUUUCUGUUUAAAAUUUCAUUCAUUUGCACUGUUAAAAGUUGGUGUGGUUGAUGAAAUAACUAAAUAAUGGCAUGUGACGUGCCAUGUGUAUAUCAUGUUGAUGUACAUGGACCAAUUUUUAAUAGCAAAAAUAGAUGAAAUUUUCAACAAAUACUCUAAUUUGCUCUUUGAUUUAAUUUAUAGGGAUUAAUUUGUCCAUUAUUUAAAUAAAGAAACUCCUAGUAUAAAAACCUCUAUGAUACUUUUACCAUCAUUUUUUAAUGGAAUAUAUGAAUAAUUAUUAAAUUCUAUUUAUUUUUAUUUUAAGAAAUAGUAAUUCUCUUCAUCACAAAAGUUUAGUGGAGGAGAGAUAUAUCAAGACCACUAAAUUAGUAGUAUCAAAUAAUCACCAAAGAUGCACCUAAUCAACCACUAAAAAGAAACAGCUAAGAAAUACUCAAAAUUAAAAUUACUAAACACUACCAAUCGUUUAAGAUAAAACAAAGUGAACAAUCGUCACCGCCACCAUUAUUGGAGAACUGCAAAUAGCAUUUAUUUAUAGACAUAUUUUCGCCAAUAACACCUAGUAGAUCUUAUUUGCCAAAAAAUCAUUGCGGAAGUAGGUUACAAAAACCAACGGAAACAGAAAAACCAAAAGAAGAUGUCACAAUGAAAAUGGGUAGAACUAAUGAAUAGUAAUUUAUAAAUUUACACAUGUGAUGUCACGUAAUUCAUUGCACGCCACUUUUUAUAUGCAAUUAUACAAGAAUGUAUAUAAUUAUCAUCUUUUAUUAGUGAUAUAUAAUUAUAUAAAAAUGUAUAUUACAAUUAUUCAUAAUUGAUCAUCAGAGGUGGUGUGUGGUGUGUGAGACAGUGCAGUUGUCAGUAACAGUGGCGUUUCUUGAACCUUCAAUUUUAUGGACAAAUUAAGGUCAGAGCCAUCACUAGGACAGAAACAGAAUAGAAACUUAGAGAUCUUGUACAAAACUGGAUUCCAACAUAAGUGGAUGAACAUCUGAUUCUGAUGUAGAUGUCAUGCUGCAAUUCGGAUAAUGUUCUGUUGAGAAUGAAGUGAAAUCCCAACUCUCAGCCGAUUUUCUUACAACGACCUCAACUUGUUUAAGCUGAUCAUCAAUGGGGAUGCAGUCACCUUGUCGAGUUCUAAGUCUCUCGAGUUCCAUGGCCACUUCUUUCAUUGUUGGUCUAUAUCUCCCAUCUAAGUUCAAGCAUCUUUUCGCAAGUUGAGCAACUGCUACUACUUCAUCCUUUUGACCAUCCUUCCAAAUUUGAGCAUCAACAAUAUCCAGCAGAUGGUUUUCUUCCAUCGACAACAUAAAAUACGAGACUAAGCCUCUCCUUUCUUGCAAUCCAAACGUUGAGAUUGCCAUUUUUCCCGUUAAGAGCUCAACAAUAACCACUCCAAAACUAUAAACAUCACUCUUUUCAGUAAAUUGACUUGACUGGAAAUAUUCGGGAUCUAAGUACCCAAAAGUCCCAAGCACUUGAGUCGUCAAGUGAGUUUGAUCAAUACUGAUUGAUCUAGAUGUUCCGAAGUCUGAUACUUUCGCUCGAAACUUUUCAUCUAGUAGUAUGUUACUAGACUUGAUAUCUCGGUGAUAAAUGGGGAUGGAUGCAGAUGAGUGUAAGUAAGAAAUCGCACUUGCAAUUUCCGUUGCAAUGCGUAAUCGUAUAUCCCACGAUCUCGGGUACUCUUCAUUUUGGUCAUGAAUGAGAUGGGAAAGGGUUCCAUUAGGGAUGAACUCAUAAACAAGGAGGGGCACUUCGGUCUCCAAGCAACAGCCUAAUAGCUUGACAAUGUUUCUGUGAUCAAUUUGAGAAAGAAUAAAGAUCUCAUUGAUAAAUUGUUCAAGAUACCCUUCGUUUAUAGUCUUGGACUUCUUUACUGCAACAAUUCUCCCAUCAGACAACAUUCCUUUGUAAACCAUGCCUUGGCCACCACAACCCAAGAUUCUAUUCCCAUUAAAUUGAUCAGUAGCUAUUUCCAAUUCUUUGGAACUGAAGAGUUUAGCUUUAUCCAGACCACCUUGAUUUGAAGACAUCUUUUUUUGAAACAAUAACCCACCAUUUCUUUCAAAGAGCUUUUGUUUGAGUUUAAUAUACUUUCUUCUCUGCAGUCUCUUAUAAAACCACCAUAACCCAGCAACUAGAAACAGCAACCCUAUACUUAAGCCAAUACCUACAUGAAAUCCAAACAAAUUGUAACUUAAAUGUUAGCUCUUAAAAUUGUUAAUCUUACCAUUUAAGCUACGAUUUUGAAAUAAAAUUUAGCUGGACAUAUCUCUUGCUAUCUGAUAAAAUUUGGAUUUAAAUUUUAAUUAUUAUGUAAAUGGUAAGAAUGAAAUGCUUAUUAUAUAGAAUAAUUAGUUGAGAUGUAAUCUAAUUUAUAUUAGAAAAAUAAAAGAAUAUAUAAUUUAUUGUAUUGAUAAAAUAAAUUGAUUUUUGUUUUAAGAUUUAAACUUUUAUUUUUUUAAGUUAUAACCGAUCUAAUACAAUCAAUCAUUUUAAGCAUGAAACUGAAUAAUUAAUUUAAAUCUGAGUAAUUAAUUUGUUAAUUGAGUCCUUUGUAACAACUUUUGAGGUCAAAGUCUAUCAAACCUCCCUACACUACCUUAUAAAAUUUAUUUUAGUCCCUCUAUUAAAAGUUACUCCAUACCAAUCUUUACUCAAAUAAUGACUCCAUUAUAAUUUCUCAUUAAAUUACCGACAAAACCUAACCAUCUCAAAAAAAAAAUUCAUGUAGUAAAAUAACUCACGCUAAAUAUAGUAUAAUAAAUUUGACUCUGGAUUGAAAAGAAAAAGGCUCUUGUCUAAAAUAUAAAGAAAGUAAUUGGCAUGUACAAACCUAGUGUAACGACAAGAAUGGGAAAACUCUCACGGUCCUGCGGCUUGAAUAUAGGACGGCAACCUGUUCCAUUUUUCCGGCCAUCACCCUCGAACCAUUCAGGGCAUGAACAAUUGUAGCUUCCAGGUGUAUUAUGACAUGUGGCAAAUUCAUAGCAAGGCUUCUGUGUCUCACAUUCAUCAAUAUCUACAAUUUUCAAACAUUUUAAACUAAAAUAAUAUAUGUAUAUAAUUUGGCACAAAGUUGAAGUACGGAUAGAUAAUUUUAUCGAAAUGAAUCUACAAUGGAGAAGAAGUUGAAACCUUUACCUCGGCAGCCGUAUGAGAGGUAAGGAUUACCCUGAAAACCAGGAUUACACUUGCACAAAUAUCCAGGCCCAUUUUCUGGAUCUAUACAAUCACUAUUUUGCUUGCAAGCAUAAUUUUUUGGAUCCAUUUUAGCUUGUUCACAGGUUUGAUUCCCGAUUGUCCAAUCAAGAAUAACCGGAUAAUUAUUUUUGCCGAAAUUUUUGUCCCAAAGAUCUGAUGCGUGGAACUUAUAGGCUCCAUCUUCAACAAGAAAUCCAUAGCUGCAAGGAUUGAAGCUCAACACGUGGGAGUGAUUCCGAGGGCUACUGAAAUUGAAGUGAAACACCUUCAAUCCUUGAGGAAUAGCCGUCUGGCAGCAUCCAAUGCCGGAGCAAGACCCAUUUAUCACAUCGCCCGCGUCACCACAAAAUGUUAAACAUCCGGUUGAAAAGUUUUUUUUUGAAAUUCUGUGUGAAGAGUCAGGUUCGAAGAAAGCCUCGAUGUAGGCGAUAGUGUCACAACCGAUGGCCGUGAACUUGUUUCUGGUAUGAGAUAUGGUAAAUUUCGAAAACAAGAACAAAAGUUCGGGAUAUAAACUACGCCCUGAUGAAUUAUAACAGUCAUGACCCAUUAAGUAAUUAUAACUAAAGCGCAAAGAGCCAUCCAGAGAGAUGUCAAGAACUUCUAUAUCACUGUGGCCUAAGAAUGCUUUUGGGGGAUUUAAAGUGGUAUUACAGCGAAUGAAAAAGUGGCUGCUAAUGUUGCAACCAUUGGCUGUACCAAAUGGGUAUGGGAUGCUUAUGUUUCCGCAGUUGCUUUGACAUCCAGGUUUUGCUUGGGCUGCUACUGAAGUUGCCAUAAUUGUUACCAACACUGCAAACACAGCAAGCUCCCUAAACAUACAACCAAACCCCAUCACCGCUCCUGGCUUUCCCCCCCACUCUCUCGGCAUAUGUAAAUCUAGAAUAAAUAGGGAUAAUGUUUCAUGGGUGGUGAGAGUAUUAAGUCUCGCCAUCAAUCAAUAAUUAUUAUUAUUUUAAUAAAUUAUAUUAAAUAUUGAUAAAUUUAUUUUAAUUUUAUAUGUUAAAAAAACCUUUUAAAACAUGUAGAAAAAAAAUAUUAUAUUAAAUUCACAUUCAAUUGAAUCUUUGUCGUUAAUUAAAAUAAAAAGUUAAACCUCUCCAUUAACAAAAUUUAUAGUUGAUCACGUUGAUCGUUAAAAUAAAUUAACGAAUCAAUCAAAGGGUAACACACGACAACUUUCAGUCUAAUCUAAUAAUUUUUAUAAACAAUAUUGAUUAAAAAUCAUAAAAUAUAAAAAAAUCAAAUAUUUAAAAUUAUUAAAAUUGACACAAAUUUAAAAAUUAUAAAAUCUUAUAAAUAGUAUAAAAAUUCUAAUAAAUUAUAAAAAAAAUUAUAAAAAGUGAUUUAAACCUCUAAAACCAUAAUAUACACAUUACAUCACACUAACAGUUGGAUAAUAGGAAUAGUUAUUAGAUUGUUGGGGUCAUUUUCAUAUUAAAUAAAAUGUUCUCAAUAUUUCACAAAUAAAAUGAUAAUUGUUAGAUCCUCUCCUUUUUAUUGAUAAAUUAAUGUUUUUAUUUUUAAAAUUUAUCUCCAAUAAUUUUUAAAUACAAUACAAUAGUUUGAACAUUGAAAAGUUGAAAUUUAUUUGCUAAGGAUUGUAUGAUCAAAAGUAUUUUUGGUAUAGUUAGAUACUAUCAAACCAAAAUUUCAUUAUUCAACUAUUAUUAUAUGUUGGUAUGACAUAUGAUAACCAAAAUUUUCAAAACCAAACCAGUGGUCGAAUCGAUCAAGCCACCAGUUCAUCAGUUUGACUAAUUUAAUUAAAGAAAACAUUAAAAUAUCAAAUAACUAAACAAACUAAAAAAAUUAGUUCAACUGCCCAAUUCCUUGGUCAACCGGUCUAAUAGCUUUGUCUGAACUGAUAUCCUUGCCGAUUUUAGUCUAACCAAUCUGAUUGUCUGAUCUGGUUCAGUUAAUUUUUUUAAUGAUUUUUUUUAUAAUCUUAUAUCAAUUUUAAUAUUUUUGAAUAAUUUUUAUAAGUUUGUACGUUUGUAUAAAAUUUUAAAUAUUUCAAAAUAUGUUUUAGUUAUUUUAUAUUUUUUUAUAAUUUAUUAGAAUUCAUACAAAUAUUAUUUUAUAAUAUUUAUAAGUUUUACAAUUUUUUAUCUUAUAUAAGUUUAUGUAAAUUUUAAUAUAUAUUUUUUUAUAAUUUGUAUAGCAUUUUCUGAUUAUUUUAUAAUUUUUAACAAUUUUUUUGAGUUUUUAUUAUUUAUAUUUUUAAAUAUUUUGUGUGAAAAAAUAUUAAAUUAAAUCAGAAGUUGUCAUGUUGCACUAUCUUACUGACAUGCCAAUUUAUUUUAACAAUCAACAUGAUCAACUAAGGGUUCCGUUAACGAUGGGGCUUAAAUUCAAUUGGAUGCAAUUUUAAUACAAGAAUUAAUUAUUUUUCUACACUUCCUUAAGGUUUUCUUGACACAAACUUUUAUUUGAUUAUAAUUAAAAUUAAUUUUUUUUAGUUUUAAGUUGUUUAGAUUUUUCUUAAGAGAAGUAUUGUAUAUGAAAACCUACAUUGAAACUUUCAAAUAUUUAUUCUCACUUCCAUUUUGGCAACCUCUCAACAUGGAAAAAUAUGAGUUUGAAUGGUAUUAAGAAAGAAGCCAUGAUUUUGAUUGUUGAAAUUAAUAACUAAGUUACUCUGAACCUUCCAGGUUAUGUGGAAUAAAAUGCAACUCGCUUUAUACUUUUCCUGGAGAUUCUUUUGAAACACCGAAUGUUUAUUGAGUAAUGUUUGAAAGAAAUAAUAUUUCUAUGGUCAUAUUAACAGUUUAGUGAAAGAGAGUACUAGAAAAUUAUUAAAAAUGCAACACCCUGAUGAAUCAUUAUACCACUACCCAAAACUAAAACUACUAAUACUACCGGCCAUUUCGGAUAAAACACCACUGCUGCUAUUGGAGAAAGAAAACAGACUUUAUUUAUACAUACACUACACCAAAUUUGGUUUUUAGCGGCGGGUUGUAGCGGCGUUAUACAAAAAACGCCGGUAAAAAUCGAGCAUUAGCGGCGCUUAAAGAAAAUCGCCGCUAAAGACAGAGCAUUAGUGGCGUUUUAUAAAAAAGGCCGCCAAAAAUAAGCAUUAGCGACAUUUCCAGGAAAAACGCCGCAAAAAAAUAAAAUACAACGGCAUCGUUUAGUGGCCUUCGGUGGCCUUAGUGGCGUUUUUGGUCUAGCGCCGCUAAUGGUCUGUGUUUUUAGCAAAAUACAAUGGCGUCGUUUAGGGGCCCUCGGUGGCCUUAGUGGCGUUUUUUGUCUAGCGCCGCUAAUGGUCUGUGUUUUUAGCAAAAUACAACGGCAUCGUUUAGUGGCCUUCAGUGGCCUUAGUGGCGUUUUUUGUCAAGCGGCGCUAAUGGUCUGUGUUUUUAGCGGUGUUUUCAAAAAAAAUGCCGCAAAAAAUAAAAUACAACAGCGUCGUUUAGUGGCCUUCAGUGGCCUUAGUGGCGUUUUUGGUCUAGCGCCGCUAAUGGUCUGUGUUUUUAGCAAAAUACAACGGCGUCGUUUAGUGGCCUUCGGUGGCCUUAGUGGCGUUUUUUGUCUUGCGCCGCUAAUGGACUGUGUUUUUAGCGGCGUUUUCAGGAUAAACGCCGCAAAAAAUAAAUUACAACGGCGCCGUUUAGUGGCCUUCAGUGGCCCUAGUGGCGUUUUUGGUAUAGCACCGCUAAUGGUCUUUUUUUAGCGGCGUUUUCUGGAAAAACGCCGCAAAAAAUAAAAUACAACGGCUUCGUUUAGUGGCCUUCGAUGGCCUUUUACCUUCAUUGGGUUAUUAUUUAUAAUAAUUAUUUAAAAUUGAACUUAUUUCUAAUUGAUUAUUUAAAGUUCUUCCAAAAAAAUAACACGUACAAAUAAUUUGAAAUAAAACACUUGGAAAAAUGAAAAGACUAUUAUUUAAAAUAAUUUUAAAAUUAUUUGGGUACAUGAUUAGUAAGUGUUUUUUAAUUUAUAUUUAAAAAAUUUAUUAUAUAAUCGUAAAAGAGAUAUUCUUAAUUUUAAAAUGUUGAAUUAAUUAUCACUAUAGUUUAGGGUUUUCAGUUUAGGGUAUAUGAGUUAGGGGUUAUAUAUGAGUUAGGGAUUUAGGGCCGGGUUUACGAAUUCAGGGGUCGGGUUAGGGUAGUUUUGGGUUUAGAUUAUUAAUUUUUAUUUAUAUUUUAAAUAUGUUAUUAUGUAGUUGUAAAAGAUAAUAAUAAAAUUGUUUACAGUUUUUAAUUACUUUAUGAUAUAUGAGAAAUUUAAGAAUUAAGGCCGGUUUAGGAGUUCAUAUAAUUUUAAAGUUUAGGGAGUACUAUAUAUAUAUGGAUUUAUAUAUGGAUUAUAGAUUAGGGUUUUUGCUUAAUUAAGGGUUGGCCGGGAUUUAAGGUUUAGGGGUUAGGGGUUAGAUGUUAGUGGUUAAGACUUAGGGAUUUUGUGUUUAGGGUUUCAGGGGUCAGGUUACGAUUUUGGUUUAGAUUAAUUUUUUUAUUUAUAUUUUAAAUAUGUUCUUAUGUAAUUGUAAAAGAUGUAUAAAUUAGGGUUUAAUUAAUUAUGCCUUGAGAGAUAUAUAUAUAAUAGAUAGAGAACGGAAAAUCUUCAGAAGGUACAGGAUCGAGCCGCUUUGACUUUAUGCAACAUGGAGAAAAUCUUCCCACCUUCCUUCUUCACCAUUAUGGUUCACUUGAUAAUCCAUCUCCCGCACGAAGCAAUUCUUGGUGGACCUGUUUUCUAUCGAUGGAUGUAUCCCAUAGAAAGGUGUUAAUUAAAAUUUUUAAAAUUUUCCUUCAUUCACCUCUAUGCCCUUUAGUUACAACUUUUGAUAAUGUUGUAUAACGUGUUUAGGUUCCUAUCCAAAUUAAAGUCUUACUGCCGCAACAAGCGAUAUCCAGAAGGAUCGAUUGCUGAAGGCUACUUGGCAGAAGAAUGUAUGACCUUCUGUUCAAGAUAUUUGGAAGAUGUUGAAACAAGGUUGAACAGACCAAAUAGGAAUGCUGGACUCACGGACCAUAAUUUAGCCGAUACUUAUUUGUUCCAAAGUUUUGGAGAACCAAUCGGCAAAGUUGAAAUUACAGAAUUAGAUCAUUUAUCGUGGGUACAAGCACAUCGAUAUGUUCUGUUUCACCACGAAUCAAUGGAACCUUUACGGAAGUAAGUUCUACAAAUUUGAUAAAUAUUUAUCAAACUAAAAAUUGUUUAUCUUCUAACAAAGUGAACAUUUUUUUAACAUAGUAAGUACAAACAAAUAUUGAGAUCUCGUUCGCGCUCCCGAAGAACACAACAUCGAGAUAUCAAUAAGUUGUUUACAGAAUCUUUUUAUGAAUGGUUAAGCCAAACGGUAUGCAGUUGGAGCUUCCGCUUACAAAUAAUAAUGUUUUCUUAUAACAUUUUUAAUUACUCAGUUUACUUUCCAUUCAAUAGGUUUGGAGUGGGAAGAACGUAAACGACGAAGUUAAAUGGCUCUCCCAAGGUCCAAAUCGAGUGGUUAAAAGAUAUAGUGCGUUCAUCAUCAACGGAUUUAGAUUUCAUACAAAAUAUCGCGAGAGGUUGAGGAGAACGCAAAAUUAUGGAAUAGUUGUUAAUUCUGCAAUUACAAGUUAUGCUAGUACUAGGGACAAUAAUCCUGUCGAGGGAAAUGUGGAAUAUUUCAGACAUCUUACUGACAUAAUUGAGUUGGAUUACUACGGCAAAUGGAAAGUUGUCAUAUUUCGAGGUGAUUGGGCCGAUGUUAAUACAGCUCGUGGAAUUAACCAAGAUCAAUUUGGUUUUACAAUGGUGAACUUUAACCGAUUGAUUCACACAGGACAACAACUGAUAGAUGAGCCGUAUGUAUUCUCAUCUCAAGUCAAACAAGUUUUUUACUCAAAAGAUCCAACUGAUGAGGGUUGGUACGUUGUACUCCGUAACAUCCCUAGAGACUUGUUUGACAUGGGCAGUGGAAGUAGAGAUAACAUCGACGACAGAUCAAAAACUUUGUCCUUUCCAGAACAAAACUUAAACGAUAAUAUCCCUAGUACUAGUGCACAAUUUCAAUGGGUUCGUCAGGAUACGGCUGAAGAUAUUUAUGAAUAAUGAUGUAGUAAGAUUUUACGAUUGUUUAAUUAUAUGUAAUAUCAUAAUUUAAAUCUUGGUCUUAUUUAUAUAUUUCACCUAUUUUAUAUGUGCUAUUAUUGUUGUAAUUAGUUAUUAAGUUUUCAACUAUUUUAUGUGUAUUGCAGAUAAAAUGCCUAGAAGAAAAAUUCUAAGGGGAAGAAUUGUUCAAAAUGAUCCAAACUCGACAGAAACAAAUAGUAAUGAACAACAGACAUCAAUUGGAUCUUCAAAUGUUCUGAUUACAUCUGACGAGCCUACAGAAGUUCAAAGUAAUUUUACAUUUAAUUUACAUGCGUGUUGACUUAUAAUUGAUUUAUUUUUCAAAUUAUUAUAUUAUAAUAUGUCAUUUGUAGCUGAAAAUGGUGGGACGCGUAGAGGUCGAGGACGUACGCUACUUAGAGAGUUAUACGAGUUAGAUCCAGUCGAGCGUGUCAAAGUUGGACGAAACAGUUUUGGUCAGCCUGUUGGAUCAGAAGCUCGACUUUUAGUAGGAUACAUGGGCAUUUUAGCACGAAAUGCGAAUAUGUUGCCUAUCAACUACAAGUCAUGGCAUCAAAUGCCCGAUAGCAACAAAAACCAAGCCCUCGAUAAUAUUAAGGUAACAAAAUGUUAAUUUCAUCUGUAAUGCUCGGGAAAUAGUUUCAUUUAUAUUUACUUUAUUAACUUGUGUUUUUUGUCGGCGAGGUUUGCUUUAGAGGUCUCGGAUGCUUAUGUAAAGAAGGCAUUGGGAAAAAGAUGGAGAGACCAUAAAAGUACUUUGAAGAAAUAUUAUUAUAAGACAAAACCAACCCUCGAUGAGAAAUUGCAAAAUGUCCCGCCCGGUAUGCUGAGGUACCAAUGGAAAGAUGCGGUUAGAUUUUGGCAUUCGAAGAAAGGCAAGGUACGACGUACUUCCAAACUAUUGUAAUUAUUUUGGUUUAUAGUAUUUACUAUUUACGUACUAAAAAUUUUAUAACGUAGGAUCGUGAACGAGUUGGAAUAAGCAGCAGGUAGAAACAAAAAUUCACUCACACAGCCGGGUCGAGAAGUUUUGCAUGUGUAGCUGAGGCGGAGGUAUUUUUAAUUUUUUAAUAUUCUCAAAUAUGUAUAACUUUCCAUUAAAUAAUAUUUUUACUAUUAUAUUGUAGGAACAAUCGUCCGGUCAAAAAGUUGGACGCCUUCAACUUUUUGAAAUUACACAUAAGAAGAAAGAUGGAUCUGCUAUGACUCCAGAAGCUGGUGAAAUUAUGGUACGUUUACUUAAUACGAUUUGACUUGUUUUAGUUAUUUAUAGUGUUUAUUUUCUAAUGGUUUAAUUCAUUGCUUAUAAUGCGACUAUUGUUAUGUUGCAUUUGUUUUUUUAAUAUAUAUUGAGUAAGAAACUAUGUGAUUUAUUUAUUAGGAAAAACUAAAGGAUAAAAAGGCGGAGUACGAAGCGAUUGCUUCUGGUGAUAGUUCUGUUCAUCUUGAAGACAUUGAUAACCAGAUUAUUACUGAAGUUUUGGGUCCUGAAAGGUAUGGUCGGGUUUGAUUUCAAGGAUCUUUUAUCAGCCCAACCCAAUAUUUUGGAUCCAGCUCGCACCAAUACAUGGCUUCGGGGAGUCAGUCUCAAGCUGAAGUUCAGAGGUUAAAAGACCAGAUGGCUCAGAUGCAAGCGACCACAUUUGAGGUUCAAAGAAAAUAUGAAGAAAUUCAGCAACAACUUAAAGCAGAGGCGGCAGCGAGGAAAGCAGAGGCUGCAGCGAGAGAAGCAGAGGUUCAAAAGAAAUAUGAAGAACUCCAGCUACGACUUCAAGUAGAUGCGGCAUCGAGAGAAGCAGAGCAAAGCAAAAAGUACGACGAACUUCAAUAGCAGCUUCAUAUUAUGAUGAAGAUGUUUCAGCAGUCGCAACUUUCGCCGUCAUAGUGUAUAUUGCAUAAAUAUUUUUUAUCAUUUUAACUUUUAACGUUUUUGUAAUGAAAAUUAUGGAUUCACUUUUAUUUAUUGAUAUUAAUAUUAUUUUAUUCGUUUAAUUUGAAAUAUUAUAUAAAUUUAUUAUUUUUGGCUAGUUUAGAUCUGGUUGCUUUUUAUUUGUUGUUGUAAGAGGGCUGAAAAAAUAGAAAAUUUUAUUUUAAAAAAAUCCCAAAAUUAGUGGCUUUUUUUAAAAAAGCGCCGCUAAAAGUCAUAUCAUAUAGUGGCGUUUGUGAAGUAAGCGCCGCGAAAGAACACUACUUUUAACGGUGUUUUUUUCCUAAGCGCCGCUAAAGAACAUUACUUUUAGCGGCCUUUUUUUCCUAAGCGCCGCUAAAGAACAUGAUCUUUAGCGGCGUUUUUUCCCAAGCGCCGCUAAAGAACAUGAUCAUUAGCGGCGUUUUUUUCCUAAGCGCCGCUAAAGAUCAUAUCCCUUAGCGGCAUUUUUUCCCAAGCGCCGCUAAAGAACAUGAUCAUUAGCGGCGUUUUUUUCCUAAGCGCCACUAAAGAUCAUGUCCUUUAACGGCGUUUUUUCCCAAGUGCCGCUAAAGAACAUGAUCAUUAGCGGCGUUUUUUUCCUAAGCGCUGCUAAAGGACAUGAGCUUUAGCGGCGUUUCUUUCUGUAAACGCUGCAAAAGUUAGCGACGUUAUCGUUAGCGGUAUUUUUUGCGGCGCUUCCUCAACCGCCGCAAAUGCCUUUAGUGGCGUUAAAAAGCGCCGCUAAAGGCCUAAAAAACGCUGCUAAAAACCUAUUCUGGUGUAGUGAUAUGCGUUCAGAGUGAAUUAAAAAAAUAUGCUGAUUUAUUUUUCUUUUUCUUUUUAAUUUAAGUAUUUAGGCUGUUUAUAUAUAUAUAUAUAUAUAUCCACAGAUUUUGAAGAGAGAAAUGAAAACGCGUCCUAUAUAUAAAACGUAUUUUUAGGAGAUAAAAAUGAAAAUGCGCCUUGUAGGGCGCGUUUUUAGGGCAACUAUAACUUUUCCAACUAUCACAAUUCCAACGACUAUACCCCAACAGCCAUAUUUUUUCUUUUAUAAACCUCUCCAAACUUCGUUCUUUUCAAUUCAAACUCCAUUAUUAAUUCUCAAUUCUCUCAAUAAUUUCAUUUUUAAUAUUUCUCUGAAUCCUAUUCUCUUCAAUUUUAUUUUAUUCCUUAUCAUUUGUAAAAUGACAAAUUAGCUUAUUUGUUUGGAUGACAAGCACAUCUCCGGCGUUCAAUUACAAAUCGUAAGAAAAUAUUAUGAAAUUAUUUAAUUUUAAUUAAUUAAUUACAAUGUUGUUAACAUUAUUAAAUUUUUUUAUGUUUAUAUACUCAAGUCGAAGAUCAAAUUUUGGAGCCGUAUAUACACAAUUUAAGUAGGAGUGCAUCGUUUUCCAUUCAUGGACACUUGUGAGAUGCAGGAUUCUUAUACGUGGCUCACGUGCUUUGGUGGAAAGAUGGAGACCCGAGGCACACACAUUCUAUCUUCCCUGCGGUGAGUGUACAAUUACACUCAAGGACAUUAGUUAACAACUUGGUCUACUAGUUGGUGGGGAAGUCGUUACGGGGCCAGUGGCCAGAGGUGAGUGUCAAUUGGAGUGCAACAUGCGAGCAACUACUAGGGAAGGUGUCAAACAAGUUUAAGGGUACCAAAUCGAGAUGGGAUGGUUGGAGGGCAACUUCAAACGAAUUGAGGGCUUUACGAGCGAAGUUGAAAAAGAACAAUUUGCACAUGCAUUCAUAUUGAGGUUGGUUGAAGGUUUGCUUAUACCAAAUAAAUUUCAAAAUAUGGUACAUUUAAGGUAUCUACUACUACCAGCUGACUUGAAAGAAGCAAGACGACUUAGUUGAGGAUCAGUGAUGCUGGCAACAUUGUACUGAAAAAUGUGUUGAGCGAUAAACCAAAAUAAGUUAAAAUUGAUGAUUGCAUUCUCCUCUUCAAUUAUGGGCAUGGUAUCGACAACCUGAUAAGUGCUAAAAGUAACAUGUUUUGAUUCCCGAUUGUCCAAUCAAGAAUAACUAGGUAAAUAUUUUUGCCAAAAUUUACGUCCCAAAGUUCUGAUGCGUGGAACUUAUAGGCUCCAUCUUCAACAAGAAAUCCAUAGCUGCAAGGAUUGAAGCUCAACACGCGGGAGUGAUUCCGAGGGCUACUGAAAUUGAAGUAAAACACCUUCAAUCCUUGAGGAAUAGCCGUCUGGCAGCAUCUAAUGCCGGAGCAAGACCCAUUUAUCACAUUGCCCGCGUCACCACAAAAUGUUAAACAUCCGGUUGAAAAGUUUUUUUUUUGAAAUUCUGUGUGAAGAGUCAGGUUCGAAGAAAGCCUCGAUGUAGGCGAUAGUGUCACAACCGAUGGCCGUGAACUUGUUUCUGGUAUGAGAUAUGGCUAAUUUCGUAACCGACUAAAGUAUCUGGAUAUAAACUACUCCCUGAUGAAUUAUAACAAUCAUGACCUAUGAAGUAAUUAUAAGUAACGCGCAAAUGACCAUCCAGAGAGAUGUCGAGAACUUCUAUAUCACCAUCCCAUAAGAAUGCUUUUGGGGGGUUAAAAGGUGUUACAAUUAAUAAAGAAGUCGCUGCUGAUGUUGCAACCUUUGCUUGUACCAAAAGGGUAGGGGAUGCUUAUAUUUUCGCAUUUGCUUUGGCAUCCAGGUUUUGGUAGAGCUGCUACUGAAGUUGCCAUAAUUGUUACCACAACUAAAAACACAGCAAGCUCCUUAAACAUUCAACCAAACCCCAUCACCCCUCUUGGCUUUUUUUCCCCCCACUCUCUCGGCUCAUGUAAAUCUAGAAUAACUUAUAGG